This 156851-nucleotide long non-coding RNA is filed under the name Triticum aestivum (bread wheat). RNAcentral's name for it is "long non-coding RNA (TAES_LNC027142)". The stretch from base 41453 to 41577 matches the Rfam family "MIR1120/MIR1122 microRNA precursor family". Lineage: Eukaryota; Viridiplantae; Streptophyta; Magnoliopsida; Poales; Poaceae. The record is from RNAcentral.
GUGUCUUUUUUUUGUAGUGCACAUUUUGAACCAAGUUGGUCUGACAGAGUUUAACCAUUCGGUCCCACCGAGUUUGGGAAUUUGUGUGUAACGGUUAGAUUUUGUGUGGAGGCUAUAUAUACCCCUCCACCCCCUUCUCCAUUUGUGAGAGAGCCAUCAGAACGUGCCUACACCCCCACUACUCAUUUUUUGAGAGAGAACCACCUACUCAUGUGUUGAGACCAAGACAUUUCAAUCCAACCACAAGAAUCUUGAUCUCUAGCCUUCCCCAAGUUGCUUUCCACUCAAAUCAUCUUUCCACCAUAGCCAAAUCUAUGUGAGAAAGUUGAGUGUUAGGGAGACUAUCAUUUGAAGCACAAGAGCAAGGAGUUCACCAUCAACAAACCAUCUAUUACCUUUUGGAGAGUGGUGUCUCCUAGAUUGGUUAGGUGUCACUUGGGAGCCUUGGUCAAGAUUGUGGAGUUGAACCAAGGAGUUUGUAAGGGCAAGAAGAUCGCCUACUUCGUGAAGAUCUACCCUAGUGAGGCAAGUCCUUCAUGGGCGAUGGCCAUGGUGGGAUAGACAAGGUUGCUUCUUCGUGGACCCAUCAUGGGUGGAGCCCUUCGUGGACUCGCGUAACCGUUACCCUUCAUGGGUUGAAGUCUCCAUCAACGUGGAUGUACGAUAGCACCACCUAUCGGAACCAUGCCAAAAAUCUUCGUGUCUACAUUGCUUUUGCUCCCUCCAAAGUCCUCUGUUUACCUUCAUAUGCAAUGAUUUACAUUCCGCUCCUAUACUCUUGGAAUUGCAUGUGUAGAUUGUUUGCUUGACUAAGUGCUAAGUUGCUAAAAUCUGCCAAGACUUAAAAUUGGGAAAAGGCUAGACUUUUAUUUGGUCAAGUAGUAUAAUCACCCCCCUCUAGACAUACUUUCGAUCCUACAAGUGGUAUCAGAGCUUUGGUCUCCAUUUGCCUUGAUUUCCAUUGCUUUGGUGAUCAUAGCCUUGGUUUCACAACCUAGGAGAGUAUGACGUCUAGUGAGGGAAAUUACCACCGUAGAGGUCCUUACUUUGAUGGCACUAAUUUUGCUAGUUGGAAGCAUAAGGUGAAAAUGCAUAUUCUUGGACAUAACCCCGCCGUUUGGUUUAUUGUGUGCAUUGGUUUGCAAGGUGAAUUCUUCGAUGGGAGAGAACCAAAUCGUGAAGCAACUGCAGAAGACUAGAAGAUGUUGCAAUACAACGCUCAAGCUUGCGAUAUCCUCUUCAAUGGAUUGUGCCCCAAAGAAUUCAACAAAAUCAGCCGUCUUGCGAAUGCAAAGGAAAUUUGGGAUACUUUGAUUGAUAUGCACGAAGGUACCGAGUCAGUCAAGGAAUCCAAGUUGGAUGUGCUUCAAAGUCAACUUGACAAGUUCAAAAUGAAGGAUGGUGAAGGUGUCGCUGAAAUGUACUCUAGGCUUGAUCUCAUCACAAAUGGGAUUGUCGUCUUAUGAAGUGAAGAGAUGACUGACAUAUUCAUCAUCAAGAAGAUCCUAAGAGAAUUGGAUGGAAAAUAUGAUACCGUGUGCAUAUUGAUCAAAAUGAUGCCCAAUUACAAAGAUCUCAAGCCAACGGAAGUCAUUGGAAGAACUGUUGCUCAUGAGAUGUCACUCAAGGAUAAAGAAGAGCUUCACAACAAGUCUAGUGGUGCACAUAAAGCCUCAUGUGAUGCUCCUGCAACAUUCAAGUGAAAAACAAGUCUUCAAUGAGGAAUUGAGCUUAAUGGUUAAGAACUUCAACAAAUUCUACAAGAGUAGAAGCAAAGAGAGAAGCUCCAAGUCAAGAUCCUACCAUGACAAAAGAUCUUCUAGUCGUGAGUGAAAUUACUACAAUUGUGGAAGACCCGCAAACUACUCUAAUGAGUGUACGGCUCCCUAGAAAAGAAGAGAAGACUCACCUAAAAGAAGUAGAAGAGAAGAAUCACCUCCAAGAGAGAGAAGGAGUAUAGAUGAUCGUUAUGAACGAAGAACCUCUCGCAGAAGCAAGGAUUCGGAAAGGAAGGACAAGUCAUCAAAGAGCUACACAAAAGAAAGACAUCAAGCUCAUGUUGGUGAAUGGGUAUCCGGUUCUGACUCCGACCACCACUCCAAGAGAAGUUAUCACUCCGACUCCGAAUAUACUCAAGAUGAGGGUGUUGUCGAUCUUGCACUUGUGUCAACCAACUCCUAUGACAUAUUUGAGUCACCAAAUGAAGGAAUUGGAAGAUGCUUCAUGGCUAAAGGCCCCAAGGUACCACACCCCGAGUAUUUUGAUUUCAACAGUGAUGAAGAUGACUUGCUAGGUGAUGAUGAUUUACUUGUUGACAAUGCUAGUGAUGAAAACUAUGAUGAAAUUGCUAUUAAUCAUGCUAAACAAGAUGAAACGAAUGAUAAUGAUAAGAAGGAGAUUGAGCGUCUAACUAAAGAACUAAACACUCUUAAGUUAUCUCAUGAAACUACUUUAGAAGAUCAUCGAGAACUUUUAAAAACUCAUGAGAAGCUACGCUUCGAGAAGCUCAACCUAGAGAAAGAACAUGGGUCCUUAAAAGCCAUCAAUGAUGAUCUUCGGAAGAAAAGUUCUUCUUACAUUGCCAAGCGUUUACUCUUGUCUACUUACAUGCCACAAGUAAAAUCUAGCAACAAGAGUAAGAAGAUUCUUCUUCUAGUAGUAACAAUAAUCAUGCUAAAUCCAAUAUUGUUGCUUCUAGUAGUUCUCUUGAUUCCACUAAUGAUUCUCUUAGCCAAGGUACACUUGAGCAAGAAAAUAGCUUAUUGAAGGGAAUUAUAGAGGAAGGUGUUUACAACAGCCUUGCCAGAAAUAAGCAAUUUGAGGAAAUUGUAUGCAAGCAAGGAAGGCACCAGAAGAAUCAAGGUGUUGGUUUUGGAUGGAAGUUCAAUGCCAAUGGAUUUGAGUGGGAAGAAGAUCAAUACCCCAAGACAGAGUUUGUUCCUCAACAAGAGAAGUAUGAUCCUACUUCCUUUAAGGGGACACAAGCUCAAGAUGAUCUUCCACCACAAGACCACAAGCUAAAAGGCAAGGACAAGCUUCAAGAGGAAAUUGGUGCAUUUGAAGAAGCUCCAAAGGCCUUGGUCAAGUGGUUUCCCAAGUCCACCUCAAGUUUUACUUCAUCAAGUACAUCUACAACCCCAAGGAUUCCCAUCAAGAUGAUGUGGAUCCCGAAGAAGAAGAACUAGAGAGUUCUUGAGGGUGACUUCGCCAACAUACUUCACUAAUAUUCAUAUUGGCAAGAACAAGUGCAAUCAACUUCCACAUCUUGCACUAGUUCAAGGAGUCACAAACUCUCUUAUUAAUAAGUCAAGGGACAAGGUAACCUAAUGUUUUCAUGGACGUCAUCGUGUAUGUACUUCACUCUAUCUCUAUGGAUACUAGUAGACUGCCCGUGUGUUGCCACGGGCUCUUGAAAUAGUUUGCAAGAGUUACAUGUUAACUUUCUAAGGCCUCACGCCGCCGUAGAUCCAGACCCCCGCCACUGAUUCCACCCCGCAUAGGCCGCCGCCUGCCGCCGUGCUGCCCCAUCACGUUCGCCUCCGCCCGGCCGCCGCGACCCUGCCCGCCUCCUCUCCGACCGCCUCCGCCUCCUGUCCAUCCUCCGCCCGGCCCCGCUUCAUCCGCCUCCUCUCCGGCCAUGCUCCGUCCGCCUCCUCUCCGGUCCGUCCGCCACCCCACUUCGUCUGCUUUCGCCCCGAGCCGCACGCCGCCGCCCCGCUCCGUCCGCCUCUGCCCCACACUGCACGUCGCCGCCCCGCUCCCCACUCGGCCGCCGCCUGCUCCCCGAUGGCGCCAAAGAAGACGCCAAAGGGAAAGUCCGGUUUCUUCGGCAUGAGGGCGAAGCCCUCCGGGAACUUCGGACUGGAGUUCUCUGACGCCAGGCAGCGUUGGUGGCUCGGCACGUAUCCCACUGUCGAUGAGGCUGCUCGUGCCUACGACGUGGCGGUGUGGCGUGCCGGUGGGCCGAAGACGGACCUAAACUUCCCGGAGGUCGAGUCCCAGCCGGUGGCGGAGUGGCUCGUGCCGCAGGGCAUCCAGAUGGAGGAGAUGCCGGCUAAGAAGGCGAAGAAGAGACAGGCGGUGUCGCUCCCGACGAGAGCGACGAGGCGGCGAUGGCUUGGUUUGCGCGAUUUGCAAUUUGUUGCAAAGCCAUCUCUAAUGAAAUGCUAUUUGCUACAUUUUUAAAUAGGAAAAUUAUUCCAAUCAGCUAGCAAUAACUCAACAGACCAAUCUCUAAUGAAAUGCUAUUUGCUACAUUUUUUAAAUAGAAAAAUUAUUUCGAUCAGCCAGCCAUAACUCAACAGACCAAUCUGAACCCACAUUUUCUAAAGUAAAGAAAUUAUUUCCCUUGAUAGAUCAAGAUGCCAAAGUGUCAUUUGCCCGACUGCUAUGUUCCUACACACACAGAGCAAAUUAUUUUUCAAAUCAAGGAAUUAAGAAAAGGAAGAAUAUCAUGAUGUCCAUGGCACUUGCCAGGUCUGCCAUGCUACCGUGGCAUCGUCUUUGUAGUCUCUACCCACAUGUCGAGUUGAGAAAUAAUCUUCAGAUAUACCCACUGCUAACACACUCGCGUACAUAAUGUCCCUUGGCUGAUUGAUUUGGCUGACUAUUAACACAAGCACACAACACACAAAAUCAGUCAAUGGCCAUAUGUAUGCAUUUUUUUACUUUAUUCCAAUUGUGAUGCAAUCGUGACACCUACUCGCCCCGUCCGCUCACCCGUCACGGUAAUUGCCACUGGUGCCAACCGCUCGACCUCGCCACCGCCACUCACCACUCAGUCUCCACCGGCUGCCCAUUGCCUCUUGCGCCACCCGUGCGCUCGCUCGGCUCAAUGUUGUUGAUUGGAAUGCGGGACUGAAGGUAAUCCAUGGACAGGUUUUAGUUUUGCUUGCAUCAAUCUUCGGUACUUGUCUAUCCAUCUAACGCACAAAAAAUCGACUCUCUGACAUAAAAGUGAUCUAACUCUAUUGAUGAGCACGACAGUACAUACCAUCCCAUCAUGAUGUUGCCAUCUCUCACACUUGAUGAUUACAUCUUGUUAUUUCUAACAUGUACACCAUCGGGCCAUUGCUUUAUUAGAAAUAUAUUUACACAAUAUGAUGAGAGCAACAUCAAGGAGUCGGAUGCUGGUGCACAGAUUCUCCUCAAAUUCCACAUGCAACCCUUGUAGAGAAGAAUGACAUAUUUUUCUUAGGUGAUUUUUGACCGAGCUCCUACAGAAAAAUUCAAACAAAUCAUGAGGAGCAUGGAGCCAAGCAAACUAAUCAGAGUAAAUCAUGAGAGGAGAAGCCUCUCAACCUACUACAGGGAAUCGAGUCAACAUUAAUUCGUGUAAGAAUUAAACCGUAAUGUAGAUCAACAACCCAGUAGUUGAUAAAAUAACCCUGACACAACCCAUUAAUACAAUAUAUGGUCACAGGAAGUAGAUUGAGAUUGUGCAGAUAUCAUGAUCUACGAACCGUAUCUACGAAUAUUGAUUGCAAAGUCACAAAUAGAACCUCCUCACAUCACAAAACAAAUGUUUCAUCAACAGAAACUCUAGCGAAUGCCAAUUGGAUUAUAUAAGUAAGAUAGAGACAUCGAAAAAAAGAAAAGAUAAUUCAAAGAGUAUAUAUUCUAUUUUAUUACUUGACAUCACAGAGAAUGCAAGUCAAAGAUAUUGCGAUACAUCUUACACUUCUAUAAAUUGACUGCAAGGCACAACCCCUAGCAAAAUAUACAGAAUGAAUUGCUCCUGUGAUCCAAGUAUUGCAUAAAUAGUUGUAUACAGACUAUUCAAUAGUGAGCAUAAACAUGGCAUGUACUAACAAAAUCCCUUUGCAAUGGAGCUUAGUCUGCAUGUCUAUCCGUCUUUUUGUAAAUCAGUUGUGGCCAAGAUGUGCUGACAGCUCACAAGCCUCUCCCCGUUUACCAAUAAAACCAAAGCAGCUCAAAGCAAAAAAAAGAACAUAGAUAUAUGAACCUGAUGCAAUUGCUUGUAACUCCAGAGUGUUGGUAGAGUCGAGAAGAGAACACUCAGCCAAUGUUACAGCAGAUCGAUCUGUAGUCUUUGUUAGGGACGGCACCAUCAUUAGAGGUCCCAAUUGUAAAUCAAUCUGCAAGAGAUGGAGAUGCAACUGGAAGCUUACGGAUUUGAUGCAUUAAAACAGCCAUGGCCCAUGGGCAGAGGAGAAGUGACGGCAGCUGGGGAUCUGACGUGUCACAGACAGCAUGGGUAGAGGAGAGGCGGCGGCAGAUCAAGCCUUGGGCGUGGCAGGCGGAAGCACACUCACCCCUAUUGCACCCUUCCUACUUCCCCGUCCUUCUUCUCCUACCUCUCCUCCUCCCUGGAUCCUCCUAUGUCUCUCUUUUCUACAAGAAAAAUCGAAGCCCCGCCAUGACCUUGAGCUCCCCCUACCAACCAUAGAAAUUAGAUAUUUCCUAAUUGUUUGCAUAAAAAACAUACUGGCUGCAAGAGAAUGAAAGACUAACCUAUUGAUGAGCACAACAGUACAUACCAUCCCAUUAUGAUGUUGCCAUCUCUCACACUUGAUGAUUACAUCUUUUUAUUUCUAACAUGUACACCACCGGGCGAUUGCUUUAUUAGAAAUAUAUUUACACAAUAUGAUCAGAGCAACAUCAAGGAGUCGGAUGCUGGUGCACAGAUUCUCCUCAAAUUCCACAAGCUGAAAUUGAAGAGAAAACUGAAAGAAAGCUAUUAGUAACACCAAUUUAACCAGACACACCACACCACUAAUGACAAAAUAAAAAUUUAGAAGUUCCUAAAGAGGCCUUAUAUAUAAGAAGUGCAAGAUAGUGAUGAAACUACCAAAGCCACCAGAUCUUAGUACAGAUUAGUUAAGUAGACACUACUAUUUAGUAAGGAUGAACUAUAUUAUGGAUUUGAUUGGAAUAAGAAAAUAUCCUAUAAUAGCAUAUUAUACAAAGGCACAUAAAACAAUAAAGAGAAGUAAAAGUGGUAGUGAUGAACUUAUAAUAAUAAUAAUAAAUAGAUAGCACAUGACUCUUUUUAUACGACUUAUCAGCAGAAUCAGUGAGCCACAAUGGAGUUUUCUUGGGCUCAGGCUUUCUGCACACUGCCAUAUAGACCAAGUCAAACAUGGGUGGGCGGCCAAGAAUGUUGGGUUAUAGUUUUACAGAUAAAGAGAGGAGAAAUCACUUUGGCCUAUGAGCACAUCAUAAGAGAAGGCAACAUCACACACACAUAAGUACUUGUAACUGAAUUUAAGGAGGGCACAAUAUGUUGACAUAGGUGUGCCUACCAAAAAGAAAUGUCUAAAUGAAGAAAAAUCAAGUGUUUAGUAAUAUAAUACUACAAUGAUGAUGCAGACUAAAGUCUAAAUCAUCAAUGGUAAAUCCAUGGCACACAAAAAUUCUUCUCCAUAAUUGAUUUGCUCUCUUCAUCCAAAUGCCCAAACUCAUCACAACAUAGCAAAAUAGCCUGAAUGGAAUAAACCAUAUCUGAACCAUCAUAUGCAAUACACGAACCAUGUACUGAACUUAAUUGAUGUAUUACUACUGAACAUAGCAGAUUAGUCUCUAUGUGCAUGUAUUACUAAUUUACAGCUGAGCAGCCACUCUAAUGUAAUGAACUUAAGAACUGUUUGUUCCUCUUAAGCAACCCUGCAGUUUUCAUGAAAACUUUGGUUGUAGUGGUCCUAAAAUCACAGAUACAUGUACCUCUACAUCCACUUGGAGCUUCUUUGCAGCUUCCUCUCUAUGUUGCUAGACCAAUCUGCAGAUAAAAAAGGAUAAGGUAAAUAAUUGUUGUUUUAUUUGCCAAUAAUCAAACAACUAUGAUAUAGUAAGAAAAAAGUUAGUGGAGGUAUGGGAAGGACAAGUAGUUCUACUACACACAGAUGAUUAGGGGUCAGAGGGAAUUCAAGAUAAACCAAGACAAACUUCAAAAUUUAGUCCUAUAGUUGAACAUCAAAUUCAAAGCAAACGGGGAAGAAUCAAUGGGUCAGGGGUAAGGAUGCAACUGUGUGGGGGGGGGACAGCCCACUAAGCCGCUGCGCCGUCCCAUGAAGAAAACCCGCAAAACGGCGCCGGACCAACCACAUCAUGUCAAGCGGUCUCAAAUAGUCCAACCGCUUUGUCCAGCGGACGUCGCACAGUCUCGUGUAUCCUGCGAAAGGGAGAAAACUCUCCUGAGAAUUCCUGUCCUUCUCGACGCGAUAGAGGUGCGCGACUGUAUUGUAUAACAGGCUCAUCCAGUGUCCACAUUUCCCUAUGUGCAGUAGAAGAUAAAACUGAAUCAAAUCGAAGGUUCCCGUGCAUUGCAACUGGAUGACAAAAUAGACACAUGUGUAUACUUUGAUAAAAGAGAGUGUCAGUGUCAAAACCGGCGGAUCUCAGGUAGGGGGUCUCGAACUGUGCGUCUAGGCGGAUGGUAACAGGAGACAAGGGACACGAUGUUUUACCCAGGUUCGGGCCCUCUUGAUGGAGAUAAAACCCUACGUCCUGCUUGAUUAAUAUUGAUGAUAUGGGUAGUACAAGAGUGGAUCUACCACGAGAUCAAGGAGGCUAAACCCUAAAGCUAGCCUAUGGUAUGAUUGUUGUAAUGUAUGUUGUGUCCUACGGACUAAAGCCCUCCGGUUUAUAUAGACACCGGAGGAGGCUAGGGUUACACAGAGUCGGUUACAAUGGUAGGAGAUCUACAUAUCCGUAUCGCCAAGCUUGCCUUCCACGCCAAGGAAAGUCCCAUCCGGACACGGGACGGAGUCUUCAAUCUUGUAUCUUCGUAGUCUUGGAGUCUGGCGGAUGAUGAUAGUCCGGCUGUCCGGACACCCCCUAGUCCAGGACUCCCUCAGUAGCCCCCGAACCAGGCUUCAAUGACGAUAAGUCCAGCGCGUAUAUAGUCUUCGGCGUUGCAAGGCGGGUUCUCCCUUCAAGUUCCAUGUACCUGCCGAACAGUGUCCGGCUUCAUUAUAAAUACCGUGCUUCUUGGCUUCUACGCCCAAUAAUGGCCCUCCUCCAUGCGUCGCACGAAUGCGAAAAGCCAGGGUGUCUUUUUAUGUUUCACCCCCUAGUCGUGCGAGUCAUCCGCCUACAAAAGAGGCAAAAAUCCAGAUCCAAACCACACCAUCUUCCUUCCACGAAUACUCAUCGGAGCGCUUUUGACCUAAAAAUCCAUUCCAUCAUGGACCGUCGACGCGGCUCCUCUUCUCGCACUCCCAGCCCACAACCUGGAGAUUGGAAGAGGUGCUCUGUUACACACGACGAGCUAGUAAAGCUCCAAGCGGGGGGAUAUCUCCCUCCGGCCUUCAUGGUCCCGGUUCGAGCCGGGCUAGCCACCUACCAAGGUGGGAAGCAAGCGGAGGCUACCCCAAGUCCCAACAAAGGGGAGCGGGUAUGCUUCGUCCCCUAUCUGAUAAGUGGACUCGGAUUUCCAAUUCAUCCGUUCCUCCGCGGGCUCCUAGAGUUCUACGGACUCCAGCUCCAUCACCUUACGCCCGCCUCUGUCCUGCAUAUCGCGGGCUACGUAGCUCUUUGCGAGCUAUUCCUGGGCAUUGAGCCCCAUUUUGCACUGUGGAAGAGGCUGUUCUGCCUCGUGCCCCGUUCUCACGAGGGAUCUAUAUAUCAAGUGGGCGGCGCCGAAAUAUGGCGCAUUGCUGGGACCGGAUACCCAUCCGAUACCCCUAAGAAGGCGUCCGAAGACUGGCCUUCGGAGUGGUUUUAUAUAGAAGACGCUCCGCUGCCAGACCCAGUCCGGAUUGGCCUCCCGGAGUUUAGUGCUGCUCCUCUGAAGAAACGCCUCAGCUGGCGACCGCGGAGCCCCCGAUUGGAGGAAGACAAGAGCGUCCAUUACCUGAUGGGCCGAAUAAGAUUACUGGCCCAUUCCGGGUUGACCAUGAUUGGAGUCAUGACAACAUGCAUCAUGCGGGGGGUACAGCCAUUGCAAUACAGAGGCCACCCCAUGUGGGAUUUCAACGGGGAAGACGAUGCCACCCGUCAUGGCCGCGAAGGGCCGGAUUUGACCGAGGAUCUGGUGGAGAUCCUGUCCGGCCUGUACAAGGGGGAGAAGGAGGACUUCCUUCGAACGAACCCCUUGAAUGGGUUUUCCAUGAACAACCCCAGAGGCUGGGUAAGCGAACACUUUUAGGGGUUCAACCCAUGCUUUCGAAGUUUAGGCUUCUUACAUUAUGUCUUCGGCGCAGGAUCUACGCCGGACUGUGGAGGACAUGGUAAGUCCCGCUCCUCAACCCGAGGAUCCAGAAAGAUCCCGAGAUCCGGCCUCCGAAGAGGAUCCGGACAUCAAGGUGGAGCUGAUCGACGGGGUGUUUUACCAGCUUAGCAUGGACAAUGCUUUGGUCGCCAUUACGGCGGACUACCCCGGAUUAUAUCCGGCUUCCCAGGUGAUUGUGACCGAGGUUCGAACACCAUUAUCUCUUCCUUGCCCAUUUCUGACCUUCAUGAACGAUGGUGUUUUACAGGAAGCACCUUCAAGGCGGGAAGCCGAGCCCGCGGCGGCUGACCAACAAAGGUCAGUCCGGACCAGCAGGCGGAAAAGGAGCGCGGUACGGACUGAGACAUCGCCGCAAAGGUAUAGCUCGUAUUUUGAAUAUCCAGAGCAACGUUCCUAGGAAGCGUCUGAGUGCUCAAUAUCCUUUAUAGGAGAAAAAGCGCCCACCGAACUGCGGGCAUAGAGGUUGCCAAUCCAGCCUAUACCAGCCAGGCUCCAGCGCCUGGUCAGGAGGGGGAGGCAAGCGCAAGGCGCGGGCCGGAUACUCCUCCGACGGAGGAUGCCGACCGACUGUCCGCCACCAAGUCUGAGGUGGAGAGCGCCAUGAACCACAGGCGCCGCCGGACAGUAUUUCGUGAAGCGUGCUUCUCCCCUGAGGCAUUGGACGCCUUUAACGCAGGGGACGCGCACCUCCGUGCUGCUCAAGACGGUUUUACCAGAGCCACGGAGCAGUAUGUAAAAGAUAUACGGGUAAGGGAAUUUUAAUGGUUAUAUAUACCAGUAGCCCCCGAGACUUAAAGUAGUUAUGUUAACUGAUUUAAGGAUCAUUUGAAACGCAGGCUCUUACCGAGAAGAAUACCCAGCUGUCUCAGGAGCUGCAAGAAUGCAAGGCCCAACUUGAGGCCGCGCUUGCUGCCGCAGGAGGAAACGCAGAGGCCCCUCCUGGUAACACAUUUUUAUUAAUAAAUAUAAGCGAUGUGCGGCGUGCGCACAAGUCUAAUAAUGACAUUGCAGGUGCCGCCGGACAAGAUCUAGACAGGCAAGUAUUACUGCGCCAGCUAAAGGCCGGCGAGAGUGUGCUGAAUAGGGUGCAGCAAGAAAGGAACAGGCUCCAGGAUGCCAACGCCAAGCUCGGAGAAGAGCUGAAAGGCGCUCGAGCCGAGCUGUCCGGCUCCGUUAAGGAGAAUCAGCGGCUUCGCCGCGGCAUUUAUAGUAAGUGCUUGAGCGGACUCCUUUAAAAAGAAGAGUUCGGCGAAGAAGCAAAUUGACAUAGUAUGACUUGUAGGUAUACUCACAGGUCGCCCUGCGGAGGAGAUGCCCAUAUCAACGGGUGAUCAACUUCCCGAGCUGUUGCAGCUGCUCGAACGAGUUCGGCAGGCAAUGAGCAGCGUCGUCCAGGCUUUAUGGCCUGCUCUCUCCCUACCCGAAGGCCUUAGGGAGCUUGCGGAGAAGCUUCAGGGAGUGCGGCAGCGCUUCCGUUUGUGGAAGAUUUCGGCUUGCCAUUAAGGUGCCAGGGAGGCUUGGGCCAUGGUGAAGACGCGUUACAAGAAGGCGGAUCCCAACCACAUGGCCGAAGUUGGACCUGUGGGGCCCGAUGGGAAGGAGAUCCCUGUGAGUUUAGUAUACAGCCAGGUAGAGUUGGCUGCUAAAUUUUCCCAACGGGACUGUAAAUUAGACAGACUGUUAGAUGGGAUUGAGGAGGAAUACAAUCAGUAAAUUUGACAAUGUAUUUGUUUUAAAAUGACAUGUGAAAUGCCUUCUAGCCGGAUUGUAGAUCGUUUGUCUUUGCCGACCUUUUCGCUUCAACCUCGGGACCCUAGAGUCCGGAGUGUGUCCGAAUACCUUUUUUGGUUAAGAAACAACCGGGGUAUGCAUGGAGACCAGGCGUAGGGGUCAUUAGUGCUUUAUCAGACAAGUGCCCAACUAGUUAUGUUAUAUUACAUGGUUAGUAAGAAACAUCUUCCAGGGAGAAUAGUUCCGUUAAGGGUUCCUUUCCUUGGGAGGCAUGCCCUAAAGUGCAUGUCCGGACUGCGAAAAAAGCAGGAAAACAUCUGGGGGCAGAUAAAUAAAUAGGUAAAAAAAUCAUCUUUCAAGUCACCGACCGAAUAUUCCCUUAAGAACGCUAGCUUUCGGCUUCACCCAGUCUGAGGUACACAUCCGGCUGACCCGGCAGUAACAAUCACAGAGGUGCUCCCUUUACCUCCUAGCCGAACAAUCGGGAACGUAGGGGUAAGCACAGGAGCCAGGCAACCCAGCUUGGCCAAAACUUAAGUCAUAUCGAUGCAUAUAAUGGUGAGUGAAAGGUACAUGUGGAAGCUUGACACAUGUGCUGGGCAUGAAGCCCUUAUAAUUGAGCUUCUGGAAAAUAAGCCCCCAGGUAUAAUGAGUGCGGAUGGCACAUCAAGUGUACGCAAACAAUGCGGAAGUAGGCCCGCAAGGGCUUUUUAGUAAAAAGGUUAGGGGAAGAAAGAGAAACAAAAGACAGCUGGAGUGUAAAAAUUUGAACGGAGGAAGGGGACGAACUCUUAGUCCGGCGCUAGGCAUAGAAUCUUCGGAGGCGGGCUGCGUUCCAUGGGUUCGGCUCGAGUCGGUUGUCCGACGCAUUUCGUAGACGGUACGCUCCGCCAGUCAGGACUUGAUCGAUAAUGAAGGGACCCUCCCAUUUGGGCUUGAGCUUGUCCUUUUUCUUGUCCGGCAGGCGUAGAACUAGUUCGCCAAUGUUGUAAGUCUUGGCCCGUACUUCUCUGCUUUGAUAUCUUCAGGCCUGCUGCUGAUAGAAUGCGGAACGAGCCUUGGCGACGUCGUGUUCCUCCUCCAAUGUAUCCAAGCUGUCCUGCCGAUCCAGCUCGGUCUCUCUUUCUUCGUACAUGCGCACUCGAGGUGAGUCAUGAAUAAUGUCGCAGGGCAGAACUGCCUCUGCGCCGUAUACCAUAAAAAAUGGUGUGAAUCCGGUAGUACGGUUAGGCAUUGUCCGUAGCCCCCAGAGUACGGAGUCGAGCUCCUCAACCCAGUGCGUGUCAGAUUUAGUAAGUGACCGCACUAGUCUGGGUUUAAUGCCGCUCAUUAUUAGACCAUUUGCUCGUUCCACUUGACCGUUGGUUUGAGGGUGAUAGACUGAAGCGUAGUCGAGCUUGAUGCCCAUAUUUUUGCACCAUGACUUAACCUCAUCGGCCGUGAAGUUCGUGCUGUUGUCGGUGAUGAUGCUGUGGGGGACUCCGUAACGGUGUACUACCCCGGAUGUAAAGUCUAUCACUGGUCCGGACUCUGCCGUUUUGACCGGUUUGGCCUUUAUCCAUUUGGUGAAUUUAUCCACCAUGACCAAUAGGUUCCUUUGCUUGUGGGUUCCCCCUUUAAGGGGUCCAACCAUAUCAAGCCCCCAGACCGCGAACGGCCAGGUAAUGGGUAUAGUUUUGAGGGCGGUGGGCGGCAUAUGGCUCUGAUUAGCAAAGAGCUGACAACCUACGCAUCUCUGGACUAAGUCCUGGGCAUCUUCCCGGGCCGUCGGCCAAUAAAAUCCUGUACGGAAUGCCUUUCCUACAAGGGCCCGGGCUGCUGCGUGGUGUCCGCCUAGUCCGGCAUGAAUUUCAGCCAGGAGGUUUCGCCCCUCCUCUUCGGAGAUACACCUUUGAAGGACUCCGGUUGUACUUUUCUUAUAAAGUUCUCCCUCAUGGACCUUGUAGGCCUUCGAUCGCCGGACUAUGCAGCAGGCCUCAUUUUGGUCUUCGGGAAGUUCCUGUCUAAGCAGAUAGGCUAGGAAUGGUUCCAUCCACGGGGCAAUUACUGCCAUUAUGUCGUGGGCUGAAGGUGUUAUGUCAUCGGCUGAAUCGCCGGUUGGCGCGGUUGUUUCCGGUUUGUCAUUUCCGGAUUCCUCUUUGCAUAGUACGGAUGGCUUGAAGAGCCGUUCCAGGAAGAUAUUUGGAGGGUCAUCAUCACGUUUCACACCGAUGCGUGCCAGUACAUCGGCCGCUUGGUUGUUAUCUCGGGCUAUGUGAUGGCAUCGAGUCCUUUAAACCGAGCUGACAUUUUUAGGACAGCGUUGCGAUAUGCUGCCAUUUUCGGAUCCUUGGCGUCAAAUUCUCCAUUUAUUUGGGAUAUUGCAAGGUUUGAAUCCCCUCGCACCUCAAGGCGUUGAAUGCCCAUGGAGACUGCCAUCCGGAGACCAUGUAACAGGGCCUCGUAUUCGGCUGUGUUGUUGGAGUCCGUGUACAUUAUUUGAAGUACAUACUGGACUGUGUCCCCGGUUGGGGACGUCAAUACGACGCCAGCCCCCAGUCCGGCCAACAUUUUAGAGCCGUCGAAAUGCAUAAUCCAACUGGAGUAUGCGCCGUACUCUUUAGGGAGUUCGGCCUCGGUCCAUUCAGCGACGAAGUCAGCCAAAACUUGUGACUUUAUAGCUCGCCGAGGUUUGUAAGUUAUAUCGAAUGGUAAGAGCUCAAUGGCCCAUUUUGCAAUCCUGCCCGUUGCGUCACGGUUAUUUAUGAUGUCAUUGAGUGGUACUUCGGAAGCCACUAUUAUCGAACACUCUUGAAAGUAGUGUUGGAGCUUCCGGGAUGCCAUGAACACCGCAUACGCUAUCUUCUGAUAGUGUGGGUAACAGGAUUUGCAGGGAGUUAACACAGUGGAUACAUAAUACACUGGUUUUUGAAGAGGGAAUUUAUGCCCUUCUGUCUCUCAUUCGACGACGAGUACCGCGCUUACGACUUGAUGCAUUGCUGCGAUGUAUAACAACAUUGGUUCGCCUAGAUUGGGCGCAGCCAGGACCGGAUUUGUUGCCAAUAUGGCCUUUAUUUCUUCGAGUCCGGCAGUGGCAGCAUCCGUCCACUCGAAGUGUUCGGUGCGCCUGAGGAGGUGAUAGAGGGGCAAUGCCUUUUCUCCUAGACGGGAGAUAAAGCGGCUUAAAGCUGCCACGCAUCCUGUUAAUUUUUGUAUCUGUUUGAGGUCUUUUGGAAUAUCCAACUGUGACAGAGCUCGGAUUUUAGUCGGGUUUGCUUCAAUUCCUCUACCGGAUACAAUGAAGCCCAGCAGCUUUCCGGCUGGUACGCCGAAAACGCAUUUUUCCGGAUUCAGCUUGAUGUCAUAUGCUCUGAGGUUGUCGAAUGUGAGCCUCAAAUCGUCUACUAGAGUUUCGACGUGUUUUGUUUUGACAACUACGUCGUCUACGUAUGCCUCGACUGUUUUGCUGAUCUGGGUAGCCAGACAUGUUUGAAUCAUGCGCUGAUAUGUUGCGCCGGCAUUUUUAAGUCCGAAGGGCAUCGUGUUGAAGCAGAAUGGUCCGUAUGGAGUGAUGAAUGCCGUUGCGGCUUGGUCUGCUUCCGCCAUCUUGAUUUGAUGGUAGCCAGAGUAUGCGUCGAGGAAGCACAAUGAAUCGUGCCCUGCGGUAGCAUCGAUAAUUUGGUCGAUGCGGGGGAGGGGGAAGGGAUCCUUUGGGCAAGCCUUGUUGAGGUCUUUAAAAUCGACGCAUAGGCGCCAGGAUUUGUCCUUCUUUGGUACCAUUACCGGAUUUUCUAGCCAAUCCGGAUGUUUGAUAUCUCUAAUGAAUCCGGCUUCCAAUAGUUUGGCUAGCUCUUCUCCCAUUGCCUGUCUUUUGGGUUCGGAAAAUCGUCGAAGAGCCUGUUUGACUGGCUUGAAUCCUUUUAGGAUGUUUAGGCUAUGUUUUGCCAGUCUGCGUGGGAUUCCGGGCAUGUCCGAAGGAUGCCAGGCGAAAAUGUCCCAAUUUUCCCGAAGGAAUUCGUGCAGUGCGGCGUCUACCUCGGGGUUUAAUUGUGCCCCAAUGGAGGCCGUCUUUGUUGGGUCCGUUGGAUGGACCUGGAAUUUCACUAUUUCAUCUGCUGGUUUGAAGGAGGUGGACUUGGAUCUUUUAUCAAGUAUCACAUCGUCCCUGUUUACUGUAGAGCGCAGCGCGGUGAGUUCUUCUGCCGCUAGGGCCUCGGAUAGUGCCUCCAGGGCUAGUGCGGCUGUCUAGUUUUCGGCGCGGAGUGCUAUGUCCGGAUCACUAGGGAGAGUGAUUAUUCCGCCGGGCCCAGGCAUUUUGAGCUUCAUAUACCCGUAAUGGGGUACGGCUUGAAAAACUGUGAAUGCCUCUCGUCCUAAUAUAGCGUGAUAUCCGCUGUUGAACGGGGCCACUUGGAGCGUGACUUCUUCAGAUUUGUAAUUGUCGGCGAGCCGAACACCACAUCGAGUGUGAUUUUUCCGGUGCAGCGUGCUUCCUGGCUAGGGAUUAUUCCUCUGAAGGUUGUGCUGCUUCGCUCAAUACGGCUCCAAUCGAUUUCCAUUUUUUGAAGAGUUUCCUCAUAGAUGAGGUUUAGUCCGCUGCCGCAUCCAUGAGGACCUUUGUAAGUCGAAAGCCGUCCACUAUGGGACUGAGCACCAGUGCGGCUGGUGCUCGGGCUGUUUGGAAUUUAGGUUCAUCGCUGGCGUUGAAGGUGAUAGUUGUGUCGCUCCAUGGAUUUGCUGCUGCUACUUGGUAGACUUCGGCGAGGCCGCGGAUUGUUCGUUUUCGCAUAUUGUUUGAUGCGAAGGUCUCGAAGACUGUUGAUACCGUACCAGUAUUGUGGGAGUGGUUUUCCGGGGCUAGAAGCUCCUCGCCACUUUUGGCCACCUGCCGUAAUAUCCAACAUGCUCGAAGGCUAUGUGUUGGGACGGCUCCCUCUGUGCUGUGAAGCUUACAGGGUCCUUCGAGCCAUCCCUCUAGUACGGUUUCGUGCCCUUUAUGGGGCUUUUGCUUUUUGGUUUUUGCAUCUGGGGCCUGAGUAUGGUGCGCCCUUUUGUUGCGGACUGGGGUUGUAUUCGGGGCCGGAUUAUCCCAAAAUUGGUUUUCGGUUUUCCGGGAACUCUCCAUCGCACAGUACUUUCGUACUAUGGACGCCAGAUCGGUGAAGCGUGUAAUUUUACGACGGCCGAUGGCGUUCAAUAUUCCCUUGUCCGUGCAAUUAUUGCAAAAGAUUUUGAUUGCGUUUUCCUCUCGGCAGUCCUUUAUCCUGUCCAUAACCAGGAGGAAUCUGGCCCAGUAGUGAUGUACUGUUUCAGCGGGCUCUUGCCGUAUUAGAGAUAGAUCGCAUAUGUCUGGGCGGGUGGGUGGACUAAAAUCCGGAUCCCUGCCCAUAUUGGGGCUUAAAGGCCGAGGAGUUUCCGAAUUCGGAAGCUUGGGUUGCUGGACACAAUCCAGCGAGUCCGGAACGAUGCAUGAUUUUAAGUUCAAUGCUCGAUCGAAGUCCGUCCCUCCGCAGAAAUCCGGCAUGGAGGGUUCGGGAAUCCGGACGUGACUAGUUUUCAAUAUAGGCGAAGAGUCGCCGCAUUGUUCCUCUACCACUGCGACGUGGUGGGUGGCCUGGGGAGAGUUAAUCUCUCUCAGAUCGGUUUUAAGCCCAAUCUGAUUGUAGUCUGUAGCAACUCCCAGGGCUGCGAUGCGAUCCAAGAGCUCGUUGAUAGACGAGAGCUCCAUUGGAUCCAGCCGCUCGGCAAAUUCCGAGCUGACGCGUAUAUUGCUUUUGACGACUUGGGAAGUCAUUGUCGAAGCAGUGGCCGGACAGGCGGUCAUAAGAAAACCGCCUAGCCGGAUAGUUUGGCCGGUGGCCAAGGCCUCUUUGGCGAAAAUACCGUCUUUGAAGACGGGUGGAGGCAUCCUUCCUAUCGGCGACGACACAGAGGAACUCUCAAUGAAAGCACCAAUGUCGGUGUCAAAACCGGCGGAUCUCGGGUAGGGGGUCCCGAACUGUGCGUCUAGGCGGAUGGUAACAGGAGACAAGGGACACGAUGUUUUACCCAGGUUCGGGCCCUCUCGAUGGAGGUAAAACCCUACGUCCUGCUUGAUUAAUAUUGAUGAUAUGGGUAGUACAAGAGUGGAUCUACCACGAGAUCAAGGAGGCUAAACCCUAAAGCUAGCCUAUGGUAUGAUUGUUGUAAUGUAUGUUGUGUCCUACGGACUAAAGCCCUCCGGUUUAUAUAGACACCGGAGGAGGCUAGGGUUACACAGAGUCGGUUACAAUGGUAGGAGAUCUACAUAUCCGUAUCGCCAAGCUUGCCUUCCACGCCAAGGAAAGUCCCAUCCGGACACGGGACAGAGUCUUCAAUCUUGUAUGUUCGUAGUCUUGGAGUCCGGCGGACGAUGAUAGUCCGGCUGUCCGGACACCCCCUAGUCCAGGACUCCCUCAGAGAGCAUCAUGCAUAUUCUGCAUACAACUUUAUUUUAAACAAAACAUAGUCGUGGAAAUUGCUAAGCUACUGGCUAUGUCCUGAAUAUACUGAAAUUGACUUCCCUGGAUUAAUGGCCUCAAGGUGGGCGCAAGUUCUGCAUGUUGAUCCAGCACAGAAAAGUCAUUACCCCUAAUAUUUGAUAGAGACAAAGGCACCGACACAGGAUCAUCGCAAAGCAAAAUCCAUUUUUAUCACCAACAAGAAAUGAAGAAACAAAUUAUUGGUGCUUCCUUUCUCUGUAGUUCUGAACCACUACUUGCAUUGUGUGGAUAACAGGUAACUUACAUAUAACAAGAAUGCUUUAUAAUUUGGAAGUAUAUGAUAUAAACGUGGACAAUAGUGUUCUCUCAAAAUCUGUAGCAAUCAAUGGAAAGAAGUAAAAGCUAAUCUCCUAACACAACAAUAUUCUCAGGUAUUUAUAGAGAAUAGGGGUCAUCUUUCUAUGGUAGGUACAAAAUUGACAGAGACAAUGGUACUGCUAGUAGUCAUCCAUUUAAUGCUGCUAUAGAAAGACCACCAAUAGGCACCCCUCAACUAUACUGGAAUUGUCACUCAUAAAUCCAGGGCUAGUAUGCCUAUAGAAGUGUUAGUAAUACAUCAGGUAGUUUUCUUUCCUUUAGAUGGGAUUUGGAAGAAUUAGUGAUACUAAAAACAUGCAGGCGUGAUUAGUUAAACCAUUACCGCUCAUUCUAACCUUACUGACUCAUAACAAUCAAGCCUAAAAACCAUGACCUGACCAUGGACAAAGACAAAGACAAAAUGGCCAAAAAGAAUUGUAACGAUAGUAUUGCGUACCAAUGAAAACUAAAUGGUAGUGUGAUGGUAAUGUGCAUUCAACCCUGGGUUUUUUUAUAGGCCACUUGAAAUUGGACAAGGAUUCAGAUUAGCACCUGAUCGGCACCAAUGCAACCGAUGCGGAGACGAGCUUGGACUCUUCGACGGCGAAGACAAAGUGGCCGAUGGCGCCCUUGGUCAUCUUCUCGUGGAAAAGAAAGUUGCCGCUGCUCGCGGCCCUUGACAAGGUUGAGCUCCGAGUCAUCCAUGUCGGCGCCGUCGUUCUGCUCCCAUAGUUAAAAAACAGAGGUAAUGUACCACACCACCAGGCAAGUAGUCUGAAUCAACUUUCAGAUUUCAUAUGGUUAGAUAUAGUAGACUAAAUUAAUUAGGCAGGGUUUGUGUACACAUCAGUAACAAAAUCAAUAAUCUAUAAGGCAAAGUUAGGCAAAUCCACAUACUGAAAAAACAUUGUUAAUGCAGUGUGAAAUAAGAAAGGGAUGGAACAUAGAAUACCUAUUCAUCAUAUGGUAAGAGAAGAUGUGCAGCAAAACAAGUUGUGCUGUUUGAAGAUGAGUGUAACCAUGGACAAUUAGGUCAACAUGUCCUGAUGCUAACAAAACCAGGGACACCUGAUUUAGUAUUAAAAUUAUGUUAAUGUCAAAUUCUUCAGUUUUGUUCCUAUAAAAAACGCCCACUGUAACUAUGUUUUAGUUCUUCAUCACUCCUGCCACUUUCCUAAAAAAAGGGGGAUAUCUUACUGGAGUAAUAACAAUGAAUAUCUUAUACUUCAAAAAUGUUGAAGUGGUAUCCCAGGCCAAAAUAAUUAAAAUUGCAAUUGAUCUAACACAAAUUCAUGUGUAGCUAAAUCUGUAAUGUUCAUGUGAACGAAUGUGAACAAAUGACAUAGCAGAAAACAACAGUACGAUAUUUAAACCUGGUUAUAAGCAGAACAUGAACAUCGUAACUGAAAUUGAAGAAAAAACCUGAAACCGUUUGAUGCAAUUCAAAAUCUUAUCAAUAGCAUCUUGACACCAGUCUAAGAUCCGUGGCAAUUUGAGCAUUGCAGCUCCUAGAAGUAUGUCAACAGAGAAAGGGGGAAAGAUUGAAUCCACGGACAAUGACAAACCUGAAAACAUAUGAUUUGAUCACUCCCAAGUUCGAACAUUACCUAGUCUAGUUCAUCGGAUAGAAAAACAUUACCUUGUCUAAGACCUGACUUCUGAUAACAUGUAGGUGCAGACCUUUGCUUCAUAUACACUUUCUGAAGCAGGAUUUGGAUCUGGAAGGUUAUAGAACUUCAGUUCAAUUAGAAAAUCUUGAUAAUAUCACAAGGAAUAGGAAGAAACCAUUAAAAAAUAUGUGACUGCAUCCUAACUCGUGCCUCUCCAAAUUAAAUCAUGUCACUCACCUGAAGAACUUCCAGAUUGCGGCCAAUACCACAAUUUACGUCGUCUUCUACUAAAAACUCUGUGCAAGCUCUUGUCCUUCAUGCAUCAGUCCAAUGAGCAGAAGAGCACAAGACAAGAUCAUGCACGUAUCGUAACGGGGAAGAUGUGAAUUACUUAACAACGUAUCUAAACGAAGCAGAUCGAAGACACACGUACGUACGUAUACAAAUCCAAUGAGCAACACCAAAAUCACAUAAGUACGCAUCCAAAUUAACCUUGAUGGGGAAGGAAGGAAAUCGAGAUUGAGAAAGCACCUUACCUUGGCGAUGGCUGGAACGAUCACGACGGCGGCGGCUAGCUAGGUAUUCACGGGCGCUCGCUCUGGAAACGGACGGAGCCCAGGAGGCGCCUCGCCUUGACGCGCGUGGUGGGUUCCUCACAGCGCGGAGGUGGAGGCGACCAGAGCCGACGUCGGCGCGGCGCCGAGGUUGGUGCGACGGCGAGCUCGGGCGGCGAGGCGGCGGGGCAGAAUCUGCAGGAGACGGCGGCGGGGACCUCGAGGCCGAGCUCAGGCCAUGGCUUCCCUGGCUCCAGAGGCCGUGGCGGCGCCGGACGCAGCGGCGGGGCGAGGAGGAGGCCGGUCGUCGGGGAGGCACGAGCUCCUCGUCCCCUUGAUCCAGAUCGGGAUCGAGGAGGGAGCAACAGGGGCGCGAGGGAGCAGGCGACCCACGGGCGGAGGGAGCUAGUGCGUCGUCUGAUUUUUUGUUCGCUGGUUGUCCCUGGUUAAUCUACGAAAUUUGUUUAGGACGAAAAAAAACCAGUGGAGGUGGGACGAAAAUUGACCGGCGGAGACUACCAACUGCUCCAUUAGGAGUAGAGAUCCUUUUUUGUUCCUUGUGGGACUAACCCAUGUAGGUAUUGAAAGUGCAACUCACUCCAAUGGAUUGCUCCAAAUGAUCUACAUCAAUGUUGAGCAUCCACAUCUUCAACAUCUACAUGAAGUCAUCAUCGACAAAACCCAAGGUUAGUUCAUCCCUCUAAAAAGGGGAUAUCACAUCUAGGGGGAGCUUUACUCUAAGAAUUGAGCUAAAGCAACUCCAAUGAUGUGAACACAACAAUGCUUUAUGUAAAAGUGGUAACCCCACUUGAGCUUAAACGAUGAGUAUGACCUAUGAUCAAAUGUUCUCAUUUGACUCCUAAGUCAAUAUACUCAUAUAUAGAUGACCUAGUCAUCGCCAAUUGCUUGAUAGAUGCUAGAGUGUUUGUGCAUGCUUUGCCACAUAUUUCAUUUGCUAUCUUAUUUGUGUGAGCAUGUUGGUUGCAUAAUUUUCUUCAUUCGAGGACAUCCAUUUGUUGUUUUGAUUGUUUGGUCUUUUUCUCUUGCCAAAUGGAUGGACAAGAAUGCCUAAGUACUCCCUCUAGCUAUCUAUGCUUUUCUCGUCUCAAACUCUAUUUAUGCUACAUCCCAAAGUUUGAUCAAGUCAGAUUCGACCCCUCUGGGUGAGGAGCACUCAGAGUCAUCGAUUCGUCAUAGACUUAAACUUCCAAAACCUCUUGAUGCAUCUCGGUCUGACCGAUUCAUACCCUUCGGUCACACUGAGUUCAUUAAGUUGAUCUAGGUUUCAAUCUCGGUGCAACCAAUUUGAACACUUUGGUCUCACCGAGUUGCAGUAACCGCUUGCGAUUCUGCAACUUGGUGCCACCGAGUUGUUCCACUCGGUCACACCGACAGGGUCUGGAUAUAUAUACUCACGGGUUGAAUUUUUGGAAAUUCCUCCAAAACUCUUCGCCCGUGCUGUCUAGCUCUGCUGACUCGUGGUCUCUGGAUCAUUGCCUCCAUCACCAGUGACCCCCUGCCACUGGUCUCCGCCGCCAUCAACGGACUUUCCUCCGUCGUUGCCGCCGUAGCGAACUCACCGCCAAGUUAGGGUAUGAGCUCGAUCCUUUGUGCUUUCUCACUCCGAUUCUUAGCACGAAGACAAUGCCAUGAUUCUUGCCACGAUUGAGAUUAUUAUAUCCAUCAAAAAGUUCCAUUAGAUUAGUUUUUAUUUGAAAAUUUAGGGUUAGGUUUCUGCCAAAUUCAUCACGAAUCGACCGAGUUGUAGGAAUCGGUCUCAUGGAUUUGGCCUAGGCCAUUGCACUGUGAUUUUCGGUCUGACCGAAACUCAUAAAUCGGUAUGACCGAGUUCAGGACUUUGUGAAACCCUAGCCAUAUCAGUUUCACCGAACUGUGCCUCAGUCUGACCGAGUUCACUAGUUUAGACACUGAACAUUGCUUCGGUGUCACCGAGUUCAGCAAAUCGGUAGCUCCAAAAUGACUUCAGUAGAAAACUAAAAGUAAGUUUUUGGCUCAAUUGUUUUGCAAAAUCUCUGCACUUUGUGAUGCUCAUCCACUCUAUCUCAUCUAUAUCUAUUCACAGGGUCAGCCUUCAGCUUGCAACAAUGUCUGACAACAAUGAUAGCUAGAAUAUGUGUGAGGAACAAGUUCAGAUGAGUGAGGGCACUAGUUCCUCUAAGAGCAGCUAUGAUGAUGGGAGCAGAAGCACUCCUAGCAAUCUGCCCAAAGCUGCAACUAGGCAGAGGAACAAGAAGACAUCUAAUUAUGAGGAUGAGGAUUUUGUGAUUGAUGAGGAAGUGAAUUCCAAGAGGAAAGGUGACAAGAAGGAAACUGGCACUUCUGCUAAUCUCAAGCCAGGGUUGAAGACAAAAGCUCCUGCAAGAAGAGUUCCCGUGUCCAAAGCCAGAGCCUCAACCCAAGAAACCAUGGUGUUCGCUUUUGAACCCAAAGAGGCUGGUGGGCAAAAAGAGGAAUAAGAGGGUCAAGAAGACAAUGGCCCGAGUCAUUGGGAUAUCUUCUAUAAUCAGAGACCCAGAAGAAGAAGAAGAGCAAGAUGCACCUCCUGCAAAAUCUCAGAAGCUAAUGGGGGAUGCAAUCAGAUCAGGGAUGCUCCUUCAAAGCCCAAAUUUGCCCCCAAGGCUACUGCUCAAGCCCCCAAGAGAUCCACCAGAAACAUUUCAGCUGCUGAGAAAAAUAAGGCCCUAGUGCCUGAAGUGGAAGAAGAAGGUCAAGUACUUAGAAAGUUGAAUCCCAAGAUUCCUGAUCACGAUGACACACAUCCUGUUGCAGAAAACAUGAAGCUGAGAAAGGAUGCGGGUCUCAGGCUAUGGAGGAAGAAUUACCCAUAUGCCAUUAGAAGGAGAACAACUGUUGACUACAGGUUCCACACAAAGGAACAACAAGACUUCUAUGAGACUGUGCUGCUUGAAAAGACGCCUAUAGUGAGUGACAUGAGAUGGGUCGACUGGGAGUACAUUGACAGCAAUGAAGAUCAUUUCCUAGGAGUCCAUGAGAGCUUCAAGUCAACAGGAGUUGAUGCAUUUGUUAGCCAGAAGUUGACAAAAUGGAAUGAUGAGUUGAUCAUGCAGUUCUACUCCUCAUCACAUUUUUACCCUGAUGGUAAAAUUGUUUGGAUGACAGAGGGUACCAGGUACCAAUCUACUGUGGCUAAGUGGGCAAAGCUGAUAAAUGCCCUAGAAGAGCAUGCGGAUGAUACUGAUGUAUAUGCUAAGCCAAGGAAGGGACAUGACUCAAUGGCUCAUAUGUACAAGGAAAUUCCAGAUGCUGCCUUGGACACCCACAAGUUUGGGUCUGUGUAUUAUCUGCUGUCAGGUCUGCCAACCAUCAACACAAUUCUCAGACACACUCUAUUGCCCAAGUCUGGAGAUGACAGGAUGAUUAGAGGGCACUCAAUAAUUUUGCUGCAUAUGUUUGAUGUGCCUGAAAAGUUCAAAGUGAUGACACUAAUCGUUGAGACAAUCAAGAGGACAGUAGUAGACCAGAAGAGAUCAUGUGGCUAUGCUCCACAAAUUCAGAUGCUCAUCAAGUCCAAGAUGGGCAAGUGCAUAUAUCUCUUGGACAAGGAACAUCUUCCCCUGCUACCAGAGUUUGAGGAUAAUGUGGUUGUCAUGGAUCCAUCACAUCCCACAUCCGUGCAGGCUCAGGAGAAGAAAGAAAAAGCUAGAGCAGAGAAGGCAACCAAGCCACCAAGUGCAUAAGAAGCUUCUCAGAUAUUCUUGAAAUCCAAGAAAGAUCAAUUAGGCUAUCUCAUUCAAGCAAGCUUGAGGAUUGAGAAAGGGUUGGCAACCCUGACUCAGAACCAAGAAAGUCUAGAGAGAAUCAUUGAGACUAAAUUUUAUGAUCUAGACUUGAAGGUCAAAGAGAUCCAAACUGCAGUUGAGCAACUCCAGGAUGAAGCUGAAGAGAGAAGAGGGAGAUCUACUACUGAAGCUUUUCAGAGAGUGCCAAGGGCACAAAGGUCUGCAGCUGUGCCAGCCAUUGACACCAGGGCUACAACAUCAGCACUAGCAGCUACAGCCUCUGUUGCUCCUCCAGUUGCAACUCCACCAGCUCCUCAGACCACUUCGGAUGCAUUCGUCGCGGGACUCCUCUCCACGCCACCUUCGCACUCCGGAGCUCCCGGAGAUCGUGCUUAGAGCCGCAUAACACUAUGCAUUUCAAGCUUUUUAUUAACUUGUUGCCAAAGGGGGAGAAAGUGUAUAGAUCAUAGGCUUCGAGAGAGAGAGAGAGUGUGUUUGCUUCUUUUGCUUUCUUGCUACUUCAUUUGAUUUGCUUGUUUGGUUGAAACAAUGUUUUAUGCUUGUGUGUGAGAUACUUGUAUGGUCAUAUGUUUGAUCAUAUCAUACUUUAAUGCUUGUGCUUAAUGAUGAUAUUCUAUCUCUCAUGUAUGAUCAUUCAUAUCUUAUUUUGGUGAUGAGUGCAUAUUUAAUAUUUUAUCAUUUUGAGCGCUCCACCAAGAUGUUGUGACAUGGAAGAGUGACCCAUGAUCCUAAUUGGUUGUGUAUUUGCAUUCAAAAGCAAAUUUCAAAUAAUGCACAAAUUUAGGGGGAGCUCUUUCUUAUCACAUACUUCUCAAAGCGACAAUGUACUUCAUUUGUACUAUCAUUUGUCGAAGCUUUGAUCUAUAUGUUGUCAUCAACUACCAAAAAGGGGGAGAUCGAAAGUGCAACUAAUCCCCGGGUGGUUUUGGUAAUUCAUAACAACAUAUAGCUCAUUGAACUAAUAUUCUUUCAAGAUCAAUGUUUCAGAAAGUUCCAUGGUUGGUAUGGCAUGGACUAGAGAUGUGGACCCCUCAAAAUGUUAAGGACACAUAUUGGCAAAAGCUCAAGACUCUACAUUUUCAUUUUAGUGAUCCAAGAUCACAUUGAGUCCAUAGGAAAGCCAAUACUAUUAAAAGGGGAUGAGGUGUUGCUUAAUGGCUUGCUUGCUCAAAAUGCUUAGUGAUAUGCUCCAAAAACCCUCAACCACUUUCUCAUUUCCACAUAUGUCCUAAACCUAAAGUCAAACUCAGCCCCACCAAUUUGAUAUAUCUGGCGCCAUCGAGUUCACUUGAUAUAACCAUAUCCACAAACACUAAUCAGUUCGGCCUUACCGAUAGGGAUCUCGGUCUCACCGAGAUGAGAAUGCAAACUCUCUGUUUCCCUUCGUAAUGUUUUGGUCUAACCAAAGUGAGAGAUCGGUCCCACACAGUUGGCAUUGCAAACUCUCUGUUUCCUUUUUGUAAUGUUUCGGUCUAACUGAGAUGAGCGAUCGGCCCCACCGAGUUUGCCUGACCAAGUCUCUGUUUGCUUAUUACUGAAAUUGGUCUCACCAAGUUCAUGUGAUCGGUCUCACCGAGUGAGGUUUUGCCCUAACCCUAGCGCAUCGGCCUCACUGAGUUGAUGUUGUCGGUCCCACUGAAAUGCCUAACAUUCACACUUUGAACCAAGUCGGUCUGAUCGAGUUUAACCAUUCGGUCCCACCGAGUUUGGGAAUUUGUGUGUAAUGGUUAGAUUUUGUGUGGAGGCUAUAUAUACACCUCCACCCCCUUCUCCAUUUAUGAAAGAGCCAUCAGAACGUGUCUACACUUCCACUACUCAUUUUCUGAGAGAGAACCACCUACUCAUAUGUUGAGACCAAGACAUUUCAAUCCAACCACAAGAAUCUUGAUCUCUAGCCUUCCCCAAGUUGCUUUCCACUCAAAUCAUCUUUCCACCAUAGCCAAAUCUGUGAGAGAGAGUUGAGUAUUGGGCGACUAUCAUUUGAAGCACAAGAGCAAGGAGUUCAUCAUCAACACACCAUCUAUUACCUUUUGGAGAGUGGUGUCUCCUAGAUUGGUUAGGUGUCACUUGGGUGUCUCCGUCAAGAUUGUGGAGUUGAACCAAGGAGUUUGUAAGGGCAAGGAGAUCGCCUACUUCGUGAAGAUCUACCCUAGUGAGGCAAGUCCUUCGUGGGCGAUGGCCAUGGUGGGAUAGACAAGGUUGCUUAUUCAUGGACUCUUCGUGGAUGGAGCCCUCUAUGGACUCGCGCAACCAUUACCCUUCAUGUGUUGAAGUCUCCAUCAAUGUGGAUGUACGAUAGCACCACCUAUCGGAACCACGCCAAAAAUCUCCGUGUCUACAUUGCAUUUGCUCCCUCCAAACUCCUCCCCUUUACCUUCAUAUGCAAUGAUUUACAUUUCGCUGCUAUACUUUUAGAAUUGCAUGUGUAGGUUGUUUGCUUGACUAAGUGCUAAGUUGCUAAAAUCUGCCAAGACUUAAAAUUGGGAAAAGGCUAGAUUUUUUAUUUGGUCAAGUAGUCUAAUCACCCCCCUUCUAGACAUACUUUCGAUCCUACAGUUUUGCAUACGGGGAAAUGAGAUGUCCAUGAAUAUCAGUCAAGUCAAGAAACUCAGAAAGAUUGUUAGGAUGAAGAAACUUGCAAUGAAUAACAACAAGAUCUUUGUUUUCACAAUGAAGAAGACAUCAGUCAACUAUAGGAUGGUACUAACUCUUUUACCUUGUUUUUACCCCUUGCGCCAUUUCAAAAUUUAUAACAGCGAUUUAUGCAUAUCUUUGUUUGCAGUACUUUUCAAAGUAGUUCACCGAUGAUUACCUCUCAAACCAGCUGCAUGGUCAAGAGGCGAGGAAGGUAUUCAUUCUACACCCAUGGUACAAUAUUGAAGUCUUCCUGAAGAGGACGAAGGUUGGGCGGGCAAUUAUCCAUAGCCACUGGCCUAAAGUUGCAAGCACAUUCAACAUCACUGUAGGCUCAAUAUUUGCCUUCUGCUUCUGUAGUUUCCCAGAUGAGAUUCAUCUGUCUAUUUACUGGGUAUGAUGCUACUUUCCAAAGGUUUUUGAUGUUGCAUGUGAAACUUGGUGAUGUUGUGUAAUGGCGUAACUGAGUGCCGAAGCUAUCUGAUGUAAUUCGAUUAUGAAAUCCUGGUUGCUGUUAUACGGCUAUGAAAUAUCUGGUGUGUUUUAUAAGAAAUGUCAAUUUGAUUACUACAUGGAUUAUAAAUAAUAGGGUAAUUACCUUGCUUAUUGGGGUUUUCUAUUGCAGACGGUUACUCAGAUAACACCGUGGGUGAUGAACUCAAACAACCCACACGGUUUCUAGAAAGUAGGCGUGUUCGAUCCUAACAAUCACACACGGCUUCUGAUAGAGAACUGUUUGCGUUAGGCCACCUUGCACAAACGUUUCCACACAAAAACCGUGUGUGAUAUACAUACGAACGAAAAUGUUUUUCUGGGAAUCACCGUGUGGGUAAUACAUACGAACGGAAACGAUUGAGUUUCGAUGCCUCGUCCGAUCGCACACGAGCUCAUUUUUCCUAAGCCUGUGUGCCAGGAGGGCCUAUCCUCGGCUGUUUCUGGGUCGUGUGGGAAGGACCCCCCCCUAUCGCAGUCACUCACUUGGCGACGGUUCGAAACGCCGUCGCGGAAAGGGGUUCAAAACCAUUUGUAUAGCACGUCUCUGCACCAGUGUAAGUAUAUUAGUUCUUUAUGACUAACGUGAGUUCAUGAACUAUUACGCACUCCCACCUAUCCACAUAUUGCUAGCCUCUUCGGCACCGUGCAUUGCCCUUUAUCACCUUGAGAGUUGGUGCAAACUUCGUCGAUGCAUCCAAACCCCGUGAUAUGAUAAGCUCUAUCACACGUAAGCUUCCUUAUAUCCUUCCUCAAAACAGCCACCAUACCUUCCUAUUAUGGCAUUUUCAUAGCCAUUCCGACAUAUAUUGCCAUCCAACUUCCACCGUUCUGUCUUAUGACAUGUGUGUUCACCAUCAUAUUGCUUUGCAUGAUCAUAUAGAGCUGGCAUGAUAUUUUUGGCAAAGACACCAUUCAUCAUUGUAAUACAUGUUACACUAGAUCAUUGCACAUCCUGGUACACUGCCAGAGGCAUUCAUAUAGAGUCAUGUUGUUUUAGUUUAUCAAGUUGUAAGUAAAUAAAAGUGUGAUGAUCAUCAUUAUUAGAGCAUUGUCCCAGUGAGGUAAAGAAUGAUGGAGACUGUUGAGUCCUCCAAAAAUGUGGGGAUGAGGUUGUUGAUAUUGUUCUAGAAAAUGAGAAAUGAAAAGAAAUGAGAGAAAAAAAGAGAAGGGCAAUGCUACUAUCCUUUUACCACACUUGUGCUUCAAAGUAGCACCAUGUUCUUCAUAUAAAGAGUCUCCUGAGUUGUCACUUUCAUGUACUAGUGAGAAUUUUUUAUUAUAGAACUUGGCUUGUAUAUUCCGAUGACGGGCUUCUUCAAAUGCCCAAGGUCUUCAUGAGCAAGCAAGUUGGAUGCACAUCCACUUAGUUUUAAUACUGAGCUUUCGUACACUUAUAGCUCCAGUGCAUCCGCUGCAUGAAAAUCCCUACUCCUCACAUUGAUAUGGAUUGAAAGGCCUCGCCAUUGCCUAUUGAUUCGCCGAGUCUCCUAUUGGUUCGAUAACCUUGGUUCUCUACUGAGGGAAAUACUAUCUGCUACUAUAUUGAUUCACCCUUCUUCUUCGGGGAAAAUCCCAACGUAGCUCACAAGUAGCAGUAACACAUAUCAUGCUCCAGCGCAGCACCCUCGCGACCCCGAUGAUGCUCCAUUAAAGCACCCCUGCGCCCCCGCGACGCGCCAUUGAAACACCAGUGGCUCGAUGAUGCUUCAUCGCAACCCUGGCGCCCCCUAGUGAAGCUCUAUUGCAGCAUUGGUAGCCCCCAACGAAGCUCCAUUGCAGCACUGGACGACCUCGAUGGAGCUUGGUCACAACACCGGCGGCCCCGGGGAAUCCCCAUCACAACACUCAUGAUGCUUUGCUACAACGUUGACACCGACGUGGCGGUGCUACAUCGCAGCGCUGGUGUCCCGACGUAGCUCCCAUCGCAACAUCGGUGAUUGCGUCUUUGUGUUGCGUGGCAACACUAGCCGGGAGUAGCGCCCUCCUCCAGCCUCCUUCUUCCUGCUGCGUUGCAACACUGGCGGCGAGUAGGCGACCCCCUUCCAGCAACUACAUAGCAGCAGAGCGCGAGCAGCUCCGCUUUUGGCCUGUUUGUUACAUCGCAACGGUGUGCGACAAACAAAAAAAACAACCAUUGCGGCGGAGAUGAAGCAUACGGUGGUCGCCGUCAUUCUCAUGUUUUACAUCAACGGUGGGUGGGGUUGGGCACGUCGCCAUGGGAGCUCGACGUGGGGAGGGGAAUGAGAUGAAUGAGGGAAACACAUGAAUGGAGAAGAGCUGCAGUGCGAAAAGAUGAGGCUUACCGGAAAGCGGUGGUGGGUCCACAUGGGCACGUGUUCAUCAAGGACGCGGCUUAUAUUUGAUUGUUAUCAUUCAACUUAGAAUAAACAUUUUUCUAUAGCUAGUGACGAAUUAUCAAAGGGCAAAGUGAGUAUAGUGGCAAAAAAUAAAAUAAAAACCCGGAAAUCAAACGGUUUGUGAAUAUUUGGAGUUCAUUUCAAACAUAUCUUGACGGGGCAUCGCUGAAAGAAGAAAACGGAGAGAAAACACCCGAAGGCAGAAGCCCAGUUACAACUAACAAGUGUGGCCAUGUGCGUGCUCCUCCCCAUCUGGGCCAUUCCCCCCGAUCUCCCCACUUCACUAAACCCUACCCACCUCGCCGCCGCGUAAACCCCCACCCAUCCCGCCGCGCGGCCCAUCUCCAGCGCACAACCAACGCCAACGCGAACGCCGCCGCCGCUACCGCCAUGGCGGCCGCCUCGAGAAGUCUUCUCGCACGCCUCCGCCACCUCUCCCUCGCCGGGCCCCGCCUCCCCCCUUGCCGCCUCUUCUCCGCGGAGCCUCUCGUCUCCCAUCCCGACGACGACGAUGCCGGCGCCGGCGGCGAGGGCGGAGGCCGGAUCAUAGAGGCGCGUCCUGCUGUCAUGGGCCCGGAUUCCCGGCGGACCGGCGUGAUCGGCGUGAAGUGCGGCAUGUCGGCGAUGUGGGACAAGUGGGGGGCCAAGGUUCCCAUCACCGUCCUCUGGGUCGACGACAAUGUCGUCUGCCAGGUCAAGACCGCCGAGAAGGAGGGGUUCUACGCGCUGCAGGUGCUGCAAAUUUCUCAUCUUUGUACCAAACUUUGUAUAUGACAGGGAUCACAAACUGCUGCAUUGUUUCACACUUCACUGACAAAAUAAGUACUCCUUGGUGUUCCACUGAGAAAAUAAGUAUUGGAACUUGAUUCUGUGAAAUCUCAAGGAAUUAGACUCAUAAAAGUAGUGCUAGUUUUUACCCAUUUGUUAAGACUCAAAGCAAUUUGAGUGUUUUGUGCCUUUAGGUCUAAAGUUUGGCCUCCCAUGCGAUUAAGGUUCGAUCUAGACGUAAGAUGUCGUAAAAUAUAUUUUUGUUAGAAAUUUAAGUGCUCUUCGAUGACUUAUUGGUAACUCACUACAUGACUAGAUCAUUAGCGUUGAGACUAGCUGCCGAAGGUAGUUAUGUUUAUUUUAUGUUUGUGACCAAACUCAUGUAAUAGCGAUUUUCUUCCCACGUCUCUCCAAUGGGGGCUGGGAAUUAUAAUUUAGAAAAAAACAGAACACCUAGCCUGCUUCACGUUUUCUUACCAUUCUCUACAAACAUGAUAUCGUGUGUAUUAGGUCGGCUGAUCAAAUCAGGUUGUUUUAAUUGUGCUCCCAAUGUUUUGUCAUCUCCUAAAUUUGCAGUAACAACUAGCAAUAUGCUUGAGGAAUAACCAUCGAGUUUUGUUAGCGCUAAGUUCAUGCCAGUUGCUGCAUUGCAGAUGACUACCUGCCCCCAAAAUGGAUAAUUUAGACACAUUAGUGCAAUAUAAACAUUCCAUCUUGGUUCUGUAUUUUGUUGAUCUAAAUGCAAGUAUAUAUGUUUAGUUUGUUUAGUUUGUAGCACUUAUGCUCUUCAGGUUUUGUUGUUACCACUUUUAUAGUGCAAAUUUUCGCUAACUUCUGAAAGUCUCUCCUGGUAUUUUUUUAGCUCGGAGCAGGCCAAAAGAAGGAAAAGCAUCUAACAAAGCCUGAAGUGGGCCACUUUAGAUCACAAGGAGUCCCUCUUAAGAGAAAAUUAAAGGAGUUUCCUGUUACUGAGGAUGCACUUCUUCCUGUUGGAACAACCAUCUCGGUUCGUCAUUUUGUACCUGGGCAAUUUGUGGAUGUCAUUGGAAUCACAAAGGGAAAAGGUUUUGCGGUAUGUAUUUUUGUCUACCACGUAAAAUGGUUUUUGCACUUGCUGACAAAUCACCAUGUUUACCAUUUUAUUUGAACACAGCGUCAUUAAAUAGUCGGUUUCCUUCCGUAACACCUCUUCCUUCAAAAAUAGACAAUUAAAAUUGUGUGCAUCUGCUUCAAAAUGUUGUCUAUACAUCCUAGGGUCCUAGCUAUCCCUUGAUUUUAGGAAGCAGCCUUGUUCCAAAAACCUUAAUGUUUGCUUUCGCUGCUGGCUCUUUGACAAUCAAGUCAUUGCCAAUGAUUUUUAAAAACAUAGAUAAAUACAAAUAUUGAUUGCUGGUAAUUAAAAAUGCAGUUUGGUUAUAUGUGAGAUCAACUUAAUUGAUGAAAAUUGUUUUAAAUUUCUUUUAAAUGUAACACUAGCAACGUUUACGAGUCGACGAGUCGUUCAAAGGUUGAGACUCAUAGACUAAUCAUGACUAGUCUAGACUACUGCUGGACUAGGCUGACAUGGUACUGUAGCACACAACUUGCAGUAAUCAAUUACUAAGACCUAGUAUUAGUAUGUAAUAUUACUUCCGUCCAAAUUACUUGUCUUAGAUUGGUCUAUAUACGGAUAUUUCUAACACUAAAACGUGUCUAGAUACAUCAAAUCUAAGACAAGUAAUUCGGGACGGAGGGAGUAUAUACUCCCUCCGUUCCACAAUGUAGUGCGCCCGCGCUUCCCGACGUCCAAGUUUGACCGUAAAUUUAACCAACGAGACCGACUGCGGUGGGAGCAAAAAUUAUACCAGUGAAUUCAAAUACGAAUUCACUGGUAUAAUUUUUGCUCCCGCCGCAGUCGGUCUCGAUAGUUAAAUUUAUGGUCAAACUUGAAUCUCGGGAAGCGCGGGCGCACUAUAUGAUGGAAUGGAGGGAGUACUAUACAAAGUGCAUUGGAGCGUCAAUUUGUCCUGCAUAUCAGGCCAAUAAGCAUAUUUCCAUUCUGGAUCCUUGCUCCUAGUUGGCUUCUUGCAGGAUCCUUCGAUGGAUCGUAUUGCUCAUCGGCUUGAGCUGCAGCAGCUGCUGAACACACUACUUGAGGUAUCUCCGGCGGCGUAGACAUUGCAGUUCAGACCGAAGGAUCUUGAAACUGAAGCAAGCAGGGGUGGAGGGGCGGUGGUGGGUGCCGGCACCGGUGGGACAUUGGGUGCUGGCGGCGCCUCCUACCAGACUCCCAGGCGAGGCGGCUCGGAGCGGGCUGGAAACUUAGCGGGCGAAAUUUUCCCUCUCAUGGGCUGUGGGCUCUGGGCUGGGCGGCUCGCUCACUUAUCCUCUCCCAACCCUUUUUUUUAGUCGAACGACUCAAGGUGCACGACUAGUCCUUCGACUGCUCGACUCGGCGAACUAGUCUACACGAGAUUUCUAGUUGACACCUAGAAUGCGACUCAUAUAGUAGUCUAGCAACUAGUCACUCUGACUCGUAAUCAAUGAACACUGGUAUAAUGUUAGUUUGGGAUGUUAAUCUAAGUUGUGGAUGAUUUUCAAUGUUUCAACUUAAUUUCACGUCGCCAAUGCAAUCAAGUAUAUAUAUUCUCAUAAUGUUACAACUUAACUUUUGCUGCUACACUUAAGAUACUAGUACUUUCCUCUUUUAGAACAAACCAAUUACUGAAAUAUGUCAAUGUAACACUGUACAUCAAUUAUAUAACAUUAUAUUUUCUACUCCUGUAGGGUGGCAUGAAAAGACAUGGUUUUAGUGGGAUGCCUGCAUCACAUGGUGCUUCUUUAUCACAUCGCAGCAUCGGUUCUACAGGUCAAAGGGAUGCUCCUGGCAGGGUAUGUUAUAAACUCACAAGUCCACGCACUGAACAAUUCGUAUACAUGUCUCCUCUGAAAAGAGACAUGGUAGCCAUUAGAACACGCAGCAUUGGACUUCUGCUGGAAGUUAUGCACCCUCUUGGCAUGACUAUUCUUGGAUGUUGUAUUUAUUUGCCAGUUUAUUUCUAAUAUGUAAAAUGAUUAGGAUAGAUAAGACCUUGCUUCAGUAAUUAGUAGCAGUGCUGUUUUAUUAUACUUCUAAUUAGUGAGUAAUCAUAGGACUGCCUUGUGUGUUGUGCAUAACUGCAUAAUAUUAAGUGGAUUUGCAUCUUCUAUCUUUUUUAGUGUCUACUCAGGGAGUAUCAUAUAAGGUUUAAUCUUAUAUGUAUCAGUGUAUGUGCCCAAAACAAUGAUUGUGUCUCCCUAAGAUUGUAGUGUAUGCUGUUAUUCUGAUCUUAGGCCUUCUUUGGUUUGUAGGAUUUUUGUUGGAAAAAAUUGUUUGGAGUCCUUUGGUUUGGUAGGGAUGAAUUCAUAUUCCUAUGGAGGAUAGGAACCAAUCCUUCACAUUUCAAAGGAAAAAAAACAUGGGCCUAGACCCAAUAGAAAAAUUCCUUUCCUAUGAAUCAAGUGACAUCUCUUUCACUAUAGGAAUUGAGAUGCAUGCCACCUCACUUUCUAUGGUUUUUCUAUUCCUAUGAUAUUCCUAUCCUGAAGGGGAGCCUUGGCGCAGUGGUAAAGCUGCUGCCUUGUGACCAUGAGGUCACGGGUUCAAGUCCUGGAAACAGCCUCUUGCAGAAAUGUAGGGAAAGGCUGCGUACAAUAGACCCAAAGUGGUCGGACCCUUCCCCAGACCUUGCGCAAGCGGGAGCUACAUGCACUGGGGCUGCCCUUUAUGAUAUUCCUAUCCUAUGGACCAAAAGGAGGCCUUAGUGAUGGCUUCACUGGAUGUACAUGUAUAGAUGUAUAAGACCCACAAAAUAAUGCUUCUCACGGAAAAUGAUAUGUGCACUUUGCUUUUUACCCUUGUGGCCUACAGUGACUUGAAAUUCGCUCAAUCAAGUUUUUACAUCCUGAUGGAGUUAAAUCUCAAAGCUUAAAAGUGGUGUUGGUAAUGCGCAUGCAUCAGCAACAAAGGUAGUUAGGGCUUUAGGGUUUGGGUCCUUGGGGUUUUGUUUCUAGGGAACAUAUUAUUUUUCUUCCUAAUUCAAUUGGAAUCUAGAGAGAGACAAUAAGGGUGCUAAUUUUACUUGAUACUUGUCAAACUGGCCUGUGCUCACAUAUGCUACGUUGCACGGAUACUUGGAUACGUAUCGGAUAUGCGAUAUGGGGAUACGCCCGAUACGUCAGUUUUCUAAAAACUAGGAUACGGGGAUACGUUUGUAUACAACAACAACAACAAACAACAACAACAAAGCCUUUAGUCCCAAACAAGUUGGGGUAGGCUAGAGGUGAAACCCGUAAGAUCUCGCAACCAACUCAUGGCUCUGGCACAUGGAUAGCAAGCUUCCACGCACCCCUGUCCAUAGCUCGCUCUUUGUCGAUACUCCAAUCCUUCAGGUCUCUCUUAACGGACUCCUCCCAUGUCAAAUUCGCUCUUUUGUAUAUGCAUAUUAAUUAUUAAAGAUAUAAAAAAAUAACGAGUUUUCAGUAGGAAACACACAGUUUUCUUAAAAAUUUGAAGUCUUCACAAUUGCUUAACAAAUACUGCAUUUCUACGGCUGGACGAUGUCAAUGGUUUGACAUAAUUGCUUAACAAAUAAGGUAAUCACAUUCACAAUUCACACAUCAAAUUCACACGCACAUAGUCACAUAGAUAGAUAAAUAUCAUAAUUUAGGUUCAGGUUCUCACAAAAUAAAACGGGAGUUCACAUCACGACCAGCUCACAAAUCAAUAAGGCUUCUCCUCAUUAUCAUCUUCCGGGAUCACACGAGCAGCAGCCAAUACAUGGACUGCAUCCACGCUACCUCCACUGCCUGCUUCACUUCUAACUGAAGAAGACCUACUAGACAUGGCCGAUCUGCUUGGUAAAAGGAGAUUAGGAAAACAGAUUAGACAAUUUGAUCUUAAAACCUAAACCUAAAACACCUACGUACAGAAUUCAGAGAAGGAGAUGGAGAAGAGAGCUCAGAGAAAGAGAGGGAGAUGAGAACAUACCUCCUGCAGGGGAUACACGGAUGUCUUCUGCCGGUGACGAGCCAGCGACCGAUCAGCGUCGAUUGGAUUGGAGUUCAGAAGGUGAGAAGGAGAGAAGAACAUGCGGGAGAGGAGAGAACUGGAGCUGAGAAUUUACGGAGAGUUGGAGACCUGCGGGCUGGGACUGCUUGCCUGCUCCAAGGAGUCGAGGGGACGAGCUGGGAAUUGUUGACGUGCGGCGGCACCAGGAGGGGAUCGAGGAGUUUUCAGUUUUUCACGUCGAACGAAGGGGUUGCCGUAUCCAAAGCGUAUCCCAAAGGUAUCCCAGACGUAUCAAACACUACUUUCUUUAUUUUAAAUCAAUAAAUCACAGGAUACUUACGGGAUACGUAUCGGGCAGUAUCGAGGCAGUAUCUGAGUAUCGGGGCAGUAUCCGGCUGGAUACGCGCACUUUCUGAAGUAUCUGUGUGACGUAGCACAUAUGCCAUCUGUCGGCCAUCUCAGAAUACGUGCCAAUAGCAACAAUGUAGCUACUUACAUGUAUGCCAAAUGAAUUUGACUCCUGACAGAUGUUAGUGAGUGAAUUUGUAAAUAUAUAGAGCAAAAUAAUAGAAAAUCCAUGCAACUUGAUUGUUUUUAUAGUAAAAUAUAGCAUUCUCAAGGUAGAACCCGUCAAUAGAAGCUAUUUUUUUUAAUCCUUUCCAUGUAUUAUGUGCAACAUUGUGGAACUUUUCGAGUUUCCUCAGGUGGAAGUGACCAGUGAGGCCACUUUAAAUUAUCACCAAGAAAUGAACAUUAUUGAAUGUUUCAAGUUUCUAAGGUGUGAGCUACCAGUGAGGCCGCUUUAAAGAAGCACAAACAGAUGCACUUCUGAAUGUGAAUUGGCAUUUAUAAGUUUAGUUUUUGGGUAGGAAUGCGCUAUUUGAAGCUGUCGGUGUGUCCUAAGCAGCCGGUAGUACUCCAUAUAGGCUAACAGCUGUAACAAUGUUGCAGGUUUUCAAAAACAGGAAAAUGCCUGGGCGCAUGGGUGGUGUUCAACGCACGGUGAAAAAUGUAUGGGUUUACCAAAUUGACCCUGCCAGGAACUUACUGUAUCUGAAAGGCCAGGUAAUUUCAUCUCCACUGUGCAGUACGUCUUUUAGCUAAAAUGUUUAUGUUGUGAUAUGUGUGUUAUGCAUUCUCUUGUGAACUUUGCAGGUUCCUGGUCCUCAAGGCAGCUUUCUUUUCGUCAAGGACUCUAUUUACAAGAAACCCGACAGAGCUUUCCUGCCAUUCCCUACGUACUUCUCACAAGAAGGCGAGUUGGAAGACAUGGAGCCGCUCAUUGCUGAUCUUGGUGACGUCGACCCGUUCAUGGCAGCAGAUUAAGACUAGGACAAAUUUCGAAGAAUCCCUUUUGCUUUCAGUGCAGUGUUGACAAUCCCACGUGAUUGUCUGUUAAAUUUUGCAUUGGAUAUAUGAGUAGCUCCUGGGUUACAAGAGUUACCCCGUUACUGACCUGCCAGAUCAAUGUUGUUCCAUGUACAUUACCUGGCAUAUAUGCCAGGGCCCUGACUCAGUUAGGGUUUUGAGCUGAUUGUUUGGUCGACUGAGUGGAUCUUAUUUUGUUUAAUAAGUUGUGUAAGCUAUGAUUCAGAUAGAUAUAUAAAAUCGAAAAUCUCUAUUCCGAGGUUACUAUUCUAGUUUCCUGAUGAAGUAAUUUCCGCCAUUGCCUGAUUAUACCGCUAGUCCAUUUUUCUUUUUUCGUGCUAGCUUACUAGUACUACUGUGCAUGAAAACAUGAAUGUACACGAGACUUUGCAAACCAGGCACAGCUAACUAAAUCUCGUUUUAAGUCAUGUAUUUAUGUAUGUCUAGCAACACACAUGAGAUAUGUAACAACAGAACGUCCUUUGCAUAUAAGCCUCGUCACCCUCACAAAAAAUAUUCAGCCUAAAGCAUAACCGUUUAGACGCAGCUGCCACCGUCUCCUCUCCAAGGGGAAAAAAAGCUUAGGGUUUCUCUGCCUCUGCCGGUCCGCCUUUUAUCUGGUGGCCUUAUGGUGGCGCGGUGGACCUCUGCCCUUGCCGGCAGGAGGGAUCUUGCUUAUCUUUUUAGGUAUUUUUGUGAAUUUUUUUAGGGUUUGUGUCCUGCUUAGAAAAAUGAGAUGAUAGCUGCUCUUUGAAGUUGGAAUGAUGUUCUCCCUGUCUAGUCCUUGUUUCAAUGAUGCUCUAGUGCCGUCGGAGGGCAUGUGAAAAUGUGUCUACAACGGAUCUUGCGAGAUUCGAUCGGUGUUGGUCUUUUGUAGAUCUCCUUGGAGUCUUUGUUCGUCUUCUCCUUUCAAUCUACACUUCUCUUCAUGGGCGAAGCUGUUGCUCUUGUGUAGGUCCCGCAGGGCCUCAACACGACGGCUUUUCAACUUUUUAUUACAACAAGUUUGGCCAUGCUUCGAUGAGGGAGGGGCGAUGACGUCGACACACAUUCAGCUCACUCCAGUGCUUAUAGUCGUCGCUAGGUUGUUUACGGGCAUGGAUAUAAUUUUAUUAUUUAUGUAUUCUUUGUACUGUCAUGGCAUGAUGAACAAAUCAAAAAAUUUGAUCACAAAAUAAAAUAAACAAUAACAUAGAACCUAAUCAAUUUUCUCUUUUUAAAUACUGGUGAAUAUAUACAUGCAAUGCACGUUGAUAUUAGAAGAAAAAUUGGACAUUGAUAUUAAAUAAGAUAUCAUUAAUUACGUGUAUACUGUAGAUCUUAAUAUUUGGUACGAUAUUAAUUGCACGCUGAAAUUGAAGAAAUAUAGGUCAUUGGAUCGACAUAGUUUAUCGCCGAGAUUUGUUAGAUAUGUCUCUCUAGGUCUUUUUUAUCUCAUUUAAUUUAUAAAAUUUAAUUUAAUAUUCUUAAAUAAAUUCUGUAAAUACAAGGGAAAGAUCCUAAUCAGUUUUGCUAUUUCAAGGGAACAUCCUAAUCGAAACAACACGCACUUGCCCCGCUCCAGCGCCAGCAGUUACCGUACUGUGCAGGGCUCCCCACCAACUCCGACAUUGUGGCGUCGUGCGCUCGACCGGACCCCUCCUUCCCCCCUCACCUCCCCUCCCCUCCGUUGCCCCCGCUUCUCCAACCAGCAGAUUCCUCCNNNNNNNNNNNNNNNNNNNNNNNNNNNNNNNNNNNNNNNNNNNNNNNNNNNNNNNNNNNNNNNNNNNNNNNNNNNNNNNNNNNNNNNNNNNNNNNNNNNNNNNNNNNNNNNNNNNNNNNNNNNNNNNNNNNNNNNNNNNNNNNNNNNNNNNNNNNNNNNNNNNNNNNNCCUCCCCCGCCACCCAGGCCAGCUCCCCCGCCGCCGGCGCCCCCCUCCGCCGUGGAGCUCGACAUGGACGACGCCUGCGCCGUCUGCGCGGAGCCGCUCGAAUGGGUGGCCUACGGCGCCUGCGGCCACCGCGAGGUCUGCUCCGCCUGCGUCACCCGCCUCCGCUUCGUCCUCCGCGACCAGCGCUGCUGCCUCUGCAUGACCCACUGCCCCGCCGUCUUCGCCACCAAGGUCAGCACCACCUACCUAGGGUUUUUUCAUCCGCGCUUUUCCCCUGCCCGCCCCCAACCCUCUCGCCCCACGCGCCGCCCCCGCGCCGCGCGCGUCUCAAAAUUUCGAAUUCCGCCCUCAUGGAUGGCUUCUCGCUGCCCAGGAAAUGGGGGACCGCACCAAGGCGAUCGGCGAUCUCUCGGCGCUGCCGGCCGCGGCCGGCGAGGGCAAGACCGGGGAGUACUGGUACCACGAGGCCACGCAGGUGUGGUUCGACGACGCUGACCAUUACAGGAUGGUAAGGGCGAUGUGCCGGAUCUCCUGCACCGUCUGCGAAAGCAGCGGCAACAAGGGGAAGAAGGGCAGUAAGUCGUCCAAGGCGAAACACAAGAUCAAGUUCGACAGCAUUGAGCAGCUCAAAGCCCAUCUGUCCAACAAGCAUUGCUUGUACAUGUGCGACCUCUGCUUGGAUGGGAGGAAGGUGAUGCAAUUGAUGGCCUGCUUGUCCUUGUUAACUGCUUUAAUCUUCUAGAUACAUCAUACAUCCUUUUUUGUUCAUUUUGGUGACAAGUAUUUUCGGACGGAGGGAGUAUUUUCUAAUGUGAUGAAAUGCUUGCUGGUAAUACCAAUAGCUUCGUGCAACACUAGGCAUAUAACUUGGUGCGGCGUGGUCAAUUCAUCCUUGCAUUUAGUUGUGCAGUGCUCAAUACCAGUUACUAAUGCAUUAAGACUUGAUUUUUUCUUGUGUUGACAUGAUAGUUCUUAGAUCAUGUUGCUGUAUGAUGCUAUUAGUAUCAUUUACAAACUAGUAGUGCUUUGCCAUAUUUUUGUUGCCGUUGUUGUCAUCUACAUGUAGCAAUGGAAGUAUUAUUUCCUGAGUGUUGAUUGUAUUAUUUUUGCUAGCCCGUUGCUCUCCAUACCAACUUAACACAUGUCAUCCCUUGUUUUUAUCCACCAGUGGAUGAUAUAUCAUAUAAUUCUCUCAUUUAGACCAUAGCAAAAAUGUAUGUAUUCUUCCUAAUAGUAGAUAAAAUAUCUAACCUUUUUGGAGUUCCAUCACUUCUUUUCACUCCAACAUUCAAGUUUAUUACAUCAGAUGUGAACAAACAAUGGUUAAAUAGUUCAGAAGAUUUGUUGAUUUGAAGAUUUGUGUCCACAAAUUAGCAUUUCCAUUCUCUUGCAGUUCACAUUUACAUGCUUAAAAUAGUUAGGAGAACACCCAAAUUAACAUAGCUGAACCAUAUUUUUCAACCUGCUGCAUAAUGAUUUAAUGUUUGGCAUAUUGCCAAUUCCCACUGAUUUCUUUUUACCAGCAGGGAAAAUUAGUUAUGAAGGUACAUCCUGCUUAUCAUGAUUGCAUACUUGGCUUGUAGCCCGAGCAAUGAAUAUUUCAUGUAUUCCACAAUAUUUGAUUUUUAUAAGAAAUUCCUGUACUGUUGUUGUCUUGAGCAGGUAUUUAUUUGCGAGCAGAAACUUUAUACAAGGCCUCAAUUAAACCAGCACAUAAAAACCGGUGAUUCAGAGGUGGAUGGCUCGGAAGUUGAGCGCCGGGGUUUUGCAGGGCACCCGAUGUGCAAGUUUUGUAAAAGCCCAUUUUAUGGAGAGACUGAGCUAGAUACACAUAUGACAAGAGAACAUUAUUCUUGUCACAUAUGUCAGAGGUGCUACGCAACCGUUAUUUUAUUUGUUGGGGCAUAAGUACAAAGCUUAGGGUUUCUCUGACUUCAUGGUUGUUUACAGGCAGCACGGUGGGCAGGAUGAUUAUUUCAGGAACUAUGAUGACUUAGAGGUAUGUCAUAUCAAGUUGGCAUAGUUAUACUAAAGUCAGAGUGCUAUCUUAAUUUUAGGCAGUAAAACCAACAUAAAUACAUGUAAACAUUGCAUCUAUGGGCAAAUUUGUACUACAGAGAUAUUGGAGUGGAUACCAAAUAUUGUGUAGAUAAGAUAUAAGGUUCUAUCCUUGCCCAACUAGGUUAUUUGAAUAGAAUUGUAUAUUUUACCCAUUUUUAAUCUCCGAGUCUAUAUUUGUUAAGUAUGCCUUAUGUUUGGACCAUCAAUGUACUCCCUCCGUCCGGAAAUACUUGUCAGAAAAAUGCAUAAAAAUGGAUGUAUCUAGAACUAAAAUACGUCUAGAUGCAUCCAUUCCUACGACAAGUAUUUCCGGACGGAGGGAGUACAUUCACAAGGUGCUAGGCACCAAUCAGGAAGCAGACCAGCGCCUAGUCCUGCUUAGGCGGCUGCCUAGGCGAGAGGGUGUACCCUAGCAUGUAGAUGCCACCUAUGCAGACUAUGGCUAGGCAGCGCCUUUCGGAACACUGUAAUGAGUAUAUUGAUUAAAUUGAUGUCACAUCACUUCCGCAGUUGAAGGUCAUGUCCGUAGCAGUUAAGCGAGACCAUAGCAUAUUGUCUAUCUCUUCCAACUGGAGCUGUGCCUGCUAGAUCUAUUAUCCUUGAUGUGGAUAUAACAUGGUCUCCAUUUUCGGUGCCUAUGCAUGCCAUUCCCACACAAGAUUUUUACUGCAUAUCAAUCCUAUGGUACAGAAUUUAGUGGUAGACUUGUAUUAAAUUGGAAUAACAAGUUGCUACAGAAUUCCAAGUCAAAAUUGUGGUAAAUUUCAUGUUAGAACCUAACAUGGUGCAUGUGCCCCUUUAGAUGCAUUUCCGAAGAGACCAUUUCUUCUGCGAGGACAGAGAGUGCUUGGAGAAGAAGUUCAUUGUCUUCCAAAGUGAAGCAGAGCUUAAGGCAAGUCAAACACAAAUGAUAUAUUGUUAAAUCAUAUUCCCUGGACAUGUCACCAGAUUAGUACAUGAUAACUGGUUAUCCUUUACUGAUAUUACAUCAUUUCUUUUCUUGUUCCCUCCAGAGGCACAAUGCUGUGGAGCAUAGGAAGCGCAUGCCUCAUGCACAGAAGAAUUCUGCUCUCCAGGUGUACAAACGAAUCUGCCUUAUUUCCAUCUCUUGUGUUAAGCCAACUAUUGACAUGCUAGCAUAUACAUAUUGAUAGUAAAAAUGGAGCAUUAAGCUGAUCUAUUUUACUUUGCCCGUCAUUGACAGACACCAACCAGUUCUCGAGACCGGAGUGAGCUAGAGCAGAGUAAUGGCAGAGGUAGAAGGCAUAACGCUUGCCUCUCCAAUGGUUCUGUUGACAAUACCUUGCUGUCUGUUCAGAAUAGCAUUGCAAAUAUGGGUCGUGGCUCGGGAAAUCAAGUUGCUGCAGUUGUGUCUCCCUUGCGAUCUAGUUCUGGGCACUCAUCACAAGCAGGCCAAAGCUCUGGGAUGAAUCGUGUUUGGCAGCAACCACAACCCCUCUCCCGCCAGGAGGUUCCUGAUGCAAGAAUAGGUUCCUGUUUUCAAGAAGCUUCAUCCCCUCCCAUAUCAGGGCAAUCAGGGUAUACACCAGUUGUCAGUCGGAGCUCACGGACUGCUGCACGCGCAAUGGAUUUGGAAUUCCCUCCUUUAUCAGGCAGUAAUAACAGAACUGCCGCUUCAACAGAGCAGGGGGUACGAAAGGUAGCUGAGAACACUCAUGCAUUUGGGCUCCGACAACAAAGCAAUGGAAUUGUGAAUACACACCAUUCUGCUCAGCAUUGGUCCCUUCAAAAUACUGAUUUGAUCCCUUCUGGUUCAAGUCACUCCCCAAGUUGGCCUACACCCAACACAAGUCCUCACGUUAGUGGAUCGCUGAGUCUGACUUCUGCAGGAAAUGGAAGGCAAGAAACACCUGUGAGCCGCCAGGUGUUGUGCUCUGUGGAUGAUGUUCGUGCAGCGAAUAAUUCAUUGGUUGAAAGAAUGCAGGCCGCAUUAGGAAUGGACCGGGACAGGUACUCGAUGUUCAAAGAGAUCUCCGGGGAGUAUCGUCAAGGAGUUAUCAAUGCUUCAAAGUAUCUUUCAUACGUCGAACAAUUUGGUCUGUCGCACCUCGUUCUUGAAAUGUCAAGGUUACUGCCGGAUCCUCAAAAGCAGAAGGAGCUUGCUGAUGCCUACUAUGCGAAUUUGCGCCUUACAAGCCUCCAAGGAAAUGGUGGCGGUGGAGCUGUUUGCUCGAAAGACUGCACCCGGAAAAAUAAGGGGAAGGGGAAACUUCCUGCUGCUGCACAGGAUUCGUUAGAGGGUAAGCUCCUGAGUGCUGCCAGCAAGCUUCAGUCGCAGGUGGGAGGCUCUAGAGCGCUGUUGAGAGAAGGGUGUGGAGCAGCCGAUGGACCUUUGCAGGAGCCGAGGUGGCCUGUGAAGGGUGCUUGGCAAAACCGUGGGGGGCAGAGACUCGUGAGCAAGGCGAAGAAGUAAACUGCGGUUUACAGGAUGAGUUGCCACCUGAGCUGCUGUGAAAACGUCCGUUUUCCCCUGCUUUGUGUCUGGCUUGUUGAGGCGACUGAAAAGGCCGUGGAGUGAUUAUUUGGUUCGCUUCUGUUUCUCUGUGUCUGAACUUUAUGUUGAGUUUGCGUAAUUGUGUCGUGAAUGUUGUGAAGAAGGAAUAGUUAUGAACUAUGUGGAUGGUAACUAUCAAAGCUAUUGUAUUUCGGGAUGUCUCUGUCAGGAUUAGUAUUUCGAAGUUUGUAUGGAAAUACAUAUCAAAUCCAUCUAGAACUAUACUUUUUUACAUAUCCAAAUCCAUCAGUGCGCUAUGUCCAACCUAAUACAAAGUACAGCCUCUGUUCCUAACAGAGGUACUCCCUCAGAUCCAAAUUAAUUGACGGAGCUUUAGUACAGCUUUGUACUAAUGGUGUACCAAAGCUCGUCGAUUAAUUUGAAUUAAAGGGAGUAGUACUUGUCAGUAAUCAACAGUAACGAACAAUUCAAGACGCUUUACUUUGUCUUCUUAAUCCCGAGGGCGCAAAGUGUAGGUAUGAAUUGCCGUGAUAAACACAAUGGCUCUGCACGAGAUGAGAAUAAGUAUAAAUCAUCUAUGACUUGCCUCUACCCCAAGUCUCUUUCUCUUACACUUGUACUCUAUAUAUACCUCAUCUUAGUAUUAGAGGAUCAAUGCAACAUGAAAAAAAAAACACAGAAAUAUUUUAGCCUUAAUAUGUUCCACGUGGUCUUGAAGCGGUGAAAUACAAUGCUGAUUUUUCCACCAUUUAAGCGACGUACCGCCCCCGGAGAGAUUAAUCUCCUCUCAACUUCGAAUUGCAACAUGACCAUGCCUGAAUUACAACUAUGAGUGUUGAUGCCUGAACUAGGAGCUUCAUGUGGGCAGGAGUUUGUGACAUGCAGGGGCCAGGGCACGCCCAUUGUCCUGCUCCAAGAUUCGGGAACUCGUUUGUGUCUAUCAUCUAUUUCCCCUCGUAUAUCCCUCCAGGAAUUUAUGUAAUUGGAUCGUAAAUGGAAAGCAAUAUACCUGCUUCUGUGGACCGGUUUUGAGGGUACAUAUAUUUCGAUAAAGAAUUGGUGCAACAAACUUGUAGUAAAACAAAAAUGUUGUGGAAAAUCCAUUCACUUUGUUCUUCCUGGUUGUAUAUUCUUCAAGUACCUUCUUCUUCUUUUCCUAGAACUCUUGUGUUCUAGCAUCAAUGGUGCAGAGGAGAAGGGACCAAAGCGAUUCUGUUCCCAGUGACAUCAACAUAGUAACAAUAUCAAUAAGGGGAGUCCUAGUUGGACUAGGGCUGUUUGAUGCAAGGAGGAGGGACUCCUCCAAGGGUUGGUCGACCCAAACCUCCCAGCCACCUAUAUAGCGAGGGGUGCACUAGGAGAAAAAAACCAUCCCAUGAUUGUUCCCCUUGCUACUUGCGCCUCUCUCUCUCUCUCUCUCUCUCUCUCUCUCUCUCUNNNNNNNNNNNNNNNNNNNNNNNNNNNNNNNNNNNNNNNNNNNNNNNNNNNNNNNNNNNNNNNNNNNNNNNNNNNNNNNNNNNNNNNNNNNNNNNNNNNNNNNNNNNNNNNNNNNNNNNNNNNNNNNNNNNNNNNNNNNNNNNNNNNNNNNNNNNNNNNNNNNNNNNNNNNNNNNNNNNNNNNNNNNNNNNNNNNNNNNNNNNNNNNNNNNNNNNNNNNNNNNNNNNNNNNNNNNNNNNNNNNNNNNNNNNNNNNNNNNNNNNNNNNNNNNNNNNNNNNNNNNNNNNNNNNNNNNNNNNNNNNNNNNNNNNNNNNNNNNNNNNNNNNNNNNNNNNNNNNNNNNNNNNNNNNNNNNNNNNNNNNNNNNNNNNNNNNNNNNNNNNNNNNNNNNNNNNNNNNNNNNNNNNNNNNNNNNNNNNNNAGAUUGCCGCAUGGCUAAUGCUCCAUCUAGUUCUUCCCUCAAUUCUUCUUGCUGAUUCCAUGGAGUGUUGCGGUACUGCUAGAUCAGUACGCGCGGGUACCUCAGAAGUGUCGUCCUCUUCGACAAUAGAUCAACGGAUCAUCCCGGAGAAAAUUCUCGUGGCUGGGAUAUAAUUAACUUAGACGUGGAAAUCGGCAAGCUUCACCAACUUUUCUUCCUCUUCCACUGUGUUGAUUGCUAGUGAGAUCAUCGUUAUCAGUAACCUCCAGAGUGUCGAAUGUAGCUUCGGUGCCGUGGCUGCACCUACCUUUGGGUGUGUGACAUGUGGGCCAACCAUUUGUUGGGCCCACAUGUCAUGCACACAAAGGCAGGUGCCUUAAGACACUGAAACUCAGUCCCAUAGUGUUCAUAGGCAUGUUUGUACAUGUAUUUUUUUUGUGGCGUAGCACAUUUCCCUUCACCAGCCUCAACACUCUCCAAACUUCCAUCGCUUUCUACACUGAGAAAACAGUUGCUUUGUAUCCUCCGAUCCUUAAGAGCAUGAGGGACAUUGAGGCAACACCUUCAAAUGCCUAUUGGCAAGCAAAACACGGUAGGGAAGGGUGCCAAGCAAAGUACGUGAACUAUUUUUUUACUUGGCCGGGCAAGAUAAAUUCUGAACCUUACACCAAAUUGAGUUAAUGGCAAUGUUCUAUCCCCUUUAUACGUCUGAGCUUCCUCUCAUGUUGGUUAUCUCAUUGGUAUACCUCACAGAAACAUCAGGAGUUAAAUAUAUAUUUUAUUGUCCCAUCAAAGGGCAAAUCUUACCCAAAUGAUAACCGACUGGCUAAUGCUUGAUAUAUCUCCAACGUAUCUAUAAUUUUUGAUUGCUCCAUGCUACUUUACCUACUGUUUUGAGCAAUAUUGGGCUUUAUUAUCCACUUUUAUAUUAUUUUUGGGACUAACCUAUUAACCGGAGGCCCAGCCCAGAUUUGUUGUUUUAUGCCUAUUUCAGUGUUUCGAGGAAAAGGAAUAUCAGACGGAGUCAAAAUGGAACGAAGCAACCCAGAGAACUUGGAGUGCACGUCAUGGGAGAUACAGGUUGCCCACGAGGGUGGGGGGCGCCCCCCCCGGCGCGCCCCCUGCCUCAUGGGGCCCCCGUAGCUCCUCCGACGUACCCCCUGCACCCAUAUAUACUCUUGUACCCUAAAACUUCCAGAACAGAAGAUAGAUCGGGAGUUCCGCCGCCGCAAGCCUCUGUAGCCACCAAAAACCUCUCGGAAGCCCGUUCCGGCACCCUGCCGAAGGGAGGAUCCUUCACCGGUGGACAUCUUCAUCAUCCCGACGCUAUCCAUGACGAGGAGGGAGUAGUUCACCCUCGGGGCUGAGGGUAUGUACCAGUAGCUAUGUGUUUGAUCUCUCUCUCGUGUUCUCUCUCGUGUUCCUCUAUGGCACGGUCUUGAUGUAUCCCGAGCUUUGCUAUUGUAGUUGGAUCUUAUGAUGCUUCUUCCCUUCUACUCUCUUGUGAUGAAUUGAGUUUCCCCUUUAAAGUUAUCUUAUCGGAUUGAGUCUUUUAUGAGAACACUUGAUGUAUGUCUUGCCGUGAUUAUCUGUGGUGACAAUGGGAUAUCAUGUGCCACUUGAUGUAUGUUUUGGUGAUCAACUUGCGGGUUUCGUGACAUUGGGAACCUAUGCAUAGGGGUUGGCACACGUUCUUGACUCUCCGGUAGAAACUUUGGGGCACUCUUUGAAGUACUUUUAUGUUGGUUGGAUGAAUCUGAGAUUGUGUGAUGCAUAUCGUAUAAUCAUGCCCAUUGAUACUUGAGGUGACAAUGGAGUAUCUAGGUGACAUUAGGGUUUUGGUUGAUUUGUGUCUUAAGGUGUUAUUCUAGUACGAACUCUUUUAUAGAUUGAUCCGAAAGAAUAGCUUUGAGGUGGUUUCAUACCCUACCAUAAUCUCUACGUUUGUUCUCCGCUAUUAGUGGCUUUGGAGUGACUCUUUGUUGCAUGUUGAGGGCUUGUUAUAUUAUCUAUCUAUGUUAUUAUUAUUGAGAGAACUUGCACUAGUGAAAGUAUGAACCCUAGGCCUUGUUUCCUAUCAUUGCAAUACCGUUUACGCUCACGUUUAUCACUUGUUACCUUGCUGUUUUUAUUAUUUCAGAUUACAAAUACCUUUAUCUACCAUCCAUAUUGCACUUGUAUCACCAUCUCUUCGCCGAACUAGUGCACCUAUACAAUUUACCAUUGUAUUGGGUGUGUUGGGGACACAAGAGACUCUUUGUUAUUUGGUUGCAGGGUUGUUUGAGAGAGACCAUCUUCAUCCUACGCCUCCUACGGAUUGAUAAACCUUAGGUCAUCCACUUGAGGGAAAUUGGCUACCGUCCUACAAACCUAUGCACUUGCAGGCCCAACAACGUCUACAAGAAGAAGGUUGUGUAGUAGACAUCAAGCUCUUUUCUGGCGUCGUUGCCGGGGAGGCUAGGUAAGUGAAGGUAUAUCUUUAGAUCUUGCAAUUGAAUCUUUUUUUUCUUGUUUUAGCACUAGUUAGUCUAUAAAAGAAAAUUACAAAAAAAAUGGAGUUAAGUUUGUCUCAUACGCUUCACCUUUUUAAUAUCUUUCGUGAGUAUGAUGGAAAGGAUAAUUGUGCUCAAGUGCUAGAAGAAGAAAUCUCUAAAUUGUUUGGCACUAAAUCUUUGAAUGAUGAGCAUGAUUGCAAUGUUGUUAGUAUGAAUUUCUUGAAUAUCCAUGAUUCUAAUGAUAUGCAAAGCCACAAGCUUCGGGAAACUAUGUUUGAUGAAGAUGAUAUUUUUUGUCCCCCAAGCUUUGAUGAGCAAAUUUACUAUGAUGAAAGCAUGCCUCCUAUCUAUGAUGAUUAUUGUGAUGACACGUAUGCUUUAAAGAAUAAUGAUAACCAUGAAACUUGUCAUCUUGAUCUUAAUUUUCAAUCAUAUGAUAGUUAUUUUGUUGAGUUUGCUCCCACUACUAUUCAUGAGAAGAAUUUUGCUUAUGAGGAGAGUAGUAAAUUUUCUAUGCUAGUAGAUCAUGAAAAGAAUGCUUUAGGUGCUGGUUAUACUGUUGAAUUUAUUCAUGAUGCUACUGAAAAUUAUUAUGAGGGAGGAACAUAUGCUUGUAGGAAUUGCAAUAAUAUAAAGUUUCCUCUCUAUGUGCUUAAAUUCUUGAAGCUAUGCUUGUGUUACCUUCCUAUGCUUGUUGAUUAUUGUUCCCAUAAGUUGUUUGCUCACAAAAUCCUUAUGCAUAGGAAGUGGGUUAGACUUAAAAGUGCUAGUCAUGUGCUUCAUGAUGCUCCCGUUAUGUUUCAAUUCUUAUCUUUUAUGUGAGCAUCAUUGUCAUCAUCAUGCCUAGCUAGAAAGGCAUUAAAGAAAAGCGCUUGUUGGGAGACAACUCAAUAUUUACCUUUACUGUUUUUGUGUGCCCACAUGAUUAUGCUACUGUAAUAAUCAUGUUUUAUAGCUUUUGUUUCAAUAAAGUGCCAAGUAAGACCUUUAGGAUGGCUUACGAUGAUAAUUGUGUUGAUCCUGCUGAAAAUCAGAAACUUUUGCACCCAGUAAAUUAGUUUUGUUAAUUCACAGAAACGUGAUUUUGAUCUGAUUAUAUUUUCUCUGGAUUGGUACACGAAUUUCUUAGGACUUGGUAGGAUUUUUGGAGUUCCAGAAGUAUGCGUUUGAUACAGAUUACUACAGACUGUUCUAUUUUUGACAGAUUCUGUUUUCUAUGUGUUGUUUGCUUAUUUUGAUGCAUCUAUGGCUAGUAUUAAGUGGUAUGAACCAUAGAGAAGUUAAAAUUAGUAGAUAUUACACCAAUAUGAAUUAAAAAUGAGUUCAUUACAGUACCUAUGUGGUGGUUUUGUUUUCUUAUACUAACGGAGCUUACGAGUUUUCUGUUGAGUUUUGUGUUGUGAAGUUUUCAAGUUUUGGUAAAGAUUCGAUGGACUAUGGAAUAAGGAGUGGCAAAGAGCCUAAGCUUGGGGAUGCCCAAGGCACCCCAAGAUAUCCAAGAAUAGCCAAAAGCCUAAGCUUGGGGAUGCCCCGGAAGGCAUCCCCUCUUUCGUCUUCGUUCAUCGGUAACUUUACUUGGAGCUAUAUUUUUAUUCACCACAUGAUAUGUGUUUUGCUUGGAGCGUCAUUUUAUUUUGUUAGUAUUUGCUUGCUGUUAGUUAGAAUAAUGUUUUGCAUCUUUAGUUUCAAUAAAGAAGUCAAGGAUAGCCUUUGCCAUGCUUACUUUGCUAGUAUACAUGUUGCUGUUUGAAAACAGAAAGUUUACCACUGUUGCAGAAAUUCCCUAGAAAAGUCAGAGAGUGGUAUAAUGUUGAAUCUUUUUGCAUAUUUAGCUCUGAUAAAUUUAUUACAGUGGGAAUUUUAUUUCAUAAUUUUUGGAGUCAGGGAAGUAAUGAUACUCUUGCAUUCUUUACAGACUGUACUGUUUUGGCAGAUUGCUGUUAUGGUUGCAUUGUUUGCAUAUGUUUGUUUGUUUAAUGAUUCUAUUUGAGGAUAGGAGUAUUAAAUAUGCAUAGGCAUUUAGUAUGCAAUGUUGAAUAAUAAUUUUAGUGAUUUUUUACAGUAGAAAAUGAUAAGGUUUUGCAUUGGUUUAUACUAUCCUAUCUCACGAGUUCUUGUUGAGUUUGUUGUGAAUUAAGCUUUUGAUAAAAAGAGAAACCAUGAUAUGAGAGGAAUUAAGGAGACACAAAAGUUCAAGCUUGGGGAUGCCCAAGGCACCCCAAUAUAAUAUUUCAAGAAGUCUCAAGCAUCUAAGCUUGGGGAUGCCCCGGUAGGCAUCCCACCUUUCUUCUUCAAUAACUAUCGGUUAGUAUUGGUUGAGCCUAAAUUUUUGCUUCUUCACAUGAGUUGUGCUAUCCUUGCAAUGUAGUUUUCUUUAGCUUUGCUUGCUGUUUGAAUAAAGUAUCAAGAUCUGAAAUUAUUAAUUGAGAGAGAGUCUCCGCAUAGUUGCAUAAUUAUUUAGCUACUCAUUGACCUUCACUUAUUUCUUUCGGAGUAGUUUGUCAUUUGCUCUAGUGCAUCACUUAUCCCUUAUAGAGCAUGGUGGUAGUUUUAUUUUGAAGAAAUAGAUGAACUCUCAUACUUCACUUAAAUUAUUUUGAGAGUCAUUAAUAGCAUGGUAAUUUGCUCAAUAUUAAUAUACUUGGUAUUCAAGAUAUGUGAAACUUUCUUAUGAGUGUGUUGAAUACUAAGAAAAGUUUGAUACUUGAUAAUUGUUUUGAGAUAUGGAGGUAGUGAUAUUAAAGUCAUGCUAGUUGGGUGAUUAUGAAUUCAAAGAAUGCUUGUGUUGAAGUUAGCAAGUCCCGUAGCAUGCACGUAUGGUUAAAGUUGUGUAACAAAUUUGAAACAUGAAGUGUACCUGGCUUGUGCAUCCUUAUGAGUGGCGGUCGGGGACGAGCGAUGGUCUUUUCCUACCAAUCUAUCCCCCUAAGAGCAUGCGCGUAGUACUUGAUUUUUGAUGACUUCUAAAUUUUUGCAAUAAGUAUAUGAGUUCUUUUGACUAAUGUUGAGUCCAUGGAUUAUACGCACUCUCACCUUUCCGCCUUUGCUAGCCUCUUCGGUACCGUGCAUUGCCCUUUCUCACUUUGAGAGUUGGUGCAAACUUCACCGGUGCAUCCAAACCCCGUGAUACGAUACGCUCUAUCACACAUAAACCUCCUUAUAUCUUCCUCAAAACAGCCACCAUACCUACCUAUUAUGGCAUUUCCAUAGCCAUUUCGAGAUAUAUUGCCAUGCAACUUUCCACCAUUCCGUUCAUCAUCAUCAUGACAUACAUUACUUUUGUCAUAUUGCCAUUGCAUGAUCAUGUAGUUGACAUCGUAUUUGUGGCAAAGCCACCAUGCAUUAUUUUUCAUACAUGUCACUCUUGAUUCAUUGCGCCAUCCCGGUACACCGCCGGAGGCAUUCAUAUAGAGUCAUAUCUUAUUCUAAGUUUCGAGUUGUAAUGCUUAUGUUGUAAUCAAUAGAAGUGUGAUGAUCAUCAUUAUUAGAGCAUUUCCCAAAAAAAAAGAGAAAGGCAAAAAAAAACAAUAAUAAAAAAAGGGGGCAAUGCUACUAUCUCUUUUUCCACACUUGUGCUUCAAAGUAGCACCUUGUCCUUCAUGUAAUGAGUCUCAUAUAUUGUGCUUCAAAGUAGCACCUUGUUCUUCAUGUAGUGAGUCUCAUAAGUUGUCUUUUUAUACUAGUGGGAAUUUUUCAUUAUAGAACUUGGCUUGUAUAUUCCUACGAUGGGUCUCCUCAAAUGCCCUAGGUCUUCAUGAGCAAGCGAGUUGGAUGCACACCCACUAGUUUUAUUUUGUUGAGCAUUCAUAGCUCUAGUGCAUCCGUUGCAUGGCAAUCCCUACUCCUCAUGUUGACAUCAAUUGAUGGGAAUCUCCAUAGCCCGUUGAUUAUCCUCAUCAAUGUGAGACUUUCUCCUUUUUUGUCUUCUCCACGCAAUCCCCAUCAUCAUAUUCUAUUCCACCCAUAGUGCUAUAGGCAUGGCUCGCGCUCAUGUAUUGCGUGAAGGUUGAAAAAGUUUGAGAUUAUUUAAGUAUGAAACAAUUGCUUGGCUUGUCAUCGGGGGUAUAGAAGUUGGGAACAUCUUUGUGUGACGAAAAUGAAGCAUAGCCUAACUAUAUGAUUUUGUAGGGAUGAACUUUCUUUUGCCAUGUUAUUUUGAGAAGACAUGAUUACUUCGAUUAGUAUGCUUGAAGUAUUAUUAUUUUUAUGUCAAUAUGAACUUUUGUCUUGAAUCUUUCGGAUAUGAAUAUUCAUAUCACAAUUAAAAAGAUUUACAUUGAAAUUAUGCCAAAGUAUCACUCCACAUCAAAAAUUCUUUUUUAUCAUUUACCUACUCGAGGACAAGCAGGAAUUAAGCUUGGGGAUGCUUGAUACGUCUCCAACGUAUCUAUAAUUUUUGAUUGCUCCAUGCUACUUUAUCUACCGUUUUGGGCAAUAUUGGGCUUUAUUAUCCACUUUUAUAUUAUUUUUGGGACUAACCUAUUAACCGGAGGUCCAGCCCAGAUUUGCUGUUUUAUGCCUAUUUCAGUGUUUCGCGGAAAAGGAAUAUCAGACAGAGUCAAAAUGGAACGAAAUCAACUGGAGAAGUUAUUUUUGGAAGAAAAGCAACCCAGGGAACUUGGAGUGCACGUCAGGAGAGAUACGGGCUGCCCACGAGGGUGGGGGCGCCCCCCUCCCCCCCGGGCGCGCCCCCUACCUCGUGGGCCCCCCGUAGCUCCUCCGACGUACCCCCCGCACCCAUAUAUGCUCUUGUACCCUAAAACUUCCAGAACAGAAGAUAGAUCGGGAGUUCCACUGUCGCAAGCCUCUGUAGCCACCAAAAACCUCCCGGGAGCCCGUUCCGACACCCUGCCGGAGGGAGGAUCCUUCACCGGUGGCCAUCUUCAUCAUCCCGGCGCUAUCCAUGACGAGGAGGGAGUAGUUCACCCUCGGGGCUGAGGGCAUGUACUAGUAGCUAUGUGUUUGAUCUCUCUCUCUCGUGUUCCUCUAUGGCACGAUCUUGAUGUAUCCCGAGCUUUGCUAUUGUAGCUGGAUCUUAUGAUGUUUCUCCCCCUCUACUCUCUUGUGAUGAACUGAGUUUCCCCUUUGAAGUUAUCUUAUCGGAUUGAGUCUUUUAUGAGAACACUUGAUGUAUGUCUUGCCGUGAUUAUCUGUGGUGACAAUGGGAUAUCAUGUGCCACUUGAUGUAUGUUUUGGUGAUCAACUUGCGGGUUUCGUGACAUUGGGAACCUAUGCAUAGGGGGUGGCACACGUUCUUCACUCUCUGGUAGAAACUUUGGGGCACUCUUUGAAGUACUUUUAUGUUAGUUGGAUGAAUCUGAGAUUGUGUGAUGCAUAUCAUAUAAUCAUGCCCAUGGAUACUUGAGGUGACAAUGGAGUAUCUAGGUGACAUUAGGGUUUUGGUUGAUUUGUGUCUUAAGGUGUUAUUCUAGUACGAACUCUUUUAUAGAUUGAUCCGAAAGAAUAGCUUUGAGGUGGUUUCGUACCCUACCAUAAUCUCUACGUUUGUUCUCCGCUAUUAGUGGCUUUGGAGUGACUCUUUGUUGCAUGUUGAGGGCUUGUUAUAUUAUCUAUCUAUGUUAUUAUUGUUGAGAGAACUUGCACUAGUGAAAGUGUGAACCCUAGGCCUUGUUUCCUAUCAUUGCAAUACCAUUUACGCUCACGUUUAUCACUUGUUACCUUGCUGUUUUUAUUAUUUCAGAUUACAAAUACCUUUAUCUACCAUCCAUAUUGCACUUGUAUCACCAUCUCUUCGCCGAACUAGUGCACCUAUACAAUUUACCAUUGUAUUGGGUGUGUUGGGGACACAAGAGACUCUUUGUUAUUUGGUUGCAGGGUUGUUUGAGAGAGACCAUCUUCAUCCUACGCCUCCUACGGAUUGAUAAACCUUAGGUCAUCCACUUGAGGGAAAUUUGCUACUGUCCUACAAACUUGUGCACUUGCAGGCCCAACAACGUCUACAAGAAGAAGGUUGUGUAGUAGACAUCAAUGCUCCAUCUAGUUCUUCCCUCAAUUCUUCUUGCUGAUUCCAUGGAGUGAUGCGGUACUGCUAGAUCAGUACGCGCGGGUACCUCGAAAGUGUCGUCCUCUUCGACAAUAGAUCAACGGAUCAUCCCGGAGAAAAUUCUCGUGGCUGGGAUAUAAAUAACUUAGACGUGGAAAUCGGCAAGCUUCACCAACUCUUCUUCCUCUUCCACCGUGUUGAUUGUUGGUGAGAUCAUCGUUAUCAGUAACCUCCAGAGUGUCGAAUGCAGCUUCGGUGCCGUGACUGCACCUACCUUUGGGUGUGUAACAUGUGGGCCAACCAUCUGUUGGGCCCACAUGUCAUGCACACAAAGGCAGGUGCCUUAAGACACUGAAACUCAGUCCCAUAGUGUUCAUAGGCAUGUUCGUACAUGUAUUCUUUUUUGUGGCGUAGCACGUUUCCCUUCACCAGCCUCAACACUCUCCAAACUUCCAUCGUUUUCUACACCGAGAAAACAGUUGCUUUGUAUCCUUCGAUCCCUAAGAGCAUGAGGGACAUUGAGGCAGCACCUUCAAAUGCCUAUUGGCAAGCAAAACACGGUAGGGAAGGGUGCCAAGCAAAGUAGCGAACUGUUUUUUACUUGGCCGGGCAAGAUAAAUUAUGAACCUUACACCAAAUUGAGUUAAUGGCAAUGUUCUAUCCCCUUGGUACGUCCGAGCUUCCUCUCAUGUUGGUUAUCCCAUUGGUAUACCUCAUAGAAGCAUCUGAAGUUAAAUAUAUAUUUUAUUGUCCCAUCAAAGGGCAAAUAUUACCCAAAUGAUAACCGCCUGGCUAAUGCUCCAUCUAGUUCUCCCUCAAUUCUUCUUGCUGAUUCCAUGAAGUGUUGCGGUACUGCUAGAUCAGUACGUGCGGGUACCUCAGAAGUGUCGUCCUCUUCGACAAUAGAUCAACAGAUCAUCCCGAAGAAAAUUCUCUUUGCUGGGAUAUAAUUAACUUAGACGUGGAAAUCGGCAAGCUUCAUCAACUCUUCUUCCUCUUCCACUGUGUUGAUUGCUGGUGAGAUCAUCGUUACCAAUAACCUCCAUAGUGUUGGAUGCAGCUUCGGUGCCGUGACUGCACCUACCUUUGGGUGUGUGACAUGUGGGUCAGCUAUCUGUUGGGCCCACAUGUCAUGCACACAAAGGCAGGUGCCUUAAGGCACUGAAACUCAAUCUCAUAGUGUUCAUAGGCAUGUUCAUACAUGUAUUCUUUUUGUGGCGUAGCAUGUUUCCUUUCACCAGCCUCAACACUCUCCAAACUUCCAUCACUUUCUACACCGAGAAAACAGUUGCUUUGUAUCAUCCGAUCCUUAAGAGCAUGAGGGACAUUGAGGCAGCACCUUCAAAUGCCUAUUGGCAAGCAAAACACGGUAUGGAAGGGUGCCAAGCAAAGUACGCGAACUGUUUUUUUACUUGGCCGAGCAAGAUAAAUUCUGAACCUUACACCAAAUUGAGUUAAUGGCAAUGUUCUAUCCCCUUUGUACGUCUGAGCGUCCUCUCAUGUUGGUUAUCCCAUUGGUAUACCUCAUAGAAGCAUCUGGAGUUAAAUAUAUUUUUAUUGUCCCAUCAAAGGACAAAUCUUACCCAAAUGAUAACCGCCUGGCUAAUGCUCCAUCUAGUUCUUCCCUCAAUAUGACUUGAAGCUCUUUUCUAGUGAUAUCCACGAAUUCCAGGUCAAGCUUUCUUAGGCUUGGGAAACCAUUGAAUUCGAAUGGUGGUCUGAAGGAUGCAAAGCUAAGUUGAAUAUAUUUUAGACGUGAUAUGCUUUCAAUAUCCAAAAGGUGAAAUGGAAAUAUGUAACGAAAGAUAUCUCAAACUGCCUUGUUAACAGGGUUUAAGUAGACAACAAUGCUCUUUGUCUGUGAUGACACAACAAAAUCAACCCAGUUAUUGAGAUGAGUAGCCAGCAUGAUGUCAAAUUCGAAUUUGACAUGGAAUUCUUUGACCACCGUGCCGUGGAAAUUUCUCAAGACUGCAUUGACAUCAUUGAUAAAUUUCUGCAUGUAUUCACAAUAUUCUUUUCUUAAAAAACUAUCGCGGCAACACCCAGCAGCACCAGUGAAACAUAAUUUGUGGCAAGAAACAUCGCGGAUAGAUCUCCAGUGACUUGAUAAAACACUGGCCCUUGAAAUCUCUUUAGGAGGCAACUUUGACAAAAUUGUGCACAUCACAUCCUACGUCAACGGAAUAUAGAUGCUUGAGAUUACAAGUUAUAGCUGUACUCGACUGUAUAUCAAAAAAAGGGAAAUUUGACAUACAUUUGGAAGGUCUCCCAAUUUAACGUCUGAGCUCGCCUUCUUCUAGAUUGAAUUCCCAUGGGUAUGGUCUGAUGAUGUGCUUUGCGCAUUUGAUGGCUCCUCAUCUGUAAAACUGAAUAUGAGAAGUCAGAGUUCCUCCAAGAUUAUAUGAUACUCCCUCUGUAAAUUAAAAUAAAAGCGUUUAGAUCACUAGAUAUUCACAAGUGUAUUAACUGCUAGUAGUAGGCAUUACUGUAGAUAAUCCGAGGAACUACUCCCUCCGUUUCAUAAUAUAAGAAUGUUUUUGGCACUCAGAGGGAGUAGUUGUUUGUCGUCGGUGCCAGCGCUUCGGUGCUUGGGAGGUCCGAUUGAUGUCGGCUUUUAACGGGACGUGAGACGAUUUGAUUCGGCCAGGGCUGGACUCGGAUUCCUGGGCCCGAUUUUAGAGAGGAUAGCGAAGCGCGUUCCGCUUCCCGGCCCAACCCUCUUUCCUUCCGCUUCUCGGCCCACCCUCCAUACAAAUGGAAAACCCUAAUAAGAAACCCUAAGAAACCCUUCUCCCCCGCCACCGGCCACCACCCCGACCACGAGCAAGACAACCGGACAACGGAAGCGGCGAUGGGAUGCACGGCGUCCACGCGACGUGCGGGGCGGGGCUCGCUCGUGUUCGAGGUCUCAGGGUACGGCGGAGUUAGCCUCGACGUACAAUCAUCGGAAGUAUUCACCGUCGGCGCUUACGACUGGCAGAUUCGUUUCUAUGAGGAAGGAGUGUUUGGGCAUUCCGGAGGCUAUGUGGCGGUCUAUCUCUUUUUAGUCAGCAAGAAGGCCAAGGUGAGGGCAACCUUCGAGCUCAGUUUGGUGGACAUCACUGGAUCAACGCCGCCUCGUACGAUGAGGACGGUCGCCGCAGAAUUCGACUCUGGCGACCGGACGUGCUUCGGCCAUCCCGAGUUCAUGAGGAAGAGCGACCUCGAGGCGUCGCCUUACCUUCGCGGCGGCGAUCGCCUCACAAUUGAGUGUACCAUCACUAUCUGCACGGAAGCGCCCAAAUCAUUUGUUGAGGUGCCGUUGCCGCCAUCCGACAUCACGGAUCACCUCAGGAAGCUGUGGCAAGGGAAAGAGGGCACCGAUGUCACCUUCGAGGUUCAAGGGGAGGCUUUUCCUGCCCACAAGACAGUGCUCGCGAUGCGGUCACCGGUGUUUAAGGCAGAGUUGUACGGUGCCUUGAGGGAAAAUGAUAUGGGUCGCGUUAUCAUCGGCGACAUGCAACCUGCAGUCUUCGAGGCCCUGCUCCAUUUUAUAUACACCGAUUCGUUGCCCACCAUGCAUGAUCUUUACCAAGAUCAAGAUGAGUACAAAGAGAUUAUUGGACAUUUGCUUGUAGCCGCGGAUCGCUAUGCCAUGGAAAGACUGAAGAUCAUAUGUGAAAGCAUCCUUUGCAAGAACAUAGAUUCGAAGACCGUGGUGACUACACUGCCUUUGGCUGAUCAGCAUCACUGCAACAAGUUGACUGAUGCUUGCAUUGAAUUUAUUGCCUCUUUGGGUAAAGUGGAUGAUAUAAUAGCAAGCCAGGGAUAUGAUGAGCUCAAAAGAACCUGUCCUUUGGCUUUACUGGAACUGUGGGAGAAGGCAACUAGGCUGUACAUGAUAUAGUCUUCAUUUCACAUUGGCAUGUGUGUUAAGUCACAUACAUAUCUUGCUACUUGUUUGAUGAAGGAUUAGUUUAUUUUAAUAUAUCUGAAGCUUUGGUGGAAAACAGUAUUACUCUGCUAAUGUUUUUCGUUUGUCAAGAUGUUGCAUACUUAUCCUUUUAGCGCAAAUGGUAUUGUUGCUAAACAAUAUAUAUGAGUGUUUAAUUGUCUGUUCGAAAAUUUUGUCAUAGGUUUUAAUUACCACACUACAUGUGCAGGCUAGUGUAUGCUACUCACUUCAAUGAUGAUAUCUGCCGUAACGAAUAAGCAGCAAAAUGCGACAAGAGUGGGACAGGAGUGUGUUAAUGUGAUUAUAUGGGAACAUUUCGUCAUAAUAUGAAAUUCGAAACGGGAGAAUGAAUGCCACAUUUUCGAACUCGUGUUGUAAAAUAAUAGGGGUGCAUUUGAAACAAUAAUUCUUGCACUGGAAGGUGUUCAAUUUCCUUUGCCAGGUACUUUUCUGUUCUUGCAUCCUCCAAUUGGUUUCAGUUUUUAUUUUACUUAUUACCUGAAAAGUUGAGACUGAAUCCAUAAAAAGUUGACCCAUCGGUAAGCUUUUAAUUCUUUUACAAAUAUAAAAUGAAAUAAGUAAUCAAUCUAACCUAUAAAAUGAUUGAGUACCACCACAUCAUCCAUCUAUACUGUUAUAUAAACAUCAUCGGUACAUCACAGUAUUGGGCAACUGGCCUAUAUCAUGCUAUUACUUUGAAUGAAACACAUUUGUACUAUAUGACAGUAACUAAUUGGAAGAGUGCAGUAUGUUAAUGCACCUGCAUAUCCUUGAGGAAUAAAAUAUCGAAUAAAAGUUGACAUUUGAAAGUACCCCUUGUGUUGUAAAUUAAUCAUUUUGAUACAGAAGGAACGCAAUAAUGAAGAAGCAUGUAAAAAACUGGGGAAAGUAUUGUUCGUAACAGGUUAUAUGCAGCCCUACCGUCUACAGGAACGCAUCAAAGCAAACUUUGGAACUUGGUGCAUGUCAGGCAAGUCGGGAUUUAGUUGUUAUUUACAGAGGUGAUUUCUGUUCCCUUUAAUUUGUAGGAAUUUGGGGCAGGGAAGCAACUGAAUAUCUUUUUCAAAAGUAUUCUCAAUCUGAUUUGUAUGUGACGAGAUUAUUAAUCAGUUUGAUUGAUUGAGAUAUUUUUUGUAUUUGCCGCAGCAUGUAUGUACCAAGCAGGAUUGCAAGUCAUUCUCACCUUAGGAUAGUAUUCAUACCUAUUAGCAAGUCUACAUGGAUCAUUUAAUGUUGCAAUUGUGUGCUGACCCAAAACCCUAGAAAUAGUUCAACCAUUUUCCUCAAAGGCGUAUUAUUACAUCUAAGGCAAAAUCAAUUGAUUAGUUUUACUAUUUCUAACGUUUCUAAGUAGUGUUGAACCAUCUCCACAGGAGCUUGACAAUUUAGUGCUACCAGCCAUGUUUCACAGUACUAACACAAAGGUCAAUGCAGAAGUCUUUUAUAUAAUUAUUCACCUUGAGGAACACAUAGAAUUUGUUGCGAGAUGGAACAAUAAGUGUAGCUUAUAGUGACAUCAAAGAUUGCAGCUGUAUUUCACAAUAUUUUGAUGCCCAGAAAAUCUACUUGCUUUUGAUAGUACUGUAAGACCGCAUGAUACAGUGGUUCUCUUAGGUGUAUAUGAAAUUAGUUCAGUUAAAAUUAGAGGUCUAUGAUUCACCACGUUUUCCAGCGAUUAGAUAUAAAUGUUUUAUUGAAGUCUAUUGAAAGUUACUAAUGACAUCUGGAAGUCUGCACCUCCCUCUUUUUUCAGACCUAAGUUGUUUUCUCUGAAAGUCCAGCAUAAUACUCUGAAAAGAAGGUCAGGUUUUCUCCCUUUAGUCAAGUUACUCUGACUUGGUUUAAUUUUAAAAUAGUAGAUAUAUUCCUUCCUAAUUUUGUCAAGUUACCCUCCUAAUCUACCAUGCAGUUCCAUGUUUCAACUUGUUGCGUAAAUAUUUUUCUCUUUGUUUGACCAGAUGUUCACUGAAUAAUAGUCGGUCAUUGGUUAUUUGUUUGUUUGUGUGCAGUUUGCUUUUUUAAACCCAACAUUUAAACAUGAAACUGAAAUAUUAAGUUUAUCUGAAUAACAUUUGGUCACUGAACUAUUCCUCGUUCACUAUAAUUUUGUCAAAGUUUUAUGUAAUAGGUUUAAAAAAUAUGUUCAAAAAAUUAGCAUACAACUUGAGAGAAACCUAUCUUUUAGUUUUGGUUAUUACAAGGAGACAGAAAAGAGAUGACAUAGGCAUAUAGCUGGGAGGAGAGAGAAAUUAUGUGAUUUGGCACAGCAGACUAGCACAGAACCGAGAGAAGGGGGUUGUCAAGUGAACGGUUCUCAGAGUUCACAUGGUUAAAUGAACCAAAUCAAAGUCCAAGAUUGUUAUCUGAACCCUAAAACGAUUUCAAGGGGUGAUAUGGACUUCUCGACUACUAGAGAAUGUGCCUUCAACUUGCAGGGUCAAUGGACAUGCACCUUUGAUUUAACAUUUGAGAUUUUAAAUGCUCUCUGAAUUAGGGCAAGCAAACAAGCAUUUUCUUAAAAUUGUUGUUUAUAUGCUUGUUCUAUUAAUUUUCUUUUAGUGAUUCACAUUUGAGACUUUUUUUUCUUAAAUUGAAGAAUUUAAGCUCCAAUAUAAAGUAAUAUGUAUAAAUCACAGGGAAAUGAAUUGAAAAUGUAGAACUACGUACUCCCUCCGUAAAUAAAUAUAAGAUCAUUUAGAUCACUUCGUAAAAGGUACUCUCCCUGUAAAGAAAUAUAAGACCGUUUAGAUCAGUGUAGGAUAUGACACUUGAAAUGGAUAUGGAUGACGCAUCAAAGCACCAUGGGUUUCUAGCAACAACCACAAAGACCACACACGAUGUAUAACAUCCCAAUUUUAUUAGGACGUUUAUAAAAGCAUUAAUUUGCAUCUUAUUAUUCAAAUGCGUAUUUGAAUAUUCAAGAACAUUUAAAUUUAAACUAUUUUCAACUCAAAGAAAUAAAAGAGAACAUAAUAUUACUUAUAUUCCUUAUGAAAGGAGUGAGAAAAUGUUAAGAUGUCAUUUGGAGUGGAUAAAUACAAUCUUGGUAAUUAAGUAAACUCUACAAAUAUUUAAGGGAAUUAUUAUUAGGUCCAAACUAGCUGUAUAAAUAAAAUGAAUUUACAACAUUGCACUUCGAGUUGAGAAUAAUUUUUCUAGGCUCUAUAUGAGUAUUAUUUUUUGCAAUUUUCUGGUAUUUUCUGAAAAACAUAUAUUUUACACUAUUAUUUGAGCCAUAAUUUCUAGACUAAUUUUGUUACGAAAUUCUAUACUAACUAGACUAGAACAGUGUUUCAGCCUAGUAACACACCAAACAGACCGCGACCAUUUUAGGCCCCCAACCUAGUUCCUUUCUCAAAACGGUAUGGGCAUCGAGGGCCGUUAGUUUUAUGAUCAUCUCUUUCUCUCUUUUCUUGCCUCGCUCCUCUGCAUCUCUUGGCAUACUGUCUUUGCCCAUGGAGCACCACAUCGUCUGAACAGUGCACACUUGACCACACCAGAGCACCGCCGAGCACUCCACACCCGUCCAGAUCACCGACCACACUGCCGUGAUGACUGCGACAAGUUUAACCCUGACGUGUACUUCCUCGACGCUGACGACCAUCGGAGACCAUGCCACAUUUGACCCGAGUCGUCAUGCCACUGUCUUUUGUUCGUCUGUUUAGAAAUAGAUUCUGUAGAUUAGAAUUUAUUUCUUCCGAAUUGUUGUUUGAACUUAGCCCUAGAUCUGCACUAAAAUCCAACGGUUGUUAUUUUGUUUGUGCCUUAAUCGGUAUCUUUUGAUCUAGUCUGUCCAUUUUCAUUUAAAUAGGACGAAUAUAUUUUAUUUAGCCACGAAUCAACAUUAACUAGUCUGAUGCUGCCACGUGUCACAUUAUUUUGCAGAAAAUCCCACGAAACUUCUAACAUUCUGUAAAUUGUUAGUCUUGGAGUGCUUAUGACCUAUUAGUUUAACAUUUUUAAUUAUUCAAAUGUGAUAAAUUCAAAUUCAAAUUCAAAUUCAAAUAUUAUUUUAGCCAUAUCUUGCAAUCUGGAGAUCCAGUUUAGUUGUUUCUUUUUGCAUGAUGGAAGCCUGAUCAAAUCCUAUCUACUACUACCUCCGUCUCGGUGUAUAAGUCAUUCGCGUAGUUCUAGGUCAUCGAUUUGAGGAAUUAAAUAUGUGCUAUAUGUCAUGAAAAGUAUAUCACUAGAUUUCUACACGGAUGUAGUUUCUAAAUAUAUAUUUUUUGUCACAUAUAAUACAUAUUUAGAUAGUUAAAUUGUCGACCUAGAACUACGCGAAUGACUUAUACACCGGGACGGAGGGAGUAAGCCGUUAAUAGUACAUAUCAAAAUCAUUCCUAUGUCAUGUAUAUGAUGUAUCUUUUAUGCCUUUCGCUCUUAUAGUUGCACUUUUGCACUUAAGACCCUAUAUUAGCUAAGGCUAUAUAUACUAGUGCCUCCGAUCCAAAUUAAUUGGCGCAACCUCUUCUAUACAUGUAUAGAAGGGGAUAAUAUGUUUUGUUGAGUUCUGUUUGCUAUCUUUGCAAGUAAUUUUAUUUGCAUGCUUAAUUAUAAUAGUUUUCAAAUUUAUUUCAUUCUACGAUAGAUUGUUUGGACUGCCAAGCCGCUUACUUACAUGAAUUAGAGUAUCAUCACCAGCACCAAGGCAAGUUGCAUUCUUUUGUGCAUGUCCAUUUACCAAUAUCUUUACUAAGCAUUUAGUAUAUUUUGAGUAGUAUGCAUGAGCAUGUUUAUAUAUUCUAAAUAUGCAAGUAUGAGCCCACUGUAGUUCAAUAAGUACGUCUGAGUUCUAAUUACCUGUCUGUCGUCGUUGUAGUUUGCUUAAUUUGCUAAAGUAGGAGGAUACUUUGGUGAAGUGUAAUUCAUGGGAAGUUAUGAAUGAUAAUGUAGUAAGGAAGACCAACUAAAUUCGUGGUACGUGGGUGGAAUAGUAAUUAUAAAGUGGUGAGGUACAAUGUUAGCAUCAUGGAGAAUGUGAUCUCUUAAAAGAUACACCUGUGGCAUUGCACACUAGUGGACCGCCGCUAAGGCUUAAAAAGACCAACCAGUUUUCAUGAAUAGUUGCUUCCAUGUGCAACCACAAGCAAUUUCAGGCUUUGUGUUAGUUAAGUAGGUUGUGCUGAACCUUGUCUUGUAGGCUACCCUCUGAAAGUCUUCGUCUUGAUCUUCUACCAGUUCUCCCAUGUUGAACACGAACCUCACUGGAUCUAAAGGUCGAAGCCCCUCCGACCUUCCAGCGCCUGCCGUCGAGUCGAUGACACGGUCACGAAGAUAGCGCCAACCAACCAAGCACGGUGCACGCAGGCAAGAUCACUUGCGACGGUGGCAACAUCUGUUGAAUGGUCACCACACAUCCCAGCCGGCGGCACGGGUGACGACUUCCUCUAGAGCACACCGGCUCUCCAGGUCGAAGGACAUGUCGGUGUUGCUCCCUUUCCUUUCCACUGCCACAUGGGCGCUUGCUGCAACCCGACGGUGUGAAGGAUUAGGAAGGCGCGCAGCCGCCCGUGCCCUAGAACGGACUGUUGCUGCUGCAUCGUAAGAGCAUAUCGAACAGGCACGCUAAAUUAGCCGUGCGUUGGAAAAAACGAUUAUUUAGCGCGCGCGCGACCGAAACCGGCGCUCCAGUAGACGCGCUAAAAUCCCGCACGCGGCAAAGUUGGUUCAGUGCGCUGGGGAAAACGGCAUCGCGCGCUGCUUAGUUGCGCUCGCUCCUGCGCGUUGGACAUGGCAAUCGGGCGCGCGAAUCUAACCAACCGCCAGAUCUGAAACCUCCAGGCGCUGGGCCUCCGCCCGCACCUUCCCCAUUCGCUUCGGCGACCCGCCAGCGCUUCCCCCGCCUAUCCCUGCGCGCCACCGCUGCUUCCUCUGCCUUCUCUCCUCGCCGCCGCCCCUCGAGCGCACCUUUCCUCCGAUGAACAGUGCCCGGUGGGCGUUUCCAGCUCGGCGCCCACAAGGUGUUUGAUAAAACGCUUGCAAGGUAUUUAUUGCUUCAACUUUAUAUUCGUAGAUGAAUUUGAUGCAUGUUGUUUGUAGUUUUAAAUUAGUUUAAAUUCAAUUUUGUAGAUGAGUUCGUCCUACGAUUCUUCCGACAAGAAUUUGAUCUUCAAGAGGAGGACAUCGCAAUGAUCCUAGCUAUGCACGUCAAUAAAAAGCCGAAGCAUGGUGGUUCGAUUAUCGAUCGUCAGAAAUCGUGGAGGGAUAGGAUCGAUGCACACAACAGAUUGAUGAGAAACUAUUUUGUGGAGAAUCCCACAUACCUCGAGUCCUACUUUUGGCGUAGUUUUAGGAUGAGCAUCGAGUUGUUCAAACACAUUGCGGAGAAACUAGCGAGCCAUGAUCUAUUUUUUCAGCAAAGGAGGAAUGUCGCCGGAGAAAUCGGGCCUAGCACCUUUCAAAAGGUGACCGCCGCUUUGCAUAUGUUGGCAUAAGGUAUUCCGGCAGAUCUAGUUGAUGUCCACUUGGCCAUGGUGAGAGUCAAGUCAUCAUGUGUGUCAAGCGCUUCGCAGUCGGAAUUGUGCAAGUGUUUGGUCUGAAAUAUUUGAGAGCUCCCAAUGCUGAAGACACCGCAAGGCUUUUGGAGAUGAACAAAGCUCGCGGGUUCCAGGUAUGCUUGGCUCAAUAGAUUGCAUGCAUUGAAGUUGGAAGGACUGUCCUAAGGCAUGUUAUGGACAAUUCCACGCCUAGAAAAAGGGUUUCACUAUAAUCCUUGAACGGUGGCCGAUCAGGAGACUUGGAUUGGCAUGUUUUUUUUUUUGAAAUGCCUGGAUCUUGCAAUGACGUCAAUGUUCUUAAUUUGUCACCACCCAUGAAUAUGAUUGCAAAUGGUGAAACUCCACCGGUGGAGUUUGUACCAAAUGAUCAUACACACAACUGUGGCUACUAUUUUCGGAUGGCAUCUAUCCAAGGUGGCAACAUUUGUGAAGCCGUUUGACGGCACUGCAAGGUAAGAAAAGUCUUGAUUUUUACAAUGCUCAGACAACGGCUAGGAAAGAUGUGGGGAGAGCUUUUGGGAUUUUGCAAGCCCAAUUUGCUAUUAUGAGAGAACCUGCUAGAUAUUGGGAUCAAAAGAUUCUUUGGUACUUCAUGAACGCGUAUGUGUUCAUGCAUAACAUGAUCAUUGAAAAUGAGCGUGGGCAAGAUUUAGACUAUUCUCAGUAUGAGUUGUUGGGACGUCCUGUGCGAGCGCGGAGGAGAAUUGUGAUGGUGGCCCGCUUUAUUGCCUCCUAUCAUGCCAUUCGACGUGCCGAACACAUGAUGAUCUUCAAAAGAAUCCAAUCGAGGAGUGGUGGGCAUGGAAUGGGCGACAAAAUUAGUUUGAUGUUGUAUGUUUAUUGUAUUAGAAAAUAAAUUAUUUGUUUGAGUUGUAAUAAUAAUUAAAAUAUUUAUUGUUAAUUUAUUUUAUGUGUGUUUGAUCUUCUUGGUUCUAUAUUCAAUGGGAAAUGUUGUUAGUGCUAGGCGCGCAUUGUAAUUUAGCGCCCCUGUUGGAGUGCCAUAUGCGGCCCAUAAUAUAUAGCGCUUCUGCUGAAGCAAACAUCCUCCUGCGCACGCUAAAACGCUAUUUCAGCGUUGCAAAAAAAUUUAACGCGUAACGCAACCGCGCGUGCGUUGGAGAUGGUCUAACCACAUGUACUGUAUCAAAGCUAUUGCCUAUACAUCGCUUCACCUCGUCGAAUAGCAAGCCCCGCCGCCGCCAUCGGCCACACAGGCAAACCCGACGGCGAUGGCAACAACGAUGGGAGGACACUUGGGCAGAGGCUCGGCGAAAAAUUGAUAUGCAGGCCGCCCAUAUCGCCCACGUGGACGACGCGGGGCAACUCAGUUGGUAUAUGUCGUCCUUUUACAUACUCUGUUCUUGGCUUCUUUCUCGUUUAUUUUUUUAAAGGAACAUGCUUGUUCAUUACUCCCUCCAUUCCACAAUGUAGUGCUUCCUCUAUCUACGUGCUUCAACUUUGACCGUAAAUUUAACUAUCAAGACCGAUUGCGGCGGGAGCAAAAAUUAUAUCAGUGAAUUCGUAUUCGAAAGAAGUUUUCAAUUAUAUAAUUUUUUUCUUCCGCCGCAGUUGGUCUUGUUGGUUAAAUUUACGGUCAAAGUUGGACCUCGAGAAGCGCGGACGCACUAUAUUUUAGAAUGGAGGGAGUAUACUAUAUACCAGUGCUGAACAGAUAUCCAGCUACGCGGUCAUUUACAAAAUCUGGAAACUGGCCAAGCCAAGUCUCACAUGUGCCAGCUUCCAAUUUAGCACCAUGUGCUGCUAAACAGUGCGGUAUAGUAUUACUCCCUCUGUUCCUAAAUAAUUGUCUUUCUAGAGAUUUCAAUAAGUGACUACAUACGAAGCAAAAUGAAUGAAUCUACACUCUAAAACAUGUCUACAUACAUCCGUAUGUUGUAGUCUAUUUGAGAUGGCUAGAAAGACAAUUAUUUGAACGGAGGGAGUACAAACUCUGGGACAUGAUACAACAGAUACUUCACUAAAUCCCACACGCAAUUGAAACGUGAUGUCUUUGAAAACAGCUCCCAGAGUCGACAUAUCAUAUUCUUCAGUGCAAAUUGUGUUCUUGAGCUGUACAGAGUCCAUCUCCAUAAUUACUCGAUUACUCCCUCCGUUCCUAAAUAUUUGUCUUUUUAGAGAUUUCAAAUGGACUACCACAUACGGAUGUAUAUAAACAUAUUUUAGAGUGUAGAUUCACUCAUUUUGCUCCGUAUGUAGUCACUUGUUGAAAUCUUUAGAAAGAUAAAUAUUUAGGAACAGAAGGAGUACAUCCCAUUUGAAUGGCUGUGUUUAUGGCAUAAAGCAUCGCCAAAGCCUCCGAAUGAAGCACAUCUGAGACUCGCUCCAGACUACCUGCUCCAGCAGCCAUCAACAUACCACAAUCAUCCCUGAUUACUAAGCCCCAUCCUCCAUUUUUUGUUUCUUUCAGAAAUUCACCAUCCAUAUUGAUUUUCAAGAUUUCUGGUGGAGGCAUGGACCAUCUUUCCUUUUGUUGUUGCUUUGGCAUUCCUCCUACUUUUCCAACCUUAAGAAUCUGCAUAAAAAGAUAAUUAAUGGAGUGACAGAUUUCAUCAAGAUAAUUAAUGGAGUGACAGAUUUCAUCAGAGGAUCUAAUAUUUUCUCCUGCAUUUACUUUAUUCCUUUCAAGCCACCAACACCAAAGGAGUAGGCAAGAUUUUUAAGUUUUUCUUCUUCGUUAAGGUUCAUAAUUAUUUCCAUACAUCCCAAAGCAUCUGCACAAGACAAAAUCUGCACUCUAACAUGCUCCAGCUAAGCUUUCCUCCACACAUCCUUAACCUUCUUGCACUUAAUGAAACAAUGUCGCCAUCCUCAUCUAACCGAAAACAAACAGGGCAACGGGUAUCUACUUGCAUACCUCUGUCCUGAAGCUUCAUGCGCAAAGGUAGGCUAUCUGUAGACAUGCGCCACAGGAAGUGAAGAAUCUUAUUUGGAAGAGGAGGCGACCACAACUUUGACCAAUUAAAAUCACCUGUUUCUUCAUCUGCACUGGAGGAGGAAGUUAAUCCUGAAAUGGAUUCUCGAGCCGCACUAUCUACAACAACUCUAUAUGCAGAUUUAACUGAAAAUAUACCUUUUUUUAUCAUAAUGUCAUGCUAUGAAAUCAUCGUUAUGUUCAUGAAUUGGGAUUUGUAAAAUGAUUUCCGCAUCUUCUGGAAGAAAGGUUUGUCUAACUAACUCUCCAUCCCAAUUGUUUGUGCUAGGAUCAAGCAGAUCUUUUACUUUGGUUAUAAUGCUUUUACCCCUAUGAGUGACGACUCUUCUGGUGGUACCUCUCAGAAUCCAAGGGUCAGACCAAAUGUCAAUGUUAUUGCCACUACCAACUCUCCAUAUGAUCCCCUUCUUGAGCAGAUUUACCCCUUUUAGUAUACUACGCCAUGUGUAGGAGAUGCAAACUUUGGGCCUAGCCUGAAGAAUUGAGCCAUUUGGGUAAUACCGUGCGCACAAAUAUGUUGGGUUAUGGAUAAGCCUCCAUGCCUGCCCUGCAAGUAUCGCUAGGUUGAAAGCGUGAAGGUCCCUAAAGCCCAUUCCUCCAGUUUUUUGUCUUCGUCAAUUUCUCCCAACUGACCCAGUGAAUUUUAUUCUCCUUAUCCAUUUGGCUCCACCAAUAUCUAUUGAUCAUUGAGCUCAGUUUAUCACAGAGUGACUUGAUUAAGUCAAAGCAAGCCAUUGAGUACACUGGGAUUGCUUGUGCUAUGAUACGUCUCCGUCGUAUCUAUAAUUUUUGAUUGUUUCAUGCCAAUAUUAUUCAACUUUCAUAUACUUUUGGCAACUUUUUAUACUAUUUUUUUAGGACUAACAUAUUGAUCCAGUGCUCAGUGCCAGUUCCUGCUUGUUGCAUGUUUUAUGUUUCGCACAAAACCCAUAUCAAACGGAGUCCAAACGGGAUAAAAACGGACGGAGAAUUAUUUUGGAAUAUUUGUGAUUUUUGGGAAGUAAAAUCAACGUGAUGUUGGAAAUAUGCCCUAGAGGCAAUAAUAAAUUAGUUAUUAUUAUAUUUCCUUGUUCAUGAUAAUCUUUUAUUAUCCAUGCUAUAAUUGUAUUGAUAGGAAACUCAGAUACAUGUGUGGAUACAUAGACAACACCAUGUCCCUAGUAAGCCUCUAGUUGACUAGCUCGUUAAUCAAUAGAUGGUUACGGUUUCCUGACCAUGGACAUUGGAUGUCGUUGAUAACGGGAUCACAUCAUUAGGAGAAUGAUGUGAUGGACAAGACCCAAUCCUAAGCCUAGCACAAGAUCAUGUAGUUCGUAUGCUAAAGCUUUUCUAAAUGUCAAGUAUCAUUUCCUUAGACCAUGAGAUUGUGCAACUCCCGGAUACCGUAGGAGUGCUUUGGGUGUGCCAAACGUCACAACGUAACUGGGUGGCUAUAAAGGUACACUACGGGUAUCCCUGAAAGUGUCUGUUGGGUUGGCACGAAUCGAGAUUGGGAUUUGUCACUCCGUGUAAACGGAGAGGUAUCUCUGGGCCCACUCGGUAGGACAUCAUCAUAAUGUGCACAAUGUGACCAAGGGGUUGAUCACGGGAUGAUGUGUUACGGAACGAGUAAAAGAGACUUGCCGGUAACGAGAUUGAACAAGGUAUCGGUAUACCGACGAUCGAAUCUCGGGCAAGUACCAUACCGCUAGACAAAGGGAAUUGUAUACGGGAUUGAUUGAGUCCUUGACAUCGUGGUUCAUCCGAUGAGAUCAUCGUGGAACAUGUGGGAGCCAACAUGGGUAUCCAGAUCCCGCUGUUGGUUAUUGACCGGAGAACAUCUCGGUCAUGACUACAUGUCUCCCGAACCCGUAGGGUCUACACACUUAAGGUUCGAUGAUGCUAGGGUUAUAAAGGAAGUUUGUAUGUGAUUACCGAAUAUUGUUCGGAGUUCCGGAUGAGAUCCCGGACGUCACGAGGAGUUCUGGAAUGGCCCGGAGGUAAAGAUUUAUAUAUAGGAAGUCCUGUUUCGGCCAUUGGGACAAGUUUCGGGGUCGUCGGUAUUGUACCGGGACCACCGGAAGGGUCCCAAGGGCCCACCGGGUGGGGCCACAUGGGCUGUAGGGGGUGCGCCUUGGCCUACAUGGGCCAAGGGCACCAGCCCCUAGAGGCCCAUGCGCCAAGAGUGGAGGAAAAGGGGAGAGUCCUAAAGGGGGAAGGCACCUCCGAGGUGCCUUGGGGAGGAUGGACUCCUCCCCCCCUCUUGGCCGCACCCCUUCCUUGGAGGAAGGGGCAAGGCUGCGCCUCCCCCCUCUCCCUUGCCCCUAUAUAUAGUGGAGGGGAGGGAGGGCAUCCAUACCUGAGCCCCUGGCGCCUCCCUCCCUCCCGUGACACCUCCUCCUCUCCCGUAGGUGCUUGGCGAAGCCCUGCAAGAUUGCCACGCUCCUCCAUCACCACCACGCCGUUGUGCUGCUGCUGGAUGGAGUCUUCCUCAACCUCUCCCUCUCUCCUUGCUGGAUCAAGGCGUGGGAGACAUCGUCGAGCUGUACGUGUGUUGAACGCGGAGGUGCCGUCCGUUCGGCACUAAGAUCAUCGGUGAUUUGAAUCACGACGAGUACGACUCCAUCAACCCUGUUCACUUGAACGCUUCCGCUUAGCGAUCUACAAGGGUAUGUAGAUGCAUUCUCCUUCCCCUCGUUGCUGGUCUCUCCAUAGAUAGAUCUUGGUGACACGUAGGAAAAUUUUGAAUUUCUGCUACGUUCCCCAACAGUGGCAUCAUGAGCUAGGUCUAUUGCGUAGAUUCUAUGCACGAGUAGAACACAAAGUAGUUGUGGGCGUUGAUUUUGUUCAAUAUGCUUGCCGUUACUAGUCUUAUCUUGAUUCGGCGGCAUCGUGGGAUGAAGCGGCCCGGACCAACCUUACACGUACUCUUAUGUGAGACCGGUUCCACCGACAAACAUGCACUAGUUGCAUAAGGUGGCUGGCGGGUGUCUGUCUCUCCCACUUUAGUCGGAUCGGAUUCGAUGAAAAGGGUCCUCAUGAAGGGUAAAUAGCAAUUGGCAUAUCACGUUGUGGUUCAUGCGUAGGUAAGAAACGUUCUUGCUAGAAACCCAUAGCAGCCACGUAAAACAUGCAAACAACAAUUAGAGGACGUCUAACUUGUUUUUGCAGGGUAUGCUAUGUGAUGUGAUAUGGCCAAAGGAUGUGAUGAAUGAUAUAUGUGAUGUAUGAGAUUGAUCAUGUUCUUGUAAUAGGAAUCACGACUUGCAUGUCGAUGAGUAUGACAACCGGCAGGAGCCAUAGGAGUUGUCUUAAUUUAUUUGUGACCUGCGUGUCAACUUAAACGUCAUGUAAUUACUUUACUUUAUUGCUAACCGUUAGCCAUAGUAGUAGAAGUAAUAGUUGGCGAGGCAACUUCAUGAAGACACGAUGAUGGAGAUCAUGAUGAUGGAGAUCAUGGUGUCAUGCCGGUGACGAUGAUGAUCAUGGAGCCCCGAAGAUGGAGAUCAAAAGGAGCAAAGUGAUGAUGGCCAUAUCAUGUCACUAUUUGAUUGCAUGUGAUGUUUAUCAUGUUUAUACAUCUUAUUUGCUUAGAAUGACGGUAGUAAAUAAGAUGAUCCCUUACAACAAUUUCAAGAAGUGUUCUCCCCUAACUGUGCACCGUUGCGACAGUUCGUGUUUCGAAGCACCACGUGAUGAUCGGGUGUUAGAUUAUAACGUUCACAUACAACGGGUGUAAGACAGAUUUACACACGCGAAAUACUUAGGGUUAACUUGACGAGCCUAGCAUGUACAGACAUGGCCUCGGAACACGGAGACCGAAAGGUCGAGCAUGAGUCGUAUAGAAGAUACGAUCAACAUGAAGAUGUUCACCGAUGAUGACUAGUCCGUCUCACGUGAUGAUCGGACACGGCCUAGUUUGACUCGGAUCAUGUAAUCACUUAGAUGACUAGAGGGAUGUCUAUCUGAGUGGGAGUUCAUAAGAUGAACUUAAUUAUCCUGAACAUAGUCAAAAGGAUUUUGCAAAUUAUGUCGUAGCUCACGCUAUAGUUCUACUGUUUAGAUAUGUUCCUAGAGAAAAAUUAGUUGAAAGUUGAUAGUAGCAAUUAUGCGGACUAGGUCCGUAAACUGAGGAUUGUCCUCAUUGCUUCAUAGAAGGCUUAUGUCCUUAAUGCACCGCUCAGUGUGCUGAACCUCGAACGUUGUCUGUGGUUGUUGCGAACAUCUGACAUACACGUUUUGAUAACUACGUGAUAGUUCAGUUAAACGGUUUAGAGUUGAGGCACCAAAGACGUUUUUGAAACGUCGCGAAACAUAUGAGAUGUUUUGAGGGCUGAAAUUGGGAUUUCAGGCUCGUGCCCAUGUCAAGAGGUAUAAGACCUCCAAUGACUUUCUUAACCUGCAAACUAAGGAGAAAAGCUCAAUUGUUGUGCUUGUGCUCAGAUUGUCUGAGUACAACAAUCGCUUGAAUCGAGUGGGAGUUGAUCUUCCAGAUAAGACAGUGAUGGUUCUCCGAAGUCAUUACCACCAAGCUGCUAGAGCUUCGUGAUGAACUAUAAUAUAUCAGGGACAUAUAUGAUGAUCCUUGAGAUACUCGCGAUGUUUGACACCGCGAAAGUAGAAAUCAAGAAGGAGCAUCAAUUGUUGAUGGUUGGUGAAACCACUAGUUUCAAGAAGGGCAAGGGAACAAAGGGAUACUUCAUGAAACGGCAAUUCAGCUGCUGCUCUGGUGAAGAAACCCAAGGUUGAACCCAAACCCGAGACUAAGUGCUUCUGUAAUAAGGGGAACAACCACUGGAGCAGAAUUACCCUAGAUACUUGGUAGAUGAGAAGGCUGGCAAGGUCGAUAGAAGUAUAUUGGAUAUACAUUAUGUUGAUGUGUACUUUACUAGUACUCCUAGUAGCACCAGGGUAUUAAGAUACCGGUUCGGUUGCUAAGUGUUAGUAACUCGAAACAAAAGGCUACGGAAUAAACGGAGACUAGCUAAAGGUGAGCUGACGAUAUGUGUUGGAAGUUUUUCCAAGCUUGAUAUGAUCAAGCAUCGCACGCUCCCUCUACCAAAGAGAUUGGUGUUAAACCUAAAUAAUUGUUAUUUGGUGUUUGCGUUGAGCAUAGACAUGAUUGGAUUACGUCUAUCGCAAUACGGUUAUUCAUUUAAGGAGAAUAAUGGUUACUCUGUUUAUUUGAAUAAUACCUUCAAUGGUCUUACACCUAAAAUGAAUGGUUUAUUAAAUCUCGAUCGUAGUGAUACACAUGUUCAUGCCAAAAGAUAGUAAUGAUAGUACCACCUACUUGUGGCACUGCCACGUAAGUCAUAUCGGUAUAAAACGCAUGAAGAAGCUCCAUGUUGAUGGAUCUUUGGACUCACUCGUUUUUGAAAAGUUUGAGACAUGCGAACCAUGUCUAUUGGUGUAUAUGCAUGAAGAAACUCCAUGCAAAUGGACCGUUUGGACUCACUUGAUUUUGAAUCACUUGAGAUAUGCAAAUCAUACCACAUGGGCAAGAUGACUGGAAAAGCCUCGUUUUCAGUAAGAUGGAACAAGAUAGCAACUUGUUGGAAGUAACACAUUUUGAUGUGUGCAGUCCAAUGAGUGCUGAGGCAUGCAGUGAAUAUCGUUAUGUUCUUACUUCACAGAUGAUUCGAGUAGAUGUUGAGUAUAUUUACUUGAUGAAUCACGAGUCUGAAUUAUUGAAAGGUUCAAGUAAUUUCAGUGUGAAGUUGAAAGAUCGUCGUGACAAGAGGAUAAAAGAUCUAUGAUAUGAUCAUAGAGAUGAAUAUCUGAAUCACGAGUUUGGCACAGAAUUAAGACAUUGUGGAAAUUGUUUCACAACUGAUACAGCCUGGAACACCAUAGUGUGAUGGUGUGUCCGAACGUCAUAGUUGCACCCUAUUGGAUAUGGUGCAUACCAUGAUGUCUCUUAUCGAGUUAUCACUAUCGUUCAUGGGUUAGGCAUUAGAGACAACCACAUUCACUUUAAAUAGGGCACCACAUAAUUUCGUUGAGACGACACCGUAUGAAUUAUGGUUUAGAGAAACCUAAGCUGUCAUUUCUUAGAAGUUUGGGGCUGCGAUGCUUAUGUGGAAAAGUUUCAGGCUGAUAAGCUCGAACCCAAAGCGGAUAAAAUGCAUCUUCAUAGGACACCCAAAAACAGUUGGGUAUACCUCCUAAUUCAGAUCCGGAAGCAAUAGGGAUUGUUUCUUGAAUCGGGUCCUUUCUCGAGGAAAAGUUUCUCUCAAAAGAAUUGAGUGGGAGGAUGGUGGAGACUUGAUGAGGUUAUUGAACCGUCACUUCAACAAGUGUGUAGCAGGGCACAGGAAGUUGUUCCUGUGGCACGUACACCAACUGAAGUGGAAGCUUAUGAUAAUGAUCAUGAAACUUCGGAUCAAGUCACUACCAAACCUCGUGGGAUGACAAGGAUGCGUACUACUUCAGAGUGGUACGUAAUCCUGUCUUGGAAGUCAUGUUGCUAGACAACAAUGAACCUACGAGCUAUGGAGAAGCGAUGGUGGGCCCAAAUUCCGACAAAUGGUUAGAAGCCAUAAAAUUUGAGAUAGGAUCCAUGUAUGAAAACAAAGUGUAGACUUUGGAAGAACUACUUGAUGGUCGUAAGGCUAUUAGGUACAUAUGGAUUUUGAAAGGAAGACAGACAAUGAUGGUAAGUGUCACCAUUGAGAAAGCUCGACUUGUCAUUAAGAUGUUUUUCGACAAGUUCAAGGAGUUGACUACGAUGAGACUUUCUCACUCGUAGCGAUGCUAAGAGUCUGUUGGAAUUAUAUUAGCAAUUACUGCAUUAUUUAUGAAAUCUUGCAGAUAGGAUGUCAAAACAUUGUUUCCUCGACGAUUUUUGAGGAAAGGUUGUAUGUGAUACAACCGGAAGGUUUUGUCUAUCCUGAAAUAUGCUAAUAAGUAUGCAAAGCUGCAGCAAUCCUUCUGAGGACUGGAGUGAGCAUCUCGGAGUUGGAAUGUAUGCUUUGAUGAUGAUCAAAGAUUUUGGGUGUAUACAAAGUUUAUGAGAAACUUGUAUUUCCAAAGAAGUAAGUGGGAGCACUAUAGAAUUUCUGAUAAGUAUAUGUUGUUGACAUAUUGUUGAUCAGAAAUGAUGUAGAAUUUCUGGAAAGCAUAUAGGGUUAUUUGAAAGGUGUUUUUCAAUGGAAAGCCUGGAUUAAGCUACUUGAACAUUGAGCAUCAAGAUCUAUAAGGAUAGAUCAAAACGCUUAAUGGUACUUUCAAAUGAGCACAUACCUUGACAUGAUCUUGAAGGUGUUCAAGAUGGAUCAGUCAAAGAAGGAGUUCUUGCCUGAGUUGUAAGGUAUGAAGUUAAGACUUAAAGCUCGACCACGGCAGAAUAGAGAGAAAGGACAAAGGUCGUCCCCUAUGCUUAAGACGUAGGCUCUACAAUAUGCUAUGCUGUGUACUGCACCUGAAGUGUGCCUUGCCAUGAGUCAGUCAAGGGGUACAAGAGUGAUCCAAGAAUGGAUCACGGGACAGCGGUCAAAGUUAUCCUUAGUAACUAGUGGACUAAGGAAUUUUCUCGAUUAUGGAGGUGGUAAAGGGGUUCGUCGUAAAGGGUUACGUCGAUGCAAGCUUAACACCUAUCCGGAUAGCUCUGAGUAGAGAUACCGGAUACGUAUAAUGGAGCAACAAUUUAGAAUAGCUCCAAGUAGAACAGUUAUUUGGAAUAGCUCCAAAUAGAGCGUGGUAGCUGCAUCUAGGAGAUGACAUAGAGAUUUGUAAAGCACACACGGAUCUGAAAGGUUCAGACCCGUUGACUAUAACCUCUCUCACAAGCAUAACAUGAUCAAACCAAGAACUCAUUGAGUGUUAAUCACAUAGUGAUGUGAGCUAGACUACUGACUCUAGUAAACUCUUGGGUGUUAGUCACAUGGCGAUGUGACCUGUGAGUGUUAAUCACAUGGGGAUGUGAACUAGAUUAUUGACUCUAGUGCAAGUGGGAGACUGUUGGAAAUAUGCCCUAGAGGCAAUAAUAAAUUAGUUAUUAUUAUAUUUCCUUGUUCAUGAUAAUCUUUUAUUAUCCAUGCUAUAAUUGUAUUGAUAGGAAAGUCAGAUACAUGUGUGGAUACAUAGACAACACCAUGUCCCUAGUAAGCCUCUAGUUGACUAGCUCGUUAAUCAAUAGAUGGUUACGGUUUCCUGACCAUGGACAUUGGAUGUCGUUGAUAACGGGAUCACAUCAUUAGGAGAAUGAUGUGAUGGACAAGACCCAAUCCUAAGCCUAGCACAAGAUCAUGUAGUUCGUAUGCUAAAGCUUUUCUAAAUGUCAAGUAUCAUUUCCUUAGACCAUGAGAUUGUGCAACUCCCGGAUACCGUAGGAGUGCUUUGGGUGUGCCAAACGUCACAACGUAACUGGGUGGCUAUAAAGGUACACUACGGGUAUCUCUGAAAGUGUCUGUUGGGUUGGCACGAAUCGAGAUUGGGAUUUGUCACUCCGUGUAAACGGAGAGGUAUCUCUGGGCCCACUCGGUAGGACAUCAUCAUAAUGUGCACAAUGUGACCAAGGGGUUGAUCACGGGAUGAUGUGUUACAGAACGAGUAAAAGAGACUUGCCGGUAACGAGAUUGAACAAGGUAUCGGUAUACCGACGAUCAAAUCUCGGGCAAGUACCAUACCGCUAGACAAAGGGAAUUGUAUACGGGAUUGAUUGAGUCCUUGACAUCGUGGUUCAUCCGAUGAGAUCAUCGUGGAACAUGUGGGAGCCAACAUGGGUAUCCAGAUCCCGCUGUUGGUUAUUGACCGGAGAACAUCUCGGUCAUGACUACAUGUCUCCCAAACCCGUAGGGUCUACACACUUAAGGUUCGAUGACGCUAGGGUUAUAAAGGAAGUUUGUAUGUGGUUACCGAAUGUUGUUCGGAGUCCCGGAUGAGAUCCCGGACGUCACGAGGAGUUCCGGAAUGGUCCGGAGGUAAAGAUUUAUAUAUAGGAAGUCCUGUUUCGGCCAUUGGGACAAGUUUUGGGGUCAUCGGUAUUGUACCGGGACCACCGGAAGGGUCCCGGGGGCCCACCGGGUGGGGCCACCUGCCCCGGGGGGCCACAUGGGCUGUAGGGGGUGCGCCUUGGCCUACAUGGGCCAGGGGCACCAGCCCCUAGAGGCCCAUGCGCCAAGAGUGGAGGAAAAGGGGAGAGUCCUAAAGGGAGAAGGCACCUCCGAGGUGCCUUGGGGAGGAUGGACUCCUCCCCCCUCUUGGCCGCACCCCUUCCUUGGAGGAAGGGGCAAGGCUGCGCCUCCCCCCUCUCCCUUGCCCCUAUAUAUAGUGGAGGGGAGGGAGGGCAUCCAUACUCAAGCCCCUGGCGCCUCCCUCCCUCCCUUGACACCUCCUCCUCUCCCGUAGGUGCUUGGCGAAGCCCUGCAAGAUUGCCACGCUCCUCCAUCACCACCACGCCGUUGUGCUGCUGCUGGAUGGAGUCUUACUCAACCUCUCCCUCUCUCCUUGCUGGAUCAAGGCGUGGGAGACAUCGUCGAGCUGUACGUGUGUUGAACGCGGAGGUGCCGUCCGUUCGGCACUAAGAUCAUCGGUGAUUUGAAUCACGACGAGUACGACUCCAUCAACCCCGUUCACUUGAACGCUUCCGCUUAGCGAUCUACAAGGGUAUGUAGAUGCACUCUCCUUCCCCUCGUUGCUGGUCUCUCCAUAGAUAGAUCUUGGUGACACGUAGGAAAAUUUUGAAUUUCUGCUACGUUCCCCAACACGUGAGAUGAUGCCCGAGGGGGCCACGAGACAGGGGGCGCGCCCUGGACUCUCCUGGGCACCCCGUAAGGCGGUUGACGCUCUUCUUUUGCCUCAAGAAAGCUAAUUUUAUGAGAAAAAUCUGGGUGAAAGAUUCACCCCAAUCGGAGUUACGGAUCUCCGGAUAUUAAAGAAACGGUGAGAGUGCAGAAUCAGGGAACGCAGAAACAGAGAGAGACAGAGAGAUAGAUCCAAUCUCGGAGGGGCUCUCGCCCCUCCCACGCCAUGGGAGCCAAGGACCAGAGGGGAAAUCCUUCUCCCAUCUAGGGAGGAGGUCAAGGAAUAAGAACAAGAAGGGGGGCCCUCUCCCCCUUGCUUCCGGUGGCGCCGGAGCGCUGCCGGGGGCCAUCAUCAUCACCGCAAUCUUCACCAACACCUCCGCCAUAUUCACCAACAUCUCCAUCAUCUUCCCCCAUCUAUAUUCAGCGGUCCACUCUCCCGCAACCUAUUGUACCCUCUACUUGAACAUGGUGCUUUAUGCUUCAUAUUAUUAUCCAAUGAUGUGUUACCAUCCUAUGAUGUCUGAGUAGAUUUUCGUUGUCCUAUCUGUGAUUGAUGAAUUGCUAUGAUUGGUUUGAAUUGCAUGCUUUAUUAUUGGUGCUGUCCUAUUGUGCCCUCUGUGUCGCGCAAGCGUGAGGGAUUCCCGCUGUAGGGUUUGCAAUAUGUUCAUGAUUUGCUUAUGGUGGGUGGCAUGAGUGACAGAAGCACAGACCCGAGUAAGUAGGUUGUUUGCGUAUGGGAUAAAGGGGACUUGAUACAUUAAUGCUAUGGUUGGGUUUUACCUUAAUGAUCUUUAGUAGUUGCGGAUGCUUGCUAGAGUUCCAAUCAUAAGUGCAUAUGAUCCAAGAAGAGAAAGUAUGUUAGCUUAUGCCUCUCCCUCAAAUAGAAUUGCAAUAGUGAUUAUCGGUCUAGUAAAGUAGUCAAUUGCUUAGGGACAAUUUCACAACUCCUACCACCACUUUUCCACACUCGCUAUAUUUACUUUAUUGCAUCUUUAUCUAAACAACCCCUACUUUUCAUUUACGUGUUCUUUAUUAUCUUGCAAACCUACCCAACAACACCUACAAAGUACUUCUAGUUUCGUACUUGUUUUACGUAAAGUGAACACAAAGAGUGUGUAGAGUUGUAUCAGUGGCAGAUAGGGCUUGAGGAAUAUUUGUUCUACCUUUAGCUCCCCGUUGGGUUCGACACUCUUACUUAUCGAAAGAGGCUACAAUUAUCCCGUAUACUUGCGGGUUAUCAUGCUACAACUUUUAUGAGAAUUUCUUUCCCUCCUUUCGAAAGGAGUCUUUCCUUCCAACCUUGAAUCUUCUUCCAAACUCUCUCCUUUAUAUAUUCAAAGGUUCUUUUUUUGGCUUUACCCACAUAGUACGGAACACCUAAAUAUUUAGAGGGUAGACCUUUCCGGGUGAUCUGCAAGAUGCUUCUCAUCUCCUCCUUCAACUCCUGCCUGGUGUUUGCACUGAACAUUGUUGAUGAUUUUUCCUUGUUAAUCAUUUGACCUGAAAAUGGUUCAUAAUUAUUCAGAAUUCUAUUGAUUUCCUGUGCACUUUCAGCUUUGGCCUCCAUGAUCAGCAAUGAAUCACCUGCAAAAAGCAGAUGACUAACACUGGGAGCUUUCCUACAAAUCUUAAUUCCGGUCAAUAACCCUCUCAUCUCAGCUUCAUGUAACAUGGAGGCGAACCCCUCUGCACAAAUGAGAAAUAAAUAUGGAGAGAGUGGGUCUCCUUGCCUCAAGGCUCUUUGGGGUAUGACCAUACCUGCUGUAUCUUGGUUCACCUUAAUCUGAUACUUGAUAGUAGAGAUGCAUUGCAUUAUCAAUUUAACCCAACUCAUGUCAAAGCCCAUUCUACACAUCACAUCCCUUAAGAACGUCCAUUCCACACGGUUAUAGGAUUUGCUCAUGUCGAGUUUUAUAGCUGCAUAGCAUGUUGAGCCUCUUUUUCUUCUUUGCAAGAAAUGUGUUAAUUCAUACGCGAAAAGAAUAUUAUCAGAUAUUAAUCUCUUGGGCACAAAGGCACUCUAAUUAGGGGAGAUGAUAUCUGGGAGAAUUACUUUGAGCCUGUUGGUAACUACCUUGGAGACUAUCUUAUACACCACAUUACAUAGGCUAAUUGGUCUCAGGUCCUUCAUGCUUGUCGGGUUGGUAUUCUUUGGGAUUAGCACUAUUAGUGUAUCGUUCCACCUUUCAGGCAUCCCCCUCUCAAUAUCUGAAGAACCUCUUUAGUUAUCUGAUUCUCAGCAAUUUUCCAGAAUCUUUUGAAAAAUAUGGCCGGCAUACCAUCGGGUCCUGGGGCUUUCAAAUCGUCGAUGCUAUCCAAGGCUCUUUUUACCUCCUCUUUUGCAUAGUCAUCCCUUAAUACUUCAUUCAUCUCCUUCGUUACCCUUGGCUGAAUCGUACUCAAUAUUUCCUCAUUAUUGUUUCCUGAAGUGGAGGUGAAGAUAUUAAAGAAAUAGUUUGUAAUGUGUUCUUUUAACGGUUCUUCCCCCUCCACCCAGCUACUGUCCUCCCUUUUCAGUCUCUUGGUGGUAUUCCUUCUCUUUCUCUCAGAGGCGAAAGCAUGAAGCAAAUGAUGUGUUCUUAUCCCCAUCCUUUAGCCAUUUAACACAUGCUUGUUGUUUCCAGUGCAGUUCUUUUUGUUGUUCCAAAUGAUCUAACUUCUCCCUUAACACAUGCUCUCUUCUAACCCUUUAUUGGUUGAUUUCCCCUCUGUGUAUUCCAUCUAGUUCGUUCUUCAAAAUUUUGAUCCUUUUCCCAAGUUCACCUAAUACAUUAUUAUCCCAGUCCUUCAACUCCCCUGCUAUUUUGUGCAACAGUUCUUUGAUAUUCUGGUCACCUUGCAAUCCAGCAUUGGCCCAAGCAUUAUUAACCACCAACUCAUAGUCCUCUUCCUACAACCAUCUGGCUUCAAACCUGAAAUUGUGAGCCUUUCCCCUGAACAAACUAGCCCUCUCAGAUUCUUCCAUGUGGAUAAUAAUAGGCCUAUGGUCUGAACGGUAUGGGUCUCCAUUCAGAACUUUGUAGUGAGGAAAUCUUGCACACCAACUCCUCGAACCCACUACUCUAUCAAGUCUUUCUUUAACAAAUCGGUCUGCAUCCCAGCUAUGAUUCCGCCACGUGUAUUUAUCCCCCACAUAGCCCAAAUCUUUUAAUCUGCAUUCUGUGAGGGCCUCUCUAAAACUUUCCAUUUGACUAUGCGCUCUACCUGCCACCCUUCUUUUCAUGACUAUACAUGAUCUCGUUAAAAUCGUCGGUGCAUAACCAUGGAAAUUUAAGCUGCUGAUUGAGGAUGCACAAUAACUUCCAAGUUAUUUUCUUUUUAUCACUUGCGGUCUCUCCACAAAUGCCCGUGAAACGCCACCUAAAACCAUCUUUCUCCACUACGUUUACAUCAAUAUGAUACUUGGAGUAGUUGUGCAGCUCCAAGUUUACUUCUUUCUUCCAAAGUAAUGCCAACCCUCCGCUCUUUCUUUCACAGUCCCUUGCCAUCAUGUUCCCCAUUCCUAACUUCCACUUAAGCUUCUCCAUCCUCCCUUUAUCCAGUUUAGUUUCAGAUAAGAAGAUGAUGCCAGGAUCCACCUGCUUCCGGAGGUCCAGAAGCCCUCUCACUGUCGGGCCAUUCCCCAAUCCCCGGGAGUUCCAUGCUAAAAUCUUCAUUUUGGCUCGCCAGGAUCUCCCUGCAGCCCAGCGUUUAUAGUUCCUAAGAUAUUGUUCCCUUUGUUUACUUCGGCUUCGUCAACCUCCAUCUUCGCUUUCUUCGCUAAUUCUGUCGCCUCAUCUACAUCCAUUAUAUCAACCUUUCUCUUAUUCGAAUCUGCCCUAUUUAAUUGUUUUUGUUGGAUCCCUUCCUUCUUCAUUCGCCUGAAAGUACCUUGCUUUGUACUUUUCCUAGCCUUAUAAACAUUAUUUUAUGUUUUGUUAAGGAGCACUUCCUUCUCAUAAACCAAGGUAUCCUUCAAUGACCCUUCUGCGUCAUGCCUCAUUAUUGUAUUAUUGAUGUUCCUUCCUUCAAAUUCACUCAGAUCGUCCUCUAUUUUUUGUCCCUCUCUAAAAGGGCUUUCACCGAUUAUCCACUCAAAAAUAAUCCUUUCCCCUCCAUUGUUCCUUUGUAUUCAUUCUGUUUUUUCUUGUGGGGACUUAUCACUUCUUUACCAUCACCCUUUUCUGGCCCUUCAUCAUAGUCUAUGCUUUGUACAUCCCUUCGUCAAGAUGGCACAUCGCUACCUUGUUUAUUGUCCUUGCUACCUGCACCAUUACUUGGCUAGAAUUUUUCUUUAUCACUUGAGCUUCUGCUCCUUUCUUCAUUAGAGCCUCCCUUGUACAUAAUUUCCCGUAGCCAUGACCCAAACUGCUUGGAUCUAGUUCUUCUAGAUCUGGUUGGACAUGACUUCUCUAUAUGUCCAAUUAUGCCACAACUAUAGCAGAAAUCGGGGAGGUACUCAUAUGUUAUAGAGAUAAUCUUUCUCUCCUUUUCUUCCUUUCCGGCCCCUUCUCCUCGUCUCCGUCAACACCCCAGGUGCCAUUUCAUUAGCAUGUUCCUCUUCCUCUUCGUCCUCAAUAAAGGAUGUUAUAAAUCUCAUUAUUGGAACUGUUAUCUAUUUUCACUUUAAUUCUCAUGAAUACUCCCAUUGAGUCCCCAUUGACAUUUGAAUUGUGACGCCCGGAUAAUCAAGCUACAGUAACCUUUGCUAAUGAUGCCACAUCACCUCGAUUACUGUUGCUAAUCUCGCGUUAGUUCGAAAUCGAUUCAAAUUCAAAUUCAAAAUCAAGCAAACAAUAAAGCUUUUCAAAUAUUAAAACUAAAAUGUUCGGAGUGAACCAAAUAUUGCUUAGGAAAUAAUGGUGGAUAAACCACACCUUUAUAAAAUGUUUAAAUACUAUAAGCUGAAUAAAACAGUAGCAAAAACUAUUAUUUAAAUACUUUUAAAUAUUAAAUAAUUACGAAACUAUUUUAGCUUGGGUAGCAAAUUAAUGUGGUAGUGGUAUAUUUGACAUACUAAAUUUAGGUGCUGUUUUGACAUUUUAUAAAUUGAACUAAAUUAAAGUUUGAAAGAAACAGUGAAAGAAAAUAAAAAAGGAAAGUAUAAAAAAGACAUAAACAAAACUGAAAUAAAAACAGAACUCCCCUGGCCAACUGGGCCAUGACCCAGCCGGUCGGCCCACCGGCCCAACCGCGCCCCUGGCCUAUAUGGUCUGCCGACUCCCGAACCCUAGCCUCUCCCCUCCCCGAUCCCGUCUCACUCCCCCUCACCCCUGGAUCUGCACGAUGCCCAUCCCCGUCGCCCCGCACGACCCCCCCACUCCUCCCGCACGAUCCCCCACCCUUCCCGCACGACCCCCACUCCUUCCGACUGAGACCCCCACUUCCUCUCNNNNNNNNNNNNNNNNNNNNNNNNNNNNNNNNNNNNNNNNNNNNNNNNNNNNNNNNNNNNNNNNNNNNNNNNNNNNNNNNNNNNNNNNNNNNNNNNNNNNNNNNNNNNNNNNNNNNNNNNNNNNNNNNNNNNNNNNNNNNNNNNNNNNNNNNNNNNNNNNNNNNNNNNNNNNNNNNNNNNNNNNNNNNNNNNNNNNNNNNNNNNNNNNNNNNNNNNNNNNNNNNNNNNNNNNNNNNNNNNNNNNNNNNNNNNNNNNNNNNNNNNNNNNNNNNNNNNNNNNNNNNNNNNCCCUUGCCGUGCUAGAGCAUCACCUCGCCGGCGCGCCCGCGCCCGAGGAACCGCCGCCUCCCCGCUGGACAGGCCGUCCUCGACCUCCUCCUCGCCGACCCCCCUCUCCCUCGCCCCCUCUGCCCGAUCUAGAUCGGGAGGGGGCCGCCCCGACUUCGCUGGCACCCUCGACAACGCCGCCGCUCGCCGUCCCUGGAGGCACCUCGACGCCGCGCCUCGUCGCCUGAUGCCGCCCGAAGCUACUCCACCUCGCCAACAUCGGCGGACCACCGUCGUCCUCGUCCUCCUCCUCGAGCUCGCUGCCACUCCCCUACACCGUCCGUGCGCACUUCCCUCUCUUCCCGUCCCCGUUGCCCAUUUCGGCCGCCGACGCUGCCGCACAUGUGUUGGUCGGCCCCUGCCCGUUGCCCGCUUCCAGCCGCUGUCGCCCACGGCACCCCCCUGUGCACCCUCCCGGCGCCUCGGCCUCCUGCCGCUGGCCAUCCCGCAGCCACCAUGCGGCGCGCCUCCUCGUGACGCACCUAUAGCUCCAGCCGCAUCGCAAACCGUCAUCGGAACCAAUUGCGCGGUCGUCGCCAGCAAGCUCGGCCUCAUCGCCAUUAACAUGCUGACGUGGCGCGUGACUAACCCCUAUUUCAGCACUAACCCGAACACCUAAACAGGCACUGACAUGUGAACCCUCCCUAAUUAACCUAAACAUAAAUAAUCUAUUUAACUAAUCUAACAACCCAGUGUCAAUGACACGCGGGCCCCCACCACUAAAUGAAAUGACUAGAUUAAACUGUUAAGUUAAUAGCCAGUUACACGUAAGGCCCACUAGCUAAUUAGUUUAAGUUAAAUAAAACCUGUUGUUAAACUCUCUCACUGACCAGUGGGGCCGUUGUUCUGCUGACUCAACCCGGCCCACCAGUCAGCCUCUGCUGACUGGGCAGUUGACCAAGUCAACUAGGCCCCAUGCCAAGCUUUGUUGCAUAUUGCUGGGUACACUUCUUGUGUACCCAUAGCAUUUAAAUAUUAAUUUAAUUUCGCAUUAAAUUAAAUCCAGAAAUUAGAAAAUCAUUUAGAACUUUGAAAAUUAAUAUAAAAUAAUCCAUAACUUGGAUGAAAAUACUUUGUACAUGAAAGUUGCUCAGAACGACGAGAGGAAUCCGAAUACGCAGCUCGUUCGUCAGCCACAUGUCCCUAGCAUAGCAAACGUGCAACAUUUCACCUCCGGUUCAUUUGUCCGAAAAUGCGAAACGCCGGUGAUACUUUCCCGGAUGUUUCCCCCCUUCGUCGGUAUCACCUACUACGGCGUUAGGGCACACCUAGCACCGCGUAUUGCCAUGUUACGCUUUGUGAUGCUUUGAUUGCUCUGUUAUUUAUUGUGUUCCCCCUCCGUUACUUCUUUUCGGUAGACCCCGAGACUGCCGGCGACCCCCAGUUCGACUACGGAGUUGACGACCCCUCCUUCUUGCCAGAGCAACCAGGCAAGCCCCCCCCCUUGAUCACCAGAUAUCGCCUAUUUUUCUCUAUACUACUUGCAUUAGAGUAGUGUAGCAUGUUACUGUUCGGUUACUCCUGUUCUGUUGCAUAGCCUGUCAUUGCUGCUACAGUUGUUGAUACCUUACCCGCAAUCCUAAAUGCUUAGUAUAGGAUGCUAGUUUAUCAUCAGUGGCCCUACAUUCUUGUUAGUCUGCCUUGCUAUACUAUCGGGCCGUGAUCACUCGGGAGGUGAUCACGGGUAUAUACUAUACAUAUAUACAUACUAUAUAGAUGGUGACUAAAGUCGGGCCGGCUCGUUGAGCACUCGCAAGUCAUUCGGAUAUGAGGGCUGGAAGGACAGGUGGCUCCAUCCCGGUAGAGGUGGGCCUGGGUUCUCGACGGCCCCCGACUGUUACUUUGUGGUGGAGCGACAGGGCAGGUUGAGACCACCUAGGAGAGAGGUGGGCCUGGCCCUGGUCGGCGUUCGCGGUUACAUCAAUUAACACGCUUAACAAGAUCUUGGUAUUUGAUCUGAGUCUGGCCACUUUCCUAUACGCACUAACCAACUACGUGGGAACAGUUAUGGGCACUCGACAUCGUGGUAUCAACCAAAGCCUUCUUGACGUCAGGGACUGAGCGGCGCGCGCCGGAUUGGACUGGAACGCGUGCUCUUGUAUUAGGGAGGCUAGGUCUGCUUCCGGCCGCCCUCGCAAUGUGCAGGUGUACAAUGGGUGAUGGGCCCAGACCCCUGCGCGCAUAGGAUUUAGACCGGCAUGCUGACCUCUCUGUUGUGCCUAGGUGGGGCUGCGACGUGUUGAUCUUCCGAGGCCAAGCAUUGUUGGGGAACGUAGUAAUUUCAAAAAAUUUCCUACGCACACGCAAGAUCAUGGUGAUGGUAUAGCAACGAGAGGGGAGAGUGUUGUCCACGUACCCUCGUAGACCAUAAGCGGAAGCGUUAGCACAACGCGGUUGAUGUAGUCGUACGUCUUCACGAUCCGACCGAUCCAAGCACCGAACGUACGGGGCCUCCGAGUUCAGCACACGUUCAGCUCGAUGACGAUCUCCAUGCUCCGGUCCAGCAAAGCUCCAGAGAUGAGUUCCGUCAGCAUGACGGCGUGGUGACGAUGAUGAUGCUCUACCGGCGCAGGGCUUCGCCUAAACUCCGCGAUGAUAUGACCGAGGUGGAAUAUGGUGGAGGGGGGCACCACACACAGCUAAGGAACGAUCCAUAGAUCAACUUCUGUGUCUAUGGGGUGCCCCCCCGCCCCCGUAUAUAAAGGAGCCAGGGGGGAGGAGGCGGCCGACCAAGGAGGGCGCGCCAAGGGGGGAGUCCUACUCCCACCGGGAGUAGGACUCCCUUCUUUCCAAGUAGGAGUAGGAGAAGGGGGGAAAGAGGAGGAAGAGGGGAAGGAAAGGGGGGGCGCCGCCCCCCUUCCCUUGUCCUAUUCGGACUAGGAUGGGGAGGGGCGCGCGGCCCCCUCCUGGCUCCUUCCCUCUUCUCCCUCGUGCCCAUGUAGGCCCAAUAACCCUCGGGGGGUUCCGGUAACCUCCCGAUACUCCGGUAAAAUGCUGAUUUCACCCGGAACGAUUCCGGUGUCCAAAUAUAGGCUUCCAAUAUAUCGAUCUUUAUGUCUCGACCAUUUCGAGACUCCUCGUCAUAUCCAUGAUCACAUCCGGGACUCCGAACAAACUUCAGUACAUCAAAACUUAUAAACUCAUAAUAAAACUGUCAUUGUAACGUUAAGCGUGCGGACCCUACGGGUUCGAGAACUAUGUAGACAUGAACUAGAACUAUUCUCGGUCAAUAACCAAUAGUGGGACCUGGAUGCCCAUAUUGGUUCCUACAUAUUCUAUGAAGAUCUUUAUCAGUCAAACCGCAUAACAACAUACGUUGUUCCCUUUGUCAUCGGUAUGUUACUUGCCCGAGAUUUGAUCAUCGGUAUCCAAUACCUAGUUCAAUCUCGUUACCGGCAAGUCUCUUUACUCAUUCUGUAAUGCAUUAUCUCGUAACCAACUCAUUGGUCACAUUGCUUGCAAGGCUUAUAAUGAUGUGCAUUACCGAGAGGGCCCAGAGAUACCUCUUCGACUAUCGGAGUGACAAAACCUAAUCUCGAAAUACGCCAACUCAACAUGUACCUUUGGAGACACCUGUAGUACUCCUUUAUAAUCACCCAGUUACGUUGUGACAUUUGGUAGUACCCAAAGUGUUCCUCCGGUAAAUGGGAGUUGCAUAAUUCUCAUAGUUAUAGGAACAUGUAUAAGUCAUGAAGAAAGCAAUAGCAGUAUACUAAACGAUCAAGUGCUAGGCUAACGGAAUGGGUCAUGUCAAUCACAUCAUUAUUCUAAUGAUGUGAUCCCACUAAUCAAAUGACAACACAUGUCUAUGGUUAGGAAACAUAACCAUCUUUGAUUAAUGAGCUAGUCAAGUAGAGGCAUACUAGUGACUAUAGGUUUGUCUAUGUAUUCACACAUGUAUCAUGUUUCCGGUUAAUACAAUUCUAGCAUGAAUAAUAAACAUUUAUCAUGAUAUGAGGAAAUAAAUAAUAACUUUAUUAUUGCGUCUAGGGCAUAUUUCCUUCAGUCUCCCACUUGCACUCGAGUCAAUAAUCUAGAUUACAUAGUAAUGAUUCUAACACCCAUGGAGUCUUGGUGCUGAUCAUGUUUUGCUCGUGAGAGAGGCUUAGUCAACGGGUCUGCAACAUUCAGAUCCGUAUGUAUCUUGCAAAUCUCUAUGUCUCCCACGUGGACUUGGUCCCGAAUGGAAUUGAAGCGUCUCUUGAUGUGCUUGGUCCUCUUGUGAAAUCUAGAUUCCUUUGCCAAGGCAAUUGCACCAGUAUUGUCACAGAAGAUCUUCAUUGGUCCCGAUGCACUAGGUAUGACACCUAGAUCGGAAAUGAACUCCUUCAUCCAGACUCCUUCAUUUGCUGCUUCAGAAGCAGCUAUGUACUCCGCUUCACAUGUAGAUCCCGCCACGACGCUUUGUUUAGCACUGCACCAACUUACAGCUCCACCGUUUAAUAAAAACACGUAUCCGGUUUGCGAUUUAGAAUCGUCCAGAUCAGUGUCAAAGCUUGCAUCGACAUAACCAUUUACGACUAGCUCUUUGUCACCUCCAUAUACGAGAAACAUAUCCUUAGUCCUUUUCAGAUAUUUCAGGAUGUUCUUGACCGCUGUCAAGUGAUCCACUCCUGGAUUACUUUGGUACCUUCCUGCCAAACUUAUUGCUAAGCAUACGUCAGGUCUGGUACACAUCAUUGCAUACAUGAUAGAGCCUAUGGCUGAAGCAUAGGGAACAUCUUUCAUUUUCUCUCUAUCUUCUGCUUUGGUCGGGCAUUGAGUUUGACUCAACUUCACACCUUGUAGCACAGGCAAGAAACCUUUCUUUGCCUGAUCCAUUUUGAACUUUUUCGAAAUUUUGUCAAGGUAUGUGCUUUGUGAAAGUCCUAUUAAGCGUCUUGAUCUAUCUCUAUAGAUCUUGAUGCCCAAUAUGUAAGCAGCUUCACCGAGGUCUUUCAUUUAAAAACUUUUAUUCAAGUAUCCCUUUAUGCUAUCCAGAAAUUCUAUAUCAUUUUCAAUUAAUAAUAUGUCAUCUACAUAUAAUAUCAGAAAUGCUACAGAGCUCCCACUCACUUUCUUGUAAACACAGGCUUCUCCAAAAGUCUGUAUAAAACCAUAUGCUUUGAUCACACUAUCAAAGCGUUUAUUCCAACUCCGAGAUGCUUGCACCAAUCCAUAAAUGGAACGUUGGAGCUUGCACACUUUGUUAGCACCUUUUGGAUCAACAAAACCUUCUGGCUGCAUCAUAUACAACUCUUCUUCCAGAAAUCCAUUCAAGAAUGCAGUUUUGACAUCCAUUUGCCAAAUUUCAUAAUCAUGAAAUGCAGCAAUAGCUAACAUGAUUCGGAUAGACUUAAGCAUCGCUACGGGUGAGAAAGUCUCAUCGUAGUCAACUCCUUGAACUUGUCGAAAACCUUUCGGAACAAGUCGAGCUUUAUAGACAGUUACAUUACCAUCAGCGUCAGUCUUCUUCUUAAAGAUCCAUUUAUUUUCAAUGGCUUGCCGAUCAUCGGGCAAGUCAACCAAAGUCCAUACUUUGUUUCAUACAUGGAUCCCAUCUCAGAUUUCAUGGCCUCUAGCUAUUUUGGGAAUCUGGGCUCAUCAUCGCUUCCUCAUAGUUUGUAGGUUCAUCAUGGUCAAGUAACAUGGCUUCCAGAAUAGGAUUACCGUACCAUUCUGGUGCAGAUCUUACUCUGGUAGACCUACGAGGUUCAGUAGAAACUUGAUCUGAAGUUUCAUGAUCCAUAUCAUUAGCUUCCUCACUAAUUGGUUUAGUUGUCACAGGAACCGGUUCUUGUGAUGAACUACUUUCCAAUAAGGGAGUAGAUACAGUUAUCUCAUCAAGUUCUACUUUCCUCCCACUCACUUCUUUCGAGAGAAACUCCUUCUCUAGAAAGGAUCCGAUUUUAGCAACGAAAAUCUUGCCCUCAGAUCUGUGAUAGAAGGUGUACACAAUAGUCUCUUUUGGGUAUCCUAUGAAGACACAUUUCUCCGAUUUGGGUUCGAGCUUAUCUGGUUGAAGUUUCUUCACAUAAGCAUCGCAGCCCCAAACUUUAAGAAACGACAACUUUGGUUUCUUGCCAAACCACAGUUCAUAAGGCGUUGUCUUAACGGAUUUUGAUGGUGCCCUAUUUAACGUGAAUGCGUCCGUUUCUAUAGCAUAACCCCAAAACGAUAGCGGUAAAUCAGUAAGAGACAUCAUAGAUCACACAAUAUCUAGUAAAGUACGAUUACGACGUUCAGACACACCAUUUCGUUGUGGUGUUCCGGGUGGCGUGAGUUGCGAAACUAUUCCACAUUGUUUCAAGUGCAGACCAAACUCGUAACUCAAAUAUUCUCCUCCACGAUCAGAUCGUAGAAACUUUAUUUUCUUGUUACGAUGAUUUUCCACUUCACUCUGAAAUUCUUUGAACUUUUCAAAUGUUUCAGACUUGUGUUUCAUUGAGUAGAUAUACCCAUAUCUGCUCAAAUCAUCUGUGAAGGUGAGAAAAUAACGAUACCCGCCGCGAGCCUCAACAUUCAUUGGACCACAAACAUCAGUAUGUAUGAUUUCCAACAAAUCAGUUGCCCGCUCCAUAGUUCCGGACAACGGCGUUUUAGUCAUCUUGCCCAUGAGGCACGGUUCGCAAGUACCAAGUGAUUCAUAAUCAAGUGAUUCCAAAAGCCCAUCAGUAUGGAGUUUCUUCAUGCGCUUUGCACCGAUAUGACCCAAACGACAAUGCCACAAAUAAGUUGCACUAUCAUUAUCAACUCUGCAUCUUUUGGUUUCCACACUAUGAACAUGUGUAUCACUACUAUCGAGAUUCAAUAAGAAUAGACCACUCUUCAAGGGUGCAUGACCAUAAAAUAUAUUACUCAUAUAAAUAGAACAACCAUUAUUCUCUGAUUUAAAUGAAUAACCGUCUCGCAUCAAACAAGAUCCAGAUACAAUGUUCAUGCUCAACGCUGGCACCAAAUAACAAUUAUUUAGGUCUAAAACUAAUCCCGAUGGUAGAUGUAGAGGUAGCGUGCCGACCGCGAUCACAUCGACUUUGGAACCAUUUCCCACGCGCAUCGUCACCUCUUCCUUAGCCAAUCUUCGCUUAAUCCGUAGUCCAUGUUUCGAGUUGCAAAUAUUAGCAACAGAACCAGUAUCAAAUACCCAGGUGCUACUGCGAGCAUUAGUAAGGUACACAUCAAUAACAUGUAUAUCACAUAUACCUUUGUUCACUUUGCCAUCCUUCUUAUCCGCCAAAUACUUGGGGCAGUUCCGCUUCCAGUGUCCAGUCUGCUUGCAGUAGAAGCACUCAGUUUCAGGCUUAGGUCCAGACUUGGGUUUCUUCUCUUGAGCAGCAACUUGCUUGCCGUUCUUUUUGAAGUUCCCCUUCUUCUUCCCUUUGCCCUUUUUCUUGAAACUGGUGGUCUUGUUAACCAUCAACACUUGAUGCUCCUCCUUGAUUUCUACCUCCGCAGCUUUUAGCAUUGCGAAGAGCUCGGGACUAGUCUUGUUCAUCCCUUGCAUAUUAUAGUUCAUCACGAAGCUCUUGUAGCUUGGUGGCAGUGAUUGGAGAAUUCUGUCAAUGACACUAUCAUCAGGAAGAUUAACUCCCAGUUGAAUCAAGUGAUUAUUAUACCCAGACAUUUUGAGUAUGUGUUCACUGACAGAACUAUUCUCCUCCAUCUUGCAGCCAUAGAACUUAUUGGAGACUUCAUAUCUCUCAAUCCGGGCAUUUGCUUGAAAUAUUAACUUCAACUCCUGGAACAUCUCAUAUGCUCCAUGACGUUCAAAACGUCGUUGAAGACCCGGUUCUAAGCCGUAAAGCAUGGCACACUGAACUAUCGAGUAGUCAUCAGCUUUGCUCUGCCAGACGUUCUUAACAUCGUCAGUUGCAUCAGCAGUAGGCCUGGCACCCAGCGGUGCUUCCAGGACAUAACUUUUCUGUGCAGCAAUGAGGAUAAUCCUCAGGUUACGGACCCAGUCCAUGUAAUUGCUACCAUCAUCUUUCAACUUUGCUUUCUCAAGGAACGCAUUCAAAUUCAAUGGAACAACAGCACGAGCCAUCUAUCUACAAACAAACAUAGACAAGCAAAAUACUAUCAGGUACUAAGUUCAUGAUAAAUUUAAGUUCAAUUAAUCAUAUUACUUAAGAACUCCCACUUAGACAGACAUAUCUCUAGUCAUCUAAGUGAUCACGUGAUCCAAAUCAACUAAACCAUGUCCGAUCAUCACGUGAGAUGGAGUAGUUUCAAUGGUGAACAUCACUAUGUUGAUCAUAUCUACUAUAUGAUUCACGCUCGACCUUUCGGUCUCCGUGUUCCGAGGCCAUAUCUAUAUAUGCUAGGCUCGUCAAGUAUGACCUGAGUAUUCCGCGUGUGCAACUGUUUUGCAUCCGUUGUAUUUGAACGUAGAGCCUAUCACACCCGAUCAUCACGUGGUGUCUCAGCACGAAGAACUUUCGCAACGGUGCAUACUCAGGGAGAACACUUCUUGAUUAUUAAGUGAGAGAUCAUCUUAAAAUGCUAUCGUCAAUCAAAGCAAGAUAAGAUGCAUAAAGGAUAAACAUCACAUGCAAUCAAUAUAAGUGAUAUGAUAUGGCCAUCAUCAUCUUGUGCUUGUGAUCUCCAUCUUCGAAGCACCAUCGUGAUCACCAUCGUCAUCGGCGCGACACCUUGAUCUCCAUCGUAGCAUUAUUGUCGUUACGAUGUCUAUUGCUUCUACGACUAUCGCUACCGCUUAGUGAUAAAGUAAAGCAAUUACAGGGCGUUUGCGUUUCAUACAAUAAAGCGACAACCAUAUGGCUCCUGCCAGUUGCCGAUAACUUCGGUUACAAAACAUGAUCAUCUCAUACAAUAACAUAUAGCAUCACGUCUUGACCAUAUCACAUCACAACAUGCCCUGCAAAAACAAGUUAGACGUCCUCUACUUUGUUGUUGCAAAUUUUACGUGGCUGCUACGGGCUUUAGCAAGAACCGUUCUUACCUACGCAUCAAAAACCACAACGAUAGUUCGUCAAGUUGGUGUUGUUUUAACCUUCGCAAGGACCGGGCAUAGCCACACUCGAUUCAGCUAAAGUGAGAGAGACAAACACCCGCCAGCCACCUUUAAGCACGAGUGCUUGUAACGGUGAAACCAGUCUCGCGUAAGCGUACGCGUAAUGUCGGUCCGGGCCGCUUUAUCUCACAAUACCGCGGAACCAAAGUAUGACAUGCUGGUAAGCAGUAUGAGUUGUAUCGCCCACAACUCACUUGUGUUCUACUCGUGCAUAUAACAUGAACGCAUAAAACCUAGGCUCUGAUACCACUGUUGGGGAACGUAGUAAUUUCAAAAAAAUUCCUACGCACACGCAAGAUCAUGGUGAUGGUAUAGCAACAAGAGGGGAGAGUGUUGUCCACGUACCCUCAUAGACCGUAAGCGGAAGCGUUAGCACAAUGCGGUUGAUGUAGUCGUACGUCUUCACGAUCUGACCGAUCCAAGCACCGAACGUACGGGGCCUCCGAGUUCAGCACACGUUCAGCUCGAUGACGAUCUCCGACCCUCCAAUCCAGCAAAGGCUCCAGAGAUGAGUUCCGUCAGCACGACGGCGUGGUGACGAUGAUGAUGUUCUACCGGCGCAGGGCUUCGCCUAAACUCCGCGACGAUAUGACCGAGGUGGAAUAUGGUGGAAGGGGGCACCGCACACGGCUAAGGAACGAUCCGUAGAUCAACUUGUGUGUCAUUGGGGUGCCCCCCGCCCCCGUAUAUAAAAGAGCCAGGGGGGAGGAGGCGGCCGGCCUAGAGGGCGCGCCAAGGGGGGAGUCCUACUCCCACCGGGAGUAGGACUCCCUCUUUCCUAGUAGGAUUAGGAGAAGGGGGGAAAGAGGAGGAAGAGGGGAAGGAAAGGGGGGGCGCCGCCCCCCUUCCCUUGUCCUAUUCGGACUAGGAUGGGGAGGGGCGGGCGGCCCCCUCCUGGCUCCUUCCCUCUUCUCCCUCGUGGCCCAUGUAGGCCCAAUAACCCCCCGGGGGGUUCCGGUAACCUCCCGGUACUCCGGUAAAAUGCCGAUUUCACCCGGAAUGAUUCCGAUGUCCAAAUAUAGGCUUCCAAUAUAUCGAUCUUUAUGUCUCGACCAUUUUGAGACUCCUCGUCAUGUCCGUGAUCACAUCCGGGACUCCGAACAAACUUCGGUACAUCAAAACUUAUAAACUCAUAAUAAAACUGUCAUUGUAACGUUAAGCGUGCGGACCCUACGGGUUCGAGAACUAUGUAGACAUGACCUAGAACUAUUCUUGGUCAAUAACCAAUAGCGGGACCUGGAUGCCCAUAUUGGUUCCUACAUAUUCUACGAAGAUCUUUAUCGGUCAAACCGCAUAACAACAUACGUUGUUCCCUUUGUCAUCGGUAUGUUACUUGCCCGAGAUUUGGUCGUCGGUAUCCAAUACCUAGUUCAAUCUCGUUACUGGCAAGUCUCUUUACUCGUUCUGUAAUGCAUUAUCUCGUAACCAACUCAUUGGUCACAUUGCUUGCAAGGCUUAUAAUGAUGUGCAUUACCGAGAGGGCCCAGAGAUACCUCUCCGACUAUCGGAGUGACAAAACCUAAUCUCGAAAUACGCCAACUCAACAUGUACCUUUGGAGACACCUGUAGUACUCCUUUAUAAUCACCCAGUUACGUUGUGACGUUUGGUAGUACCCAAAGUGUUCCUCCGGUAAACGGGAGUUGCAUAAUUCUCAUAGUUAUAGGAACAUGUAUAAGUCAUGAAGAAAGCAAUAGCAGUAUACUAAACGAUCAAGUGCUAGGCUAACGAAAUGGGUCAUGUCAAUCACAUCAUUCUUCUAAUGAUGUGAUCCCACUAAUCAAAUGACAACACAUGUAUAUGGUUAGGAAACAUAACCAUCUUUGAUUAAUGAGCUAGUCAAGUAGAGGCAUAGUAGUGACUAUAGGUUUGUCUAUGUAUUCACACAUGUAUCAUGUUUCCGGUUAAUACAAUUCUAGCAUGAAUAAUAAACAUUUAUCAUGAUAUGAGGAAAUAAAUAAUGACUUUACUAUUGCCUCUAGGGCAUAUUUCCUUCAAGCAUGACCUAGGAAAGUGUGCCCGGCCAAAUGGGAUCGAGCGUGUUGGGUUAUGUGGUGCACCCCUGCAGGGAAGUUUAUCUAUUCGAAUAGCCGUGUCCCUCGGUAAAAGGACGACCUGGAGUUAUACCUUGACCUUAUGACAACUAGAACCGGAUACUUAAUAAAACACACCCAGACAAGUUCCACAGACAACCCGGUGAUCGCUUUUCCACAGGGCGACGAGGGGAGGAUCGCCGGGUAGGAUUAUGCUAUGCGAUGCUACUUGGAGGACUUCAAUCUACUCUCUUCUAAAUGCUGCAAGACGGAGGCUACCAGAAGCGUAGUCUUCGAUAGGACUAGCUAUCCUCCUCUUAUUCUGGCAUUCAGCAGUUCAGUCCACCGAUAUUGCCUCUUUACACAUAUACCCAUGCAUAUGUAGUGUAGAUCCUUGCUUGCGAGUACUUUGGAUGAGUACUCACGGUUGCUUUGCUCCCUCUUUUCCCCUGUUUUCCUCUUCUUCUCGGAUGCUGAAACCAGACGUUGGAGCCCAGGAUCUAGAUGCCAUCGUCGAUGACGAGUAAUACACUGGAGGAGCCUACUACUACGUGCAGUCCGCUGACGACGACCAGGAGUAGUUUAGGAGGAUCCCAGGCAGGAGGCCUGCGCCUCUUUCGAUCUGUAUCCCAGUUUAUGCUAGCCAUCUUAUGGCAACUUGUUUAACUUAUGUCUGUACUCAGAUAUUGUUGCUUCCGCUGACUCGUCUAUGAUCGAGCACUUGUAUUCGAGCCCCUCGAGGCCCCUGGCUUGUAUUAUGAUGCUUGUAUGACUUAUUUUACUUUUAGAGUUGUGUUGUGAUAUCUUUCCGUGAGUCCCUGAUCUUGAUCAUACACAUUUGCGUGCAUGAUUAGUGUACGGUUGAAUCGGGGGCGUCACAUGAAUCCACCUCAAUAACCUUCCCUAUUUGUUCUCCUAUUUUCGCCUCAUAGUAGGUGUUCCGUCCACGACUAUUCCGAUUCUGAGGAAACCCGACUUCAAGUUAAAGUUCCAGGCUCGCACCCCCGCGUCGCCUCCUCUGAGGCGACUCGGGGGCCAACCCUAGCACCGCUGCCGCGUUUUCCCCCUCUCCUCCCCUCUCUGCUGCCGCCUGAGGGCCUCCGAGGCGCGGGUGCUCGGCCUCAAUGAUGGCGGCGGCGGGAUCUGGCGCCUCCUCUCCUUUGGAGGGCCUUGGUUCCGCGGGGCGGCGGCCCCGGCCGGUUGGCGCGGUGCAGCCGGCGGGCUGCGCCGGCGGGCUCUGCUGGGCAGCCUCCCACAGCCGCGCGGACGGUGUGGGGGCUGUGGACGCCGGCGCAGUAGUGGCUCCUCGCAAUCCGUCAUGGCUCCAUGUAGAAGAUCCGCCCCUGCUCCGAUCUGUCCCGAUCCGUGCUGGCACCGAUCCUUGGCGGCUACUUUCGGCGUCCCUAUUGCCGGCCUGGCGGAUCUGGCGUGCGGGUGAGGGUCCGGGGGAAACCCCUGGCUGGCGCGGCGGCCUCCCCAAAGUCGACGCCUUUGGUGUCGAUCCCCUUCCUGGAGGUUUUGGGGUGGAUCCUCUCCCUUCCGCCUCCUCCUCGAGCUAUGGCGAAAGCUUUUGUUCCCAUGUUCUGGGCGUCGACGACACCCUGGUGUCGUGUUCCUUCUUGAAGGCGGCGGCCGGGAACAACUCUUGGUGGCGAGGCUGCUGGUGGCAUGGUGGCGGUGCGACUUCGGCCUUCUACUUGGUGUUGCGCCUUGCUUCGCGGCACCAGCGGACGGUUUCUUUGGUGGAGCGGUGCUUCAUCCAUCCAUUGAUGGCGACGGAUCUUUACGGCAUUGCGCAGUGCAGAUUCGACGUUCGAUGUGGGAGGAUGGACUCGCGCAGGAGGACGACGCUGUCUGGCGCCGUGGUGGCGCCGAUGACAGAGAGACCUGGCAAGGUAGAUGCAACAGUACAACUCUGAAGAUGGACUCGUGGUAGGUGGCUGCGGCGGCCUCGUACCUAGCAGGCGUCCUGGUUGAGGAGUGCGCCAGACUCGUAGGUGCCUCAUACCAGGCAGGCGUCCUGGUUGGGACCUCAGGUCUUAGAUGUUUAGGUUUGGUUGCGAUGUCUGUUUGGUAUUAGGCCCAGGCUAUCAGCGCCCCUUCAUCAAUUGGAUAGAUGUAGCGACAGUUGUUGCUUAGACGGUGGCUUUAGUCUUGCUGUUGUAUGACUUUGUAAAGUCUUGUGAGAAUAAUUAAUAAAAUGACCGUAUGCAUCGCCCAAAUGCAAAGGCCGGGGGUCAUCCUCCUUUAAAAAAAAAAAUGUUCCGUCCACGAGCACCUUGCAGGCUUCUUGAUAAUGCCCCGGCGGGCUUCUCCCCUUUUCCGUUCCCUUUUUGCUUUCGCUAUCAAUUAGUGGAAAAGGGUGUGAGCCCGGUUGAAAAAGAAAAUCCACACCUAGAAGCAAAACGCAGCAAGCCGUUGGAUUUCUCGUCGUACGAAGGUAGAACAAUAAGUAUCGUGUGUAUAGCGGUUUGGAUACACAGGCGUGACUACUCCUCCGUAUACGUAGAGUGAGGUAAUGUACAUAAAUGCGACAACAGUUACUCCCACCCCCACCCCCCAUCCCUACAGCCUGCAGCUGAAUUUACAGCGACAACAGUACUUGCCUGUACGUGCUGCAACCUGCAAUGCCAUGUGGUAACUUCAAAGCUAGCUAACGCUCUUUCUUUUCAGUUUUGAUAAUAAUUUCUUUUUUCUUUUUACUAUUGCCGAGCUGUGGUGUUUUUCAUCCUCUGUCUUGGUCUUAAUUUAUAAGAGUACAGUACUACUUCCACCGUCUCAUAAUUUAAGAUCAUUUUGCAAGACGGAAGGACUAGUUUUUUUUUUAAAAUGAAAACGGAGGGAGUAGCUAAUUAACCAGGCCGUGUUAAUUGGGCUUCCAACUCGUGUCGUCUGAAGACAUCUCUUUCUUCUUCCCUUCAUUUUUUUUUUACUCCAGUACCGUUCAAGAUAUCUGUUGAUGCACUUCAGUUAGGAAAUCUCCAAUGGUGAUGGGGACUUAAGAAAAACUUGUCUAGAUCGUCAAGUUUCAUUCAGCCAAUCGACACUACUGAGCUCAGCAAUAUACUCCGACCAAAACACAAUAUGAGUUUGCUGUUCCAACCAAAUGGUAAUCGAGCUCGUAAUUAACAAGUGAACCAACAAAAGAUUACUACAAUAAUACUUCAUUCAUUUCAUCAUUGCAUACCACGGCACAAGCUGACACGUACAUCUAGCAUUAUUCAUAUGCCUCAAGAACAUGCACCACUACUACAGAUAACCAAGAACUUAACACGACCGACCGACAGAGAUGGACCUAACGACGUAAUUAAGCGACAAACACAACAAACAAAUCGAGUUCUCCAAACGUACGUACGCGCGGCGUAUAGCGCCCACAGAACCAGCAUGCAUGCACGCUACGAGUAGCACUACCGAACCAUCAACCAUGCGCCCCGUCAGUGCUUGCCACACACCAGCGGAUCUAGCUAUCAACGGCCGCCCUCAGCUUUUCACGGCUUCUUGGCGUGCUCGUCGACGGCAGCUGCAGCGGGGGACCCCGGCAUGCCGCCGAAGCCGCCGAGACCGGGGGAGCCGCCGAGGCCGGGGGAGCUGCCGCCGAGGAAGGGCAUGCUGCCGAUGCCGCCGAAGCCCGAGGUGGCGCCGCUGCUGCCGGGGAGGCUGAAUCCCGGCAUGCUGCUGCCGCCGCUGAAUGCCGGUGACCCGCUGCCGAGGCGGUCGAAGGGCGGGAAGGUCGUCGGCUGCAGGACCGCGUCCUUGCUGGCGGCUGCCGCCUCCGUCGUCUUGAUGUUCCUCGCCUCGGCGCUGGUCGCCGCGGCCAGCACGGCGAGGACGAGCAUCGCCGCCAUCUUGGUCGACUUCUCCAUCGCUAGCCUGCUCCUGAACUGGUGCUCUUGCUCCUGGCUAAUGUGUGAGUGGCUGCUUGCUUUGUUUGCUUGCUGCUUCUAGCUCUGUGGGAUGUGGAGGAGGAAGAAAGGUGGCGGGAGGUUUUAUAGCCGGGGAGGGCGUCAUUCAAGUGGUGGCAGCUCAUCGAUCGGCCUGAGCGACGGUAGGUGGGGGGCGUUAAGGAGACGAUUAAAGGAGCGGGUACCUGCUGCGGUUUACUGCCAUCCUGUGAUCUCCAUAAAUACUUUUGCUCUUACAGACCAGUGGUGCAUCAAUGGGGGGAGAAGAGGGGGAAAUUGUAGAUCUGGUCGUGGUUGGGAGCUAUAGCUGGAUGUACUCCCUCCGUUCCAAAUUACUCGUCGCUGAAAUGGAUGUAUCUAGAACUAAAAUACAUCUAGAUACAUUCAUACGUGCGACAAGUAAUUCGGAACGGAGGGAGUAACAUGCAUGAAGAGCGUUCAAAAUCCGGUGAAUUUGAUCUAGCUUUUCUUUUGGGUAGUAGCACUACUUACUAUGACUAGGGACGCGGAAAUCCCUUUUGGAGCUCGGGCUCCAGUGAGCCCUCUAAAUUCAAAUUUGAAAUUUCAUUGAAAUUUAUAUUUUUUACAUUUCAAAAAAUUCUGAAAAAAAUUACAGAUAUACAUGAAGGCAUAAUACACAUGUGUGUAAAUUUUCAGUUUAAAAUACAUUGAAAUGAGGGCUGCGGAAAAAAGAUAAAUCUGGGGUUGUUUAACACAUGAUACUAUUCAUCCUCCCAGACCAUGAAUUUGUCUUUUUUGUACAGGUCGCAACUCAAAAAUAUUUCAUCAUGUACUUUUACACGUAACAUACAGGCAUAUUUUUUUCUCAGAUUUUUUUGAUCCAUAAAAGUUUAAAUUUAAAUUUUUAAAAAAUAAAGGCCUCCAUAAAGCUCGGCCUCCAAAACGCCUUUCUCCUAGAGACGCUAGAAUAAAAUGGAAAAUAUACUGGUACUAGCAAUUUAGCAUUCCUGCGUUUUUCCCUUAGCUAAACAACUACACGCUCUGUUCACUAAACAAGAUUAACAUUUGGAGUACUAUUGUUUUCUUCGUCUCGGUCUGAUAAACGGCCUUGCUGGCCAACAACGAACGGCGCUAUAUAAUUAUUUCGAGUUGUUUCACAAGCAAAGGUUGGAAUUAAUAGAUCGAUGUGGAUCUUUAUGUUUGCAUGCAUGUCUUGUUGAAAAAUAAUAUUUUGCGGUCAGUGCAUCAAUGGGAGAGGGAAUGAAGAAUAAUGGAUACUUUAGUAUCUUCUUGUGCUUGGGACUUGGGCUCAAUUCUUUUGCCAGAAAAAUCCGACCCCUACUCAGCUUUUCCCAGAAUCUUUGAAGCCAAUAGCUUGCUUGCAUCAGCAUGGGGUGCGCGUACUUGCAAAAUUGGGAAAAUUGACGGGUAACUACUUGACAUUUGCACGAAAAAAAAAGAUUCAGUCAAUUUUGUAGCCCGGGGAUCAAAAUCCAGUGGUUCUCCUUUGUCUUCUUCUUCCAGCCCUAAUCCCCGCCCCCAUAGAAGCUUCUUCCUUCCUCCAGCCGCUCAAGUCUGGCUCACAUCCCUUCCUCUCUUCCGGCCGCGACACCACGCCUUGCUACUAAUGUCAUCGAAGUAUAUUGCUUUACAAGGUCAAACACAACUAAUGCAUACCACUACCUCUUGCAGAUAAUUCGUCUAACAUCAAAAGUGAAUAAACUAAUAGAUCAAAGAACAUGUACAUAUUUGAGCUUAAUCACAUAUAAACGCUUAGGGAUAAGAAAACAAAAAUCAAUUGCAUGACAUCCAAGUUUCACUUAAGAACUUUCCUGGGCAACAUGUUGUAAUGCGCAACGGCAGGGGAAAAGAGCUCAUAUUUGCAAUCCUAGUAUGACUAGGAUUCAGUCAUAUAUUUUAAUUCUUCUACAUAUUUGUCCAAUAUCUAUUGCUUAUGACGCUCUUUCAACUUCAUUUUGUAGAUUUGCAUCGCGGACGCCGUCGAUGGUUGAUGUCGACGAUGUGACCUGUCUUCUCACCAUCUUGUUUGGGGUCUUCGUUCAUGGGUUGGUUUACUUGUGGACUUGUCAUGGUGUUUGUCGACACUUUUGUGAUAUAAGUGAUCUCAUAUGCAACACUUUGUGAUAUUGUAUGGAUGAUCUUUGUGAUCUCGCAUGUGGAUAAUCUAGUGAUCUUUCUGAUGUAUGCUAUGAUUUUGUGGUCUGUGUGUAUAUAUAUUUGUAUUUUUGAAAUGCAUGAAAUACUGCAAAAUUGGAAAAAAGAUUGGCACCUCUUUGCCGACGGUUAUACUCGGCAAAGCAAUGUUUUCCGUUGGCAAAGAAGACAAAUGGCUCGGAGCUGUAAUGCCUAGCAAUUUGGUGUUGGGGCUUUGCCGAUAGUUGCGGCCAAGAGACACGGAAAAGCUUUGACGCAUCGGGCCCGCAUGUCAGGCGUUUACCGAUGGCUGAAAAGUAGUACACAAUAAUAAACUUAUGUUGGGACCCACCUAUCAGGGCUUUGCCCGACUGUUUAGUCUUGGUGCACAACAAAUGGCGUCGUUCGGGACCCACAUCCGAGGUCUAUGUUGAUGGUUGACUGUCGGAAAGAUGUAGCUGCGCCGUUUACAAACGUCCGCCCGUCAGUCUUUACUUUGUGUGAGCAAAUGUUGACUGUCGGUAAAGCCUUUGUCUCCAGCCUGAUAAAAGCAUCGACAAAGUGUCAUUUCCUAGUCUAAUCAUCGGCCACAGAGUUCGCCGCUAGUUUUCCCUCGACAAAGGUGUUACCGAUAGCUUUACGCCAUUCGCCGAUUGUUUGGCAUCGUCGGCAAAUGACCAGUUUGUUGUAGUGAAUGUGUCUUAGUUGAAAAAGUAUAUUUUGUAGUUAGUGCAUCAAUGGGAGAGGGAAUGAAUAAUUACCUGUAGUAUAUCCUUGUGCUUGGGACUUUGGAGCCAGUAGCUUUCUUGCAUCAACAUGGGGUGCAUACCUGCNNNNNNNNNNNNNNNNNNNNNNNNNNNNNNNNNNNNNNNNNNNNNNNNNNNNNNNNNNNNNNNNNNNNNNNNNNNNNNNNNNNNNNNNNNNNNNNNNNNNNNNNNNNNNNNNNNNNNNNNNNNNNNNNNNNNNNNNNNNNNNNNNNNNNNNNNNNNNNNNNNNNNNNNNNNNNNNNNNNNNNNNNNNNNNNNNNNNNNNNNNNNNNNNNNNNNNNNNNNNNNNNNNNNNNNNNNNNNNNNNNNNNNNNNNNNNNNNNNNNNNNNNNNNNNNNNNNNNNNNNNNNNNNNNNNNNNNNNNNNNNNNNNNNNNNNNNNNNNNNNNNNNNNNNNNNNNNNNNNNNNNNNNNNNNNNNNNNNNNNNNNNNNNNNNNNNNNNNNNNNNNNNNNNNNNNNNNNNNNNNNNNNNNNNNNNNNNNNNNAUUCAGUUGAUUUUCUUAGCCCAGGGAUCGAGAUCCAAUAGUUUUCCCCUUCAUCUUCUUCCUCCAACCCUAAUCCCCGCCCGAACUAGUAAAACUUCUUCCUUCCUCUAGCCACUCAACUAUGGCAUGCAUCCCUUCCUCUCCUCUGGUUGCGACACCGCACCUUGCUACUAAUGUCACCGAAGUAUAUUACUUUACAAGAUUAAACACAUUUAGUGCAUACCACUACCUCUUGAAGAUCAUUCACCAAAACAUGGAAAGUGAGUAAACUAAUAGAUCAAAGAGCAUGUACAAGUAUAAAUCAUGCGACAAAAAAAUAAUACAAAUUAAAUUAAUAUAUAAUCUGAUCAUAUAUAAUCUAAUCAUAAAGUGACAAUUCAUCACACCGUAACAGACACAUAAAAAAUUACAUCAGACUGGUCAUAGUAAUGUUAGGCAGCUCAUGUGGUCUUUGUAUUGAACAGGGUAGAGUAGAUGUCACAUACUACUAUUAUGGACUCAUACUCCAGGGAGAACCACUCACACAUGGUCAUAGUAGCAGCAAGUUUGAUGAAGAAGACAUCGAUGAUGAUCUCCUCCUUCGGCGGAGUACCAAAAAUGGAGUCCUGAUUGGAUCACCUCACAUAGUGACAAAGUGGUAGCGGAAACAAUUGUGCAAUAUUAUUUCUGAAUGUUUCAGGGGUAUAUAAAGUCAUUGAGACGAAGAUAUGACAGAGGGAACUCUUGUGGGCCCCAUGGCCCUGUUAGCGCACCAUAGGUUUGGGGCAUGUGGGCCCUAGGGGCUCCCUCUCCGGGAGUUCUUCUGGCCCAUGGUUGUUCAUGUUCCGAAACUGAACAUCGUACUUUUAUUUUAUUUUGUGCUCCCCGAAAAAUAAUGUUCUUGUAACACCAAAAAAGAACAUCUCACACUUGGCACUGAAUUAAUAUCUUAGUCAAAAAAUGAUUAAAAAAAUCAUGCAAAAACUAUGGUUAAAUGAUACGAAUAUAUAUAGCACGAACAUAAGAAAAAACAUAUAUGUUGGAGAUUUAUCAGGGCCCCACCACGAAAGUGAGGUUAAUGGCUCUCGACCUGUGUGGUGAGGUCAUGUGGCAGUGUCCCGGUGAGAAGUGUAUCUCGGCCACACAACGUCCCUUGGGUGACAUGUCAACAUUUUUGAGGGGUCGUGUUCUAAUUGCGUGUUUGCUUGUAUCUGCGUUGGUAUGUCUCCAAAGAGGAAAGAAUGAUGCAGGGUAAUUAUUUUCCUCAGUUAUGAAACCAAGGUUAUCAAUCUAGUAGGAGAACCAAGCAACACUAUGUAAACAACAUGUGCACAUAAACAACAAAUACUUGCAAACCAACGCGUAAAGGGGUUGUGAAUCCCUCAACGGUAUCGAGAUAGAUUAAAUUGUAUGAGAUUUGGUAAAUAGAUCUAACUAAAACACAAAAUAAAAUAAAGAAAGAAAAAAUGCAGCAAGGUAUUUUUGGUUUUAAUAUGAUAGGAAAUAGACCCAGGGGACGUACUUUUCACUAGAGGCUUCUCUCAAGAAAAUAGCAUACAGUGGGUAAACAAAUUACUGUUGGACAAUUGCUAGAAACGCGAAUAAUCAUAACGAUAUCCAAGGUAAUGAUCAUGUAUAUAGGCAUCACGUCCAAGAUUAGUAGACCAAACCGGUCAUGCAUCUACUACUAUUACUCCACACAUCGACCGCUAUCAAGCAUGCAUCCAGUGUAUUAAGUUCAUGGAAAAACAGAGUAAUGCAUUAAGAAUGAUGACAUGAUGUAGACAAGAUAAACUCACAUAUGAAUAAACCCCAUCUUGUUACCCUUAAUAGCAACAAUACAUGCGUGUGAUGUCUCUUUUUAUCACUGAGAUUGAGUACUGCAAGAUCGAAUCCAUCACAAAGCACCUCUUCCCAUGGCAAGAUAAAUCAAUCUAGUUGGCCAAACCAAACCAAUAAAUUGGAGAAUAAAUGCGAAGCUAUAACAAUCAUGCAUAAAAGAGUUCAAAGAAGAUCCAAUAAUAUUCAUGGAUAGAACUGAUCAUAAACUCACAAUUCAUUGCAUCCCAACAAACACACCACAAAAGACUUACAUCAAAUAGAUCUCCAAGAACAUCGAGAAGAACAUCAUACUGAAGAUCAAAAGGAGAGAAGAAGUCAUCUAGCUACUAACUACGGACCCGUAGGUCUGUGGUAAACUACUCACGCAUCAUCGUAGGGGCAGUAAGGAUGAUGAAGAACCCCUCCGUGGUCGUUGCCCCCUUUGGAAGAAUGCAAGAAAAGGCCUCGAUAUUGGAUCUCGUGGUUCUGGAACUUGCGGCGGCGGAAAAAGUGUUUUGUCGACUCCCCUAUGGUUUUGGGGAUUUUAGAGUAUUUAUAGAGGCGGAAGUAGGUCAAGGGGGGUGCCCGAGGGCUGCACUACCCACUAGGGUGCGCUUGGGCCCCCUGGCAUGCCAUGGUGCCUAGUGGCCCCCUCGAGCCUCCUCUCGUAUGCUCCAGAAGCUUUCAGGGUCCAUUAUCACUAGAAAAAAAACUCCAAAAAGUUUCGUGGCAAUUGGACUUCGUUUGAUAUUGAUAUUCUGCGAAGUAAAAAACAUGUAAAAAACAGCAACUGGCACUGGGCACUAGGUUAAUAGGUUAUUCCCAAAGAAUGAUAUAAAGUUGCUACUAAAUGUAUGUAAAAUAUCCAAGAUUGAUAAUUUAAUAGCAUGAAACAAUAAAAAAUUAUAGAUACAUUGGAGACGUAUCAUUACGCAUGCUUCUCAUGAUGUUGCUUGUUGCUGCUAGCUCCUCCAAUGCUAUGGGGCGGUAGGGUCACGAAGGUUUUGGUGUGGCUGUGCUGAGGCUUGGCCCUGUGAAGGAGGGGCUCCUUGGGCUCGUAACGACGAUGUAGAUGUUGGGCGACAGUCCCGGGAGGCUCUGUUCUGGGAUGGGCAUCGUGAUCGCGUGGACGGUGUGGCGGUCGUGGGUUCUUACUCUCGAGUGCUAGCGCGAGUGUUGUGGAUGAGGUGUGUGGGCCAUCCAGCACGUGUGCCGACGAUGUUGUGUGGGUCUUUUUUUUUGUAGUCAUCGGACCAUGGUUGUGGGUUGCGGCUUCUGCCUUUGGCCGACUGUAUUAGUGUGUUUUAGUCGAGGUGAUCCAGGUGAAAGCCUUGCUCUGCACUUGCCGGUGUUGGUGAGGGCGACGUAUGUAGAUAUCCUUUCGUCUAUGGAGGCAUCAUCAUCAAGCUUCAGACCACUUCUACCCUAGUGUUCCUGGUAUUCUGCUGAAAUCAUAAGAUCUUGGCUUUUUAGGUCGGGUGACUGUGUUGUUUUUCAACGUUGCUACCGUGUAAGGGCAUUGCCUUGAAGAUCUUUUACCCUCUUUGUGCAUUUGCAGGACGGGAAGCUUGCCGCAUUGUGGUCGAUAGGAGGCUGGCCGACGAUGAGGGUGCUCCCCGUGGUGAUUUGUGGGUCAAUGGCAAAGAUGAUGAUCGUUGGUUUGCUCGUUGCAAGGCUUUGGUAGUCGGCUUUCAACAUUUUGCGGGUCUUCAUGUUAGGAUCUUGUUGUUGUUAAGUCGGAGUUAUCAUGGAGUCAUCUGGGCGGUGAUGAUGACUUGUGUAGGUUUCGAUUGUAAAGGUCUUACUCAACAUGAAUCUUAGUUGAUUCCUUCUCCAAGCUCGUCAUGGAUAGAAGCUGCUACUCCUCGAUGCAUGUGACCGACUGUUUGGUUUGAGUCGACGAGGCCUUCGCGAGGCCGCCACAAAGAGAGAUUUGUUGGUGGUUCGUUCUACGAUGAAUCAUAGUCAGCUCUCUCAAAUAGGAGUGAUGACGACGACACAUGUGAAUAACCUGGCGAUGGUCUUAUUUUUGGCGGUGUGCAUGCCAUGUGCACAUUUUGCCUUGGUAGUUAGGUUGGCGAGUGAUACCCCUAUGUGAUAGUAUCAUUUUAGAUAGUAGUGGGCAUGUUGUAACGAUUUUGGCUAGAUUUUUGUUAAUUAACUAGACAACUUUCUUCUUCAUUGAUAGAUUGGAGAAAAAAAUUCCUUCGUCUCAAAAAGAAAAAAAUAAAUCUCCACGUAGAAUCUAGGAGUAAUUUUAUUAGUACUACCAUAACUUGGGUAGUGCUUGGAGGCAGUGAAAUGCUAGGUGAUUACGGUUAUUUGAUUUUGUUCUUCUUAUAUUAUUAUAAUAAGAAAGAAAUAAUUACACUUACUGUGUUUGUUGUAUGAUUCGAGUACGACGGGUGAUCCAAUGGUGCCCUGUAAUUUGCACCAAUGCAUGAAUGGUUUGAUGAACGUGGGACGAAAAUCAUACGGAAAAUAUCGUAGUUAUAGUAUUUUUUUUGAGAGUACGCCAAAAGCGUACCAUCUUUUUAUAGAAGGUAGAAAGCAUAAUUACAAGAAGUGUGACCCAAAUGCGCACAAACGGACACACAGAACACCCCACCAACACCUACUAAACACGCGUAAGCUAACUCCUCACAAAAUGUUGUAGACCACCAACACCUCCACCCGCUUGGCUCCACUCGGCUACCUCUCCAAGAAUCAUAGUGGCAAGCUCCCUAGCAUUCUUUUGUUGGUCGACUCUGUUGAAGACCCUAGCAUUGCGUUGCUUCCAAAGAGCCCACAUGCCCGCAAUGAACAAAGUAUCAAAACCUCGCUUGUCAGCCUUGUGGAAUUGUCUUCUCUCUCUCAACCACCAUUCGAGAGUUGUAUCUGCUGGAAGACGGUCAUGCACGUUGAUGCGGAUCGUGUCCCAAAUAAGGAAUCAAACCUCGCGCGCAUAUUCGCAUAUCGAUAGGAUGUGAUUAACGUUGUCCUCAUCUUGCAAACACGUUUAGCAAACGGACGGCUCAUCCUGCAGACCAUGUCGUGCACGGCGGUCAUAAGUCCAUAGCCUAUACUGCAACGCCAGCCAAGCAAAGAUCUUACACUUGAGCGGGGCCCAGCUCCUCCACACACAUACACCCAUAGGCGACCUCGGCAGACCAGAGCAAAGGCUGGCAUAAAUCGCGCGAGCAGAGUACUGACUCGAUGCCAUGGAUGUUCAGGUAAACUCAUCCUGUUGGUCCUGAUUUCUAUCCACCGUGGUAAUCGCAUGACAAAGGUGAAUGAACUGCAAUUGGGCCAUGAAGGAGGUAACCUGACAGUCCCCUUGCCAUCGAUCAUUGAUCAGCGCCUGUUGCACUGUCCUCGCAUUGGCCACCUUGGCCACACCGUGUCUUGCAGCAGAGGGGCAAUGUCAGCCACUCUAAGUCCGUGUAUCCAUCGAUCUCACCAAAACAAAACCCUGUAUCCCACACCAACCGUGAUGUGUACAAGGCUGUCAAAGAGCUCCCUUGUGUCCCGAUCCUCGAUCAUAUGCAACCCCUGCCAUGGUCUGCUUGGUUCCGUGCGCUUAAGCCACUCCCACCUGACUCUCAGUGCUAGAGCUUGCAAGUUCAGGUUUUUGAUGCCUAGGCCUCCGUAACACUUGGGCCGACAGAUAGUAUCCCAAGAAACUAGGCAUUGGCCACCAGUUACUUUAUCCUUUCCAGCCCAAAAGAAAUUUCCUCAAACACCCACAUCGGAGCAUCCGCAAUCAUAAGGUGAUGAAUAGGCUUUGCCGAGAUAACAUAUUGCACCAAGAUGAGCCUCCCCGGCCGCAGAAUGAGGCCCCGUUGCCAAGCUGGAACAGAGUACCGUACCUUGUCCAGCACGGGUUGUAAGUCCGCCCUGGUUAAGCUUUUUAUUGCAAGCUAAAGGCCAAGGUACUUACAAGGGAAAUCUGCCUGAUUGCACUCAAGAAAUGUAGCCACUCUAGCUUUGUCCUCGUGAUCUCCUCUGAUCGCAAUGGAAGAUGACUUCCCGUAGUUCACUCGCAGGCCCGAGGCAGCACCAAAUGCUUCCAGGGCAUAUCGAACGAAGCUCAUAUCCAUAGUACUUGGCUUGAUAAACAUGGGGACAUCAUCCGCAUAAAUGGACAACCUCUACAUAGGUGAGAUCCCCGGUGUCGAACUAAGCACUCCCACCUUAGUAGCAUUUCUAACCAUGGCCGUCAAGACAUCCAUGGCUAUGACGAAUAACAGCGGGGAGAUAGGAUCUCCUUGCCAUAGCCCACAAGCAUGUGCAAAACUCUUUCUUGGAAUACCAUUGACAAUGAUCUUAGUGCUAGAAAUUUGUAGUAGCAAGGCCACCUCAUCCGCCGAGUGCCAAACCCUUUGGCUUCCAUGACCUCAAAUAGGAAAGGCCAUGACGAAGAGUCAAAAGCUCUCGAAAUAUCUAACUUGAGGAACAUAGCCGGGGCUCUCCUAGCAUGUAGCUUCCUUGCCACUUGCCUCACGAGGAUGAAAUUGUCAUGUAAAUGUCUACCUUUGAUGAAAGCCGAUUGGUUAGUCUCCACAAUGUCAUGCAUCUGCCUCCUCAUUCUAUUGGCAAGAGCCUUAGCAAAUAGCUUAGGGAUGCUAUGGGUAAGACUAAUGGGCCGAUAGUCUCCUAUUUCCUCCGCAUCCGGCUUCUUGGGGAUGAGCACAAUGUGCGCCUCAUUUAGCUUCGCAAAACCCCUACCAUCGCCCACAUAGAGCUUGAGCAUAGCUUCCAUGACAUCAUUCUUAAUAAUGGGCCAUGCUUUUUGGUAGAAUGCAGCGAUGUACCCAUCCGGACCUGGUGCUCGGUCCGUGGGUAGCUCCUUAAUGACGCUCCAAACCUCUUCUUCCGUAAUCAUGAUUUCCAGCUUGCUAAGGUCUCGUGGCUGUAUGCCCAGGUAUUGCAAGUCUAGCGAAUGCUCUCUGGCUUGAUCAGUUCCAAUCAAAAUCUCAUAUGCCUCAUAGAAAGUUUUCUCCUUGAGCUCUUGAUCUGUGAUCAGCACCACAUCCUUCUUGACAUGAGCAAUAAUUUUUUUGGAUCGAUGUCCAUUCGCCACCGCUUGAAACAAUUUGGUGUUGGCAUCUCCCUCCUUGAGCCAUUUCAUCCGGGAUCUUUGCCGAUCAAUGGUGCGCUCUAGUGCCGCUAGACCCAGUAGCGCAUGCUUCAAAGUUUUCCGAAGCCAAAUCUCAAGAUGCACCGGUGCUCUAUUUUCCUAUGCACAAUCAAGUCUAUGUAUCACCCAUCGUGCCACACGCAUCAACAACAUUACGUUGCCCAUUUUGCAUUGAACCCAAGCUUGCAAGUUGAUGACCCACAAGUGUAGGGGAUCUAUCGUAGUCCUUUCGAUAAGUAAGAGUGUCAAACCCAACGAGGAGCAGAAGGAAAUGAUAAGCGGUUUUCAGUAAGGUUUUCUCUGCAAGCACUGAAAUUGUAGGUAAUAGAUAGUUUUGUGAUAAGAUAAAUAGUAACGAGUAACAAGUAAAUAAAGUAAAUAAAGUGCAUCAAGGUGGCCCAAUCCUUUAUGUAGAAAAGGAUAAGCCUGGACAAUUUCUAAUAAUGAGAAAGGAGCUCCCGAGGACACAUGGGAAUUAUCGUCAAGCUAGUUUUCAUCACGUUCAUAUGAUUCGCGUUCGGUACUUUGAUAAUUUGAUAUGUGGGUGGACCGGUGCUUGGGUACUGCCCUUACUUGGACAAGCAUCCCACUUAUGAUUAACCCCUAUUGCAAGCGUCCGCAACUACAAAAGAAGUAUUAAGGUAAACCUAACCAUAGCAUUAAACAUAUGGAUCCAAAUCAGCCCCUAACGAAGCAACGCAUAAACUAGGGUUUAAGCUUCUGUCACUCUAGCAACCCAUCAUCUACUUAUUACUUCCCAAUGCCUUCCUCUAGGCCCAUAUAAUGGUGAAGUGUCAUGUAGUCGACGUUCACAUAACACCACUAGAGGCAAAGACAACAUACAUCUCAUCAAAAUAUCGAACGAAUACCAAAUUCACAUGACUACUAAUAGCAAGACUUCACCCAUGUCCUCAGGAACAAACAUAACUACUCACAAAGCAUAUUCAUGUUCAUAAUCAGAGGAGUAAUAAUAUGCAUUAAGGAUCUGAACAUAUGAUCUUCCACCAAGUAAACCAAAUAGCGUCAACUACAAGGAGUAAACAACAUUACUAGCAACCCACAGGUACCAAUUUGUGGUUUUGAUACAAGAUUGGAUACAAGAGAUGAACUAGGGUUUUGAGAGGAGAUGGUGCUGGUGAAGAUGUUGAUGGAGAUUAACCCCCUCCUGAUGAGAGGAUCGUUGGUGAUGACGAUGGUGAUGGUUUCCCCCUCUCGGAGGGAAGUGUCUCUGGCAGAACAGCUCCGCCGGAGCCCUAGAUUGAUUCCGCCAAGGUUCCGCCUCGUGGCGGCGGAGUUUCAUCCCGUAAGCUUGGCCACAAUUUUUUCCAGGGUAAAGGCUUUCAUAUAGUAGAAGAUGGACACCGAGGGGGCACCAGGGGGCCCAGGAGACAGGGGGCGCGCCCAGUAGGGGUGGGCGCGCCCCCACCCUCCUGGGCAGGGUGUGGGCCCCUGGUGUAUUUCUUUCGCCCAAUAAUUCUUAUUAAUUCCAAAAACAUGUUUCGUGGAGUUUCAGGAUUUUUGGAGCAGUGCAGAAUAGGUUUCCAAUGUUUGCUCCUUUUCCAGCCAGAAUCCCAGCUGCCGGCAUUCCCCCUCUUCAUGGUAAACCUUGUAAAAUAAGAGAGAAUAGCCAUAAGUAUUGAGAUAUAAUGUGUAAUAACAGCCCAUAAUGUAAUAAAUAUUGAUAUAAAAGCAUGAUGCAAAAUGGACGUAUCAACUCCCCCAAGCUUAGACCUCGCUUGUCCUUAAGCGGAAGCCGAAAUCGAAAAAUAUGUCCACAUGUUUAGAGAUAGAGGUGUCGAUAAAAAUAAAAUACGUACAUGAGGGCAUCAUGAUCAUUCUUGUAACAGCAACAUAUAUAGAUUUUAUUAUAUGAUUUCUUAUGCUCAAGUAAUGAUCAAUUCACAAUGUCAAGUAUGGUUAAGAGUCAAACUAACAAACUAUAUUCUCAGUCAUUGAAGCAAUUGCAAUUUAUUAUAACAUCAGAAAGAGUCAACAAUAGAGCUUUUCAACAAGUUCACAUACUCAACUAUAUUGUAGUCUUCUACAAUUGCUAACACUCACGCAAUACUUGUGGUUAUGGAGUUUCAGCCGGACACUGAGAAAGAUAGGGGCUUAUUAUGUUGCCUCCCAACGUAUUCACCUUUAGGUGAUGACAAUAAUAAUAGCCCAUGCUAACUUACAUCCAAUUGGAUAUAUAUAUAUAUAUAUAUAUAUAUAUAUAUAUAUAUAUAUAUAUAUAUAUAGAGAGAGAGAGAGAGAGAGAGAGCUUGCCAAAGGAUAAAAUGAAAAAGGGAAAGGUGAGGAUCACCUUGACUCAAGCAUAAAGUAAAAAUAUAAAGUAAAAGAUAGGCCCUUCGCAGAGGGAAGCAGAGGUUGUCAUGUGCGUUUAGGGUUGGAUGCACAAAAUCUUAAUGCAAAAGAACGUCACUUUAUAUUGCCCCUUGAAUGUGGACCUUUACUAUGCAGUCUGUCGCUUUUAUUACUUCCACAACAAGAUCGUACAAAGCUUAUUUUCUAUGCACUAAUAAGUCAUACAUAUUUGGAUAGCAAUUUUUAUUGCCUGCAACAUGACAACUUACUUGAAGGAUCUUACUCAAUGCAUAGGUAGAUAUGGUGGACUCUCAUGGCAAAACUGGGUUUAAGGAUAUUUGGAAGCACAAGUAGUAUUUCUACUUGGUGCAAGGAAAUUGGCUAGCAUGAGGGGGAAAGGCAAGGUCAACAUGUUUGGAAGGACAAUGAAAAUAUACUUUAACUGAGAUGUGAGAAAACAUAAACCAGUACGUUGUCUUCCUUGUCUAACGUCAACCCUUUUAGCAUGUCAUACUUAAUGAGUGCUCCCAAUCAUAAAAGAUGUCCAAGAUAAUAUAUUUAUAUGUGAACCUCUCUUUCCUUAUCACUUCCUAUUAAUUGCAACGAUGACCAAGACUACGUUUAUCAACUCUCAACAAUUUUUAUGCCUCAUACUUUCUAUGUGUGAAGUCAUCACUAACCAUAAGAUCAAUAUGAACUCUUUUAUUCUUUCUACUUCCUCAAGAUCAUAGCAGCAUAGCAAAGCCCUUGACUCAACACUAAUCUUUAUUAUAGAUAGCUCACGGACUCGAUUACAUAAAGAGAUCACAAAGCAAAACUCAAAACUACUUGAUAUCAAAACUUCAAUCUACUAGAUCAAGAUACUACUAAAAGGAUCGACUAAAUAAAACGGUAAAGAUAGGAGUGUGAUGGUGAUACGAUACCGGGGCACCUCCCCCAAGCUUGGCAGUUGCCAAGGGGAGUGCCCAUACCCAUGUGAUUAUGCCCUCGGAGGUGGUGAAGUGGGAGUUGUUGAUGAUGUAGGCUUCUUCCUCAAUUUACGCUUGAGUAUAGUAUUUUUCUCUUUUAGGUCCUCGAUCUCCUGCUCAAGGCUUAAUACUCUUUUGCACAAUUCCUGUUUAUUUUCCUGCAAGAGACGAAAAGGGAUAAACUCGAUAUUUGGCUUCUCCACUCUAUCAGGGAGGCUUGACUUUUUAAACUCCACAUGCAUAUCCCCAAGUUGAGGUAAUGGGGUUUCGUCCUCGUCUGAACUCGUCUCCUCUUUUCCUUUAGGCUCAUAGUCUUCUUCUUCUUUAGAGGUUCAGCCAUCAUACUCCAAGUCCCCAUAGACCUUAGGGUCUGCAAGGUAAUCAGCCACAUAGCUUUCCCCUUCCAAAUCCUGAGAUGACAUAAUGCUCUAAAUCUGCAAUAGAAACAGCUCGAAACGAAAACAGAGGAUAUUUGCUUGAUACGGUGGUCAAAACCUUUGGGAGUAUAAAUAAUGAAUUUCUACCGACCAAAAUACGUAACGUGCAAGAAAACGGAGUCGGGGAGGCACACGAGUUGUCCACGAGACAGGGGGGCACGCCCAGUAAGGGGGGGGGCUCCACUCUCGUGGGGGCCUCGUGUCCCUUUCGGACUACUUCUUUCUUCCUAAAAUUCUUAAAUAUUCCAAAACUAAUAAAAAUUGCCUUUGGAGUUGUUUUGGAGUCGGUUUACUUACCGUACCACAUACCUAUUCGUUUUCGGGGUCUGGAACAUUCUGGAAAGUGUCCCUUAUGUAUUCCUCCGGGGUUACGGUUUCAAUAAUAUUAGUUUCAACAUUGAUAGGAUUACCUGAAAUAUAAUGUUUAAUUCUUUGACCGUUUACCACCCUCGGACUUGUGCCUUCGAAGUUGUUAAUUUUUAUGGCACCAGAACAAUAGACCUCCUCGAUAACGUAAGGACCUUCCCAUUUAGACAGAAGUUUUCCUGCAAAAAACCUUAAACGAGAGUUGAAUAAUAACACAUAAUCUCCUACGUUAAGCUCACGCUUUUGUAUCCUUUUAUCAUGCCAUCGUUUGACUUUUUCUUUGAAUAGCUUGGCAUUCUCAUAGGCUUGGGUUCUCCAUUCAUCGAGUGAGCUAAUAUCAAACAACCUCUUCUCACCGGCAAGUUUGAAGUCAUAGUUGAGCUCUUUAAUAGCCCAAUAUGCUUUAUGUUCAAGUUCAAGAGGUAAAUGACACGCUUUUCCAUAAACAAUCUUAUAAGGAGACAUACCUAUAGGAUUUUUGUAUGCAGUUCUAUAGGCCCAUAAUGCAUCAUCAAGUUUUUUGGACCAAUUCUUUCUAGAUCUAUUCACAGUCUUUUGCAAAAUUAAUUUGAGCUCUCUAUUGCUCAACUCUACUUGACCACUAGAUUGCGGAUGAUAAGGAGAUGCGAUUCUAUGAUUAACAUCAUACUUAGCAAGCAUCUUACGGAAAGCACCAUGAAUAAAAUGUGAACCACCGUCAGUCAUAAGAUAUCUAGGGACUCCAAACCUCGGAAAAAUAACUUCUGUAAGCAUUUCAAUAGAAGUGUUAUGAUCAGCACUACUAGUUGGAAUAACUUCUACCCACUUAGUAACGUAAUCAAUAGCAACUAAAAUAUGAGCGUAACCAUUAGAGGCAGGAAAAGGUCCCACAUAAUCAAAGCCCCAAACAUCAAACGGUUCAAUAAAAAGAGAGUAAUUCAUAGGCAUUUCUUGGCGUCUACUAAUGUCACCUAUUCUUUGACAUUCAUCACAAGAUAAGAAAAACUUACGAUCAUCUUUGAAGAGAGUAGGCCAAUAAAAACCAGAUUGUAGUACCUUGUGUGCAGUUCUAUCUCCAGCGUGGUGUCCUCCAUAGGAUUCGGAGUGACACUUGCGUAGGAACUGUUCCUGUUCAUGCUCAGGCACACAAUGUCUAAUAACACCAUCUACUCCUUUAUAAAGGUGUGGGUCAUCCCAAAAGUAAUGUCUUAAAUCAUAAAAGAACCUUUUCUUUUGCUGGUAUGUGAAACUAGGCGGUAUAAAUUUAGCAACAAUGUAAUUAGCAUAAUUAGCAUACCAAGGAGCAGUACGAGAAGCAUUAAUGACCGCUAAUUGUUCAUCAGGAAAGCUAUCAUCAAUAGGCAGUGGGUCAUCAAGAACAUUCUCUAACCUAAACAAGUUGUCUGCAACGGGGUUCUCAGCUCCCUUUCUAUCAAUAAUAUGCGAAUCAAAUUCUUGGAGCAAGAGAACCCAUCUAAUGAGUCUAGGCUUAGCAUCUUUCUUUUCCAUAAGAUAUUUAAUAACAGCAUGAUCAGUGUGAAUAGUAACUUUGGAAUCAACAAUAUAAGGUCUAAACUUAUCACAUGCAAACACAACUGCUAAGAACUCUUUUUCAGUAGUAGCAUAAUUUCUCUGGGCAGUAUCAAGAGUCUUACUAGCGUACUGGAUAACAUUCAAUUUCUUACCAAUUCUUUGCCCUAGAACAACACCUACAGCAUAAUCACUAGCAUCACACAUAAUUUCAAAAGGUAAAUUCCAAUCAGGUGGCUGAACAAUAGGUGCAGUGAUCAAAGCUUUCUUAAGUAUUUCAAAUUCUUCUACACAAUCAUCAUCAAAGACAAAAGGAAUAUCUUUUUGCAAUAAAUUAGUCAGAGGCCUAGAGAUUUUAGAAAAGUCCUUAAUGAACCUCCUAUAAAAACCGGCAUGACCAAGGAAACUUCUUAUACCUUUUAUGUCCUUGGGACAUGGCAUCUUUUCGAUAGCAUUAACCUUGGCUUUGUCAACUUCAAUACAUCUCUCGGAAAUCUUAUGCCCCAAGACAAUGCCUUCAUUAACCAUAAAGUGACACUUUUCCAAUUCAGGACAAGACUAGUGUCUUCGCAUCUCUGCAAAACUCGAUCAAGGUUGCUCAAACAAUCAUCAAAAGAGGAUCCAUAAACGGAGAACUCAUCCAUGAAUACCUCACAAAUCAUUUCACAAAAAUCAGAGAAUAUAGCCAUCAUGCAUCUUUGAAAGGUAGCAUGUGCAUUGCAUAAACCAAAAGGCAUACGUCUAUAAGCAAAAUUACCGAAAGGGCAAGUAAAAGUAGUUUUUGAUUGAUCCCCAGCUGACACAGGUAUUUGAGAGAAACUAGAAUAACCAUCUAGGAAGCAGAAAUGAGUGUGUUUGGAUAGUCUUUCUAGCAUUUGAUCAAUAAAAGGUAAAGGGUAAUGAUCUUUCUUUGCAGCCUUAUUAAUUUACGGAAAUCAAUUACCAUCCUAUAACCAGUAAUAAUUCUUUGCGGGAUCAAUUCAUCUUUAUCAUUAGGAACAACGGUAAUACCUCCCUUUUUAGGAACACAAUGGACAGGGCUUACCCAAUCACUAUCAGCAAUGGGAUAAAUUAUACCUGCCUCAAGGAGCUUUAGUAUCUCCUUUCUUACCACUUCUUUCAUCUUGGGAUUCAGUCGUCGUUGAGGAUCUCUAACUAGUUUGGCAUCUUUCUCCACUGUAAUUUUGUGUUGGCAUAAUGUGGGACUAAUGCCCUUAAGAUCAUCCAGAGUAUAUCCAAUAGCUCCUCGGUGCUUCUUCAGAGUUUUCAAUAAUCUUUCUUCUUCUUGCUUUGAAAGGUUAGCACCAAUAAUAACAAGAUAUAUUUUCUUUUCAUCAAGAUAUGCAUACUUAAGAUUAUCAGGUAAUGGUUUGAGUUCAAACACAGGAUCACCCUUGGGUGGAGGGGGGUCCCCAAGAAUUUCAACGGGAAGAUUAUGUUUUAGCACAGGUUCCUGUUUAAGGAACACUUCAUCUAUUUCCCUUCUUUCCUUCAUAAACAUAUCAUUUUCAUGGUCUAGCAAAUAUUGUUCUAACGGAUCAGUAGGAGGUACGGCAAUGGAAGCAAGACCAAUAAUCUCAUCCUUACUAGGUGGUUCCCUAUCACGAGGUUGUCUAUGAAACUUAGCAAAAUUAAACUCAUGAGACAUACCAUCUAAGCCAAUGGUGACAGUAUCUUUUUCACAAUCAAUCUUAGCACUAGCUGUAUUCAAGAAGGGUCUACCAAAAAUAAUGGGACAAAAAUCUUCUUGUGGGGAGCCAAGAACAAGAAAAUCAGCAGGGUAUUUAACCUUCCCACACAAGACUUCAACAUCUCCAACUAUCCCAACUGGUUUAAUGGUAUCCCUAUUAGCAAGCUUAAUAGUAACAUCAAUGUCUUCUAAUACAACGGGUGCAAUGUCAUGCAUAAUUUCUUUAUAUAGAUCAUAAGGUAUCGCACUAGCACUAGCACCUAUAUCACAUAAACCAUGAUAACAAUGAUCUCCUAUUUUAACAGAAGUAACAGGCAUGCCUACGACAGAUCUAUGUAUAUUAGUAUCUGGUCUAGCAAUAUUAGCAGACUGAUCAUAGAAAUAAAUAACAUGCCCAUCUAAAUCAUCAUCCAAGAGAUCUUUAACCAUAGCAAUACUAGGUUCAACAUUGACUUGCUCAGGAGGUGUAUAAGUCCUAGUAUUACUCUUAUGAACAACAACCGAAGUUUUAGCAUGAUCCUUUAUCCUAACAGGAAAAGGAGGUUUCUCAACAUAAGUAGUAGGAACAAUAGGAUCACUAUAGGUGAUAGUCUUUUCUUCAACUAUAAUAGGUGCAACUACUUUCACUUCAACAGGAGGAUUAUAUUUAAACUAGUUUUCUUCAGGGAGAUCAAUGUGAGUAGCAAAAGAUUCACAGAAAGAGGCUACUAUCUCAGAGUCAAGUCCAUACUUAGUGCUAAAUCCACGGAAAGCAUCGGUAUCCAUAAAAGAUUUAACACAAUCAAACUUAGGUGUCAUACCUGACUCCUUACCAUCGCCGGAACCCCAAUCUUCAGAGUUGCGUUUAAUUCUUUCCAAUAAGUCCCAUUUGAAAUCAAUAGUCUUCAGCAUAUAAGAACCAGCACAGGAAGUAUCGGGCAGUUUGCGAUCAUUAAGAGAAAGUCGAGCAUAAAAUUUUUGAAUAAUCAUUUCCAGGGAGAGCUCAUGAUUGGGGCAUGAAUAUAACAUUGACUUAAGCCUCCCCCAAGCUUGAGCGAUGCUUUCUCCUUCGCGAGGCCAGAAAUUAUAUAUGUAAUUACGAUCACGAUGAACAAGAUGCAUAUGAUAGAACUUCUAGUGAAAUUCCAACUUCAAUCGUUUAUAAUUCCAAGAUCUCGUAUCAUCACAUAGCCUAUACCAUGUCAAUGCGUCUCCCUUCAAAGAUAAAGGGAAGACCUUCCUUUUGACAACAUCAUCGGGAAUACCUGCAACCUUAAAUAAUCCACAAACUUCAUCCACAAAGAUAAGGUGUAAAUCGGGAUGCAAUGUUCCAUCUCCUGCAAAUGGAUUAGCUAGCAGUUUCUCUAUCAUACCCGAAGGAAUCUCAAAGUAAAUAUUUUCAUAAAGUUCAGUAGGUUGAGGAGCAACUCUUUGCUCUUCUGGUCGGGGUGAAGAUACCCCAAACAAGCCCCUCAAAGGAUUAGUUUCCAUAGUGACAAGUAACAGAAAAUUCAAGCACACUAUAUAAAUGUUUCCUUACCAAGUUCCAUUCACCAAAAGCGCUACACUCCCCGGCAACGGCGCCAGAAAAGAGUCUUGAUGACCCACAAGUGUAGGGGAUCUAUAUUAGUCCUUCGAUAAGUAAGAGUGUUGAACCCAACGAGGAGCAGAAGGAAAUGAUAAGCGGUUUUCAGUAAGGUUUUCUCUGCAAACACUGAAAUUGUAGGUAAUAGAUAGUUUUGUGAUAAGAUAAAUAGUAACGAGUAACAAGUAAAUAAAGUAAAUAAAGUGCAGCAAGGUGGCCCAAUCCUUUAUGUAGCAAAGGAUAAGCCUGGACAAUUUCUAAUAAUGAGAAAGGAUCUCCCGAGGACACAUGGGAAUUAUCAUCAAGCUAGUUUUCAUCACGUUCAUAUGAUUCGCGUUCGGUACUUUGAUAAUUUGAUAUGUGGGUGGACCGGUGCUUGGGUACUGCCCUUACUUGGACAAGCAUCCCACUUAUUAUUAACCCCUAUUGCAAGCGUCCGCAACUACAAAAGAAGUAUUAAGGUAAACCUAACCAUAGCAUUAAACAUAUGGAUCCAAAUCAGCCCCUAACGAAGCAACGCAUAAACUAGGGUUUAAGCUUCUGUGACUCUAGCAACCCAUCAUCUACUUAUUACUUCCCAAUGCCUUCCUCUAGGCCCAUAUAAUGGUGAAGUGUCAUGUAGUCGACGUUCACAUAACACCACUAGAGGCAAAGACAACAUACAUCUCAUCAAAAUAUCGAACGAAUACCAAAUUCACAUGACUACUAAUAGCAAGAUUUCACCCAUGUCCUCAGGAACAAACGUAACUACUCACAAAGCAUAUUCAUGUUCAUAAUCAGAGGAGUAAUAAUAUGCAUUAAGGAUCCGAACAUAUGAUCUUCCACCAAGUAAACCAAAUAGCAUCAACUACAAGGAGUAAACAACAUUACUAGCAACCCACAGGUACCAAUUUGUGGUUUUGAUACAAGAUUGGAUACAAGAGAUGAACUAGGGUUUUGAGAGGACAUGGUGCUGGUGAAGAUGUUGAUGGAGAUUAACCCCCUCCCGAUGAGAGGAUCGUUGGUGAUGACGAUGGUGAUGGUUUCCCCCUCUCGGAGGGAAGUGUCUCUGGCAGAACAGCUCCGCCGGAGCCCUAGAUUGAUUCCGCCAAGGUUCCGCCUCGUGGCGGCGGAGUUUCGUCCCGUAAGCUUGGCCAUGAUUUUUUCCAGGGUAAAAGCUUUCAUAUAGUAGAAGAUGGACACCGGGGGGCCACCAGGGGGCCCAGGAGACAGGGGGGCGCGCCCAGUAGGGGUGGGCGCGCCCCCACCCUCCUGGGCAGGGUGUGGGCCCUCUGGUGUAUUUCUUUCUCCCAAUAAUUCAUAUUAAUUCCAAAAACAUGUUUCGUGGAGUUUCAGUAUUUUUGGAGCACUGUAGAAUAGGUUUCCAAUGUUUGCUCCUUUUCCAGCCAGAAUUCCAGUUGUCGGCAUUCCCCCUCUUCAUGGUAAACCUUGUAAAAUAAGAGAGAAUAGCCAUAAGUAUUGAGAUAUAAUGUGUAAUAAUAGCCCAUAAUGCAAUAAAUAUUGAUAUAAAAGCAUGAUGCAAAAUGGACGUAUCACAAGUGUCUUGCGGUAUUAUGCAAAAGUGUGUCGAGCCUCUUGUAGGGAUCCACAAUGUCCGGGUCACAAACCCAAGCUUCACUAAUUGCUUCCUCGAAGCCCUCCAUCUUGGUCCAAAAUAUCUCAAACCUGAAUCUGCGCUUCGGGCUGAAACCAACACUUGUAGUGAGCAUAAGAGGUGCAUGAUCCGAAACCCCUGUGGACAUCGCCUGGAGCAGGUAUUUUGCGUUGUCUAACUCCCAGUCAACUGUGGUGAGAACUCUGUCUAUCUUCGUCAGGGUCGGGGCAUCUCUCUCAUUGGACCAAGUGUACCUCUGACCGUGCAUGUACAUCUCCUUGAGCUUGUGAUCGUCCACAAAAUCUCUAAACUUGCUCAUCAUCCUCCGAUUGAUGUUUGUUGGGGAACACGGUAAUUUCAAAAAAAAAAUCCUACGAUCGCGAAAGAUCUAUCUAGGUGAUGCAUAGCAACAAGGGGGAGCGUGUGUCCACGUACCCUCGUAGACCGAAAGCGGAAGCGUUUAGUUAACGCGGUUGAUGUAGUCGAACGUCUUCGCGAUCCAACUGAUCCAAGCACCGAACGUACGACACCUCCCGUUCAGCUCACGUUCAGCUCUAUGAUGUCCCUCGUACUCUUGAUCCAGUUGAGGCCAAGGGAGAGUUUUGACAGCAUGACAGCGUGGUGAUGGUGAUGAUGAAGUUACCGGCACAGGCUUCGCCCAAGCACUAUGACGAUAUGGCUGAGGUGUGUAACUGUGGAAGGGGGCACCGCACACGGCUAAACAAUGUCAACUUGUGUGUUUAUGGGGUGCCCCCCUCCCCCGUAUAUAAAGGAGUGGAGGAGGGGGGAAGGCCGACCCUCUAUGGCGCACCCUGGAGGAGUCCUACUCCCACCGGGAGUAGGAUCCCCCCAUCCCUAAUUGGACUAGGAGAGAAGGAAGGGGGAGAGAGGGAGGAAGGAAAGGGGAGGCCGGCCCCCCACCCAAUUCGGAUUGGGAUUGGGGAGGGCGCGCCCUCCACCUGGCCGCCUCCUCCUCUCUUUAACUAUGGCCCAAUAAGGCCCAUAUACUUCCCGGGGAGUUCCAGUAACCUCCCGGUACUCCGGUAUAUGCCCGAACUCACCCGGAACCAUUCCGAUGUCCAAACAUCGGAUUCCAAUAUAUCAAUCUUCAUGUAUCGACCAUUUCCAGACUCCGCGUCAUGUCCGUGAUCACAUCCGGGACUCCGAACUAUCUUCGGUACAUCAAAAUACAUAAACUCAUAAUACCAAUCGUCAUCGAACAUUAAGCGUGCGGACCCUACGGGUUCGAGAACUAUGUAGACAUGACUGAGACACGUCUCCGAUCAAUAACCAAUAGCGGAACCUGGAUGCUCAUAUUGGUUCCUACAUAUUCUACAAAGAUCUUUAUCGGUCAAACCGCAUAACAACAUACGCUAUUCCCUUUGUCAUCGGUAUGCUACUUGCUGAUACGUAUCCAACGUAUCUAUAAUUUUUGAUUGUUCCAUGCUAUUAUAUUACCCGUUUUGGAUGUUUAUGGGCUUUACUUUACACUUUUAUAUCAUUUUUGGGACUAACCUACUAACCGGAGGCCUAGCCCGAAUUGUUGUUUUUUUGCCUAUGUCAGGACCCCGACUCAAUGCCACAUCGAUCUAGCAUGUAACACCUCAUAUCACUUUGCGGCCUCACGCACGGUAUUCCCACGGGUGUCUCCCUACCUUUACCCGGGACCGUUUGCGCCUUUUGGCACACGUAUAUGACAGUGUCGCUAGCAUCUAUAUGAUAAGGAGCCCGGGCUGACAUGGCUAGUCGUAAACCCAAAGUGGCACAAACUUACAGGGACAGGCAUCCAUGACCCAGCAUCGAACGUGUCGGUCAUCAGCGAGUGAAUCCAGGCUGUAGCACUGGGCUAGCAGGACUCCGGUGAACCGGGCUGUAGCGGGCUAACAGGACUCCGGUAUUCAUCGCAUGACAUUUCCCCGAAGGGACAGACACAGGAACGAAGAAGGACACAUGCCGGCCAGCCUAAGUGUUCCGGAGCAGUAGCAAGCUACCAUUGGAAACACUAGGAGACAUUUCUCGGUAAGAGAGGCUACUAAGGAUAAACAACUAGAUAGUCAGAUCCCACACAUACCAAGCUUUCAAUAACAUACACACAAUAUGCUCGAUAUGUGCAAACACAACAUGGCAUCACAACAUGACUCUAUGACUCAAGUAUUUAUUCAUUAGGCUCCGAGGAGCGAGAUAUUACAAACAUAGGUCUCAUGACCCAACAUUCAGAGUAUACAAGUCAAAGCACAAGCGGAAGCUAUCAUGUCUGAGUACAGACAACUAUAAAUGAAAAAGGCUGAGAAGCCUGACUAUCUACCAGAUACUGCCGAGGGCACAAGAUCGUAGCUGAGGUAACAAGCUAAACGUCGAAGUCCAAGGGGAACUACUAGUGAGACUGAAGUCUCUCUGCAAAAACAUAAAAUAGGCAAACGUGAGUACAAAUGUACCCAGCAAGACUUACAUCAGAACUAACUACAUAUGCAUCAUUAUCAACAAAGGGGUGGUGGGGUUUAACUGCAGCAAGCCAGCUUUGACUCGGUGGCUAUCCUAAACUACGACUGCAAGCGACUCUUUUGAGGUGGCGCACACGAGUCCACAUAUUCACCAUAUCAAUACACCACUAUGGAUCCGCUCCCGUCUCCCUACGAGAACGCCAUCCAUAGCACUCACGCUUAUCUUGCGUAUUUUAGAGUAUCCACUUUCACUUGUCUAUGAACUGAUAUAAGCAAUCCAGAAGUCCUUUUCCGCGGACACGGCUAUUCGAAUAGAUUAGGUUAACCCUGCAGGGGUGUACUUCUUCAUACACGCUCUCACCACUUACCGUCGUUUACACGACAUGUACUCGGCAACCUUCAAGCGGAAGCCCAACGUGGGUGUCGGCCACGACCUACCUAAUCACCUAAGUCUCUAGUCCAGGUUUAUCGCCUAUUCGGGUUCCAUCCAUGAGGAGAUCCGGCCAGAGUUUCGCUCACAGCCCCAAACGAUGUGAACAGGGUUCCCGAGACACCAAACGGGCGCCCAGUACACCGUGCCACGUGCCUACCGCAUCACAGCCCACCCCUACGGUCAGCGCUGCCCAUGGCCUCCAGCAUACUACAAACACCAGAAACUACUUGCAACUCCUGGACAGAGGACAAGGGUGAUCAAGAAGCCGAGAGGGUCCAUUGGUUUCGGGCCCAAUGCGUGGUAGUAGCUGAAUCAUGGAUCACAAACACAGAACUCAGUUCCUGAGGACGGCUGCAAUGAGACAAGCCACCAUGUACUCCUACAUGGCCUCUCACCGCUACCUUUACCAAAACGUGUUCACACACUUAGCUCACACACAGUAGGACAUGUUCACACGCCUCUGAUUCAUCCCCGAUGAAUCAGACCUGACUCAACUCUAAGCAGUAGCAGGCAUGACAAACAAGCAAGAAUGAGUAGGCACAACAGGGCUCAAACAACUCCUACCCAUGCUAGUGGGUUUCAUCUAUUUACUGUGGAAUGACAGGUCAUGCAAAGGAUAAAGGGGUUCAGCUACCACAGCAAGUAACAGAUGAAUCGUUGUUGUCCUAAUGCGGUAAAAGAGAGCAGGAGCGAGAGAGUGGGAUUGUAUUGGAAUGAACAAGGGGGUUUUGCUUGCCUGGCACUUCUGAAGAUAACAUUGAGUCUUCAUCAGUGUCAACGAUCACAACGUCGGAACAUCGUCUACCGGGAGGGAACAGAUACCGGCAACAAAGAAGAACACAAUCAAUGCAAUGCACAAAAUGAUGCAUGCGAUGACAUGGCAAUAUGAAUGUGUUUUGAGCUAAUGCAACUAGCAACAGAUUAAAUGAAGUUGGUUUGAAUACAAGAUUCAAAUUCAAACUCCAUAUGUGAUUAUUCAAAUGCCAUUUAAUUGAUUUGUGCUAUACAGCAGCUAUAAGUUGUUCUAACAUGCAUAAAAAUGGUACAGAUGGAUUCCUUGAAUUUUUCUGAUAAUUUUUCAUAUAUAAAUUAUUUAAUUUGGAGUUACGGUUGAAUUACUAUGAAUUUUUGAAGUUUUGAACAUUUUUUGGAAUUUCCUGAAUAUUUAGAAUUAAAAUAAUUCCAGAAAAUGAUUUAACUGCGUCAGCCUGAUGCCAGCAUGACGUCAGCGAGUCAACGGCCAGGUCCAGGUCAAACCUGACGUGCGGGGUCCACACGUCAGUGACACAGGAACUAAUCCCGGUCAAACCCAGCGCUGACUGGGGUUUGACCAGGGGUGGGGCCUACUGUCAGUGGCUGUAGGUGGUUUAGUUAGUUGGAUUAGCUCCUAAUGACGGAGCCACGUCAGCUCCCGCCGGAGUUUCGCCGGCGACGACCAUGGCCGACGACGGAGAUGCAACGUGUGCUCGCUACGGAGCACCAUACAACGCGUGGUUUGCUCCUACAGGUAGCUGAAGAUGCGCCGCAUCCAACUGGGCGAGCGACAGCGGCUGUGGUGGCCGGAGCUCACCGGAAACGAGCUCGCGGCGGCGCCGGAGUUCGGGCGCCGAUCGAUUCGACGCUAUGGUGCGCUACGGGAGAAACUGGUGGGUGCUGCGGCUCCUGAGGUUGCGGUGAGCACGACGGUGGGCUCGGGAGCGAGCUGCGGUGGCUGUGGCCACGGCCACGCCAUGGCCGGCGGCGAGAAGCUCUCGGCCGCGGUGGUAACGGCGGCUACGGAGGGAAAUAGAGCACGGGGAGAGAGGGGUUCGGCAGAGGAGCUCACGGCGAGGUCGACGAGCAGCUCGGUGGGCUCGGGGAGGUGGUGGAGACGGCGAAUCGACGAGCGGCAUCCGGCGGCCGUGUGUGAAGAAGACGGCUCGAUGACGGCGAUGCAGGGCGUCCGAGGUCGCUUGACUCGUCGGAGAGGAUGAGGGCGAGGUAGCCGAGCUACUGGGCACGCUGAGGGUCGAGGGGGAGGCUCUGGGUGCGGCAACGGCGAGCGGCGGCGAUGAGCUCCGCUCGGGCUGCGCGAGAGAGAGAGAGAGCAGAGGAGGGGGAAGGGGUCGAGAGAGAGUGCGAGGGGGUUCCAGGGGGUGGCGUGGAGCUGCGGGAGACGUCCAGGAGAGGAGGAGGCAGCCAGGCAGGGAGGAGGUGGCCGGGGCGCGUGGCCGCGCGCGCCACCGAGCAGCUUCGGGGCGAGGGGGAGGAAGACGACAGGGGGAGAAGCGGCGGUGGGCUGGGCCGGCUGGAGGAGCUGGGCCAGGUGGGCUGAGGUGAGCGCCAGGUAGUCCUCUGCUCUUUCUAUUUUUGUUUUUAUUUAUCUAUUUUGUUCUGUGUUGUUUUAGUUUAGUAAUAUACUAAACCAUUUUAUAAAAUCCUGAAAAUAGUUAUGUGGCUAGAACUAAAAUAUAACAAACCACAUAAAAUGUUCCAGUAAUUAUUGGACAUAUAUUAUUUAUAUAUCAAAUAUAUAUCCAAUGCAAAUAGCUAUUUAUUUAAUUCAAAGGCCCAAAAUAAUUAACUCUGAGAUACCAAAAAUAUUGUUUUGAGUUUUACCUCUUUGCAAUAUUUUCAGAGACUAAGAGGAACAUUUUCUUGGACUUCUUUGAGGAGAUUUUAAUGUUGAUCAUUUUUAGAAGGUUUCUGAGGCUUUGAAAAUUCCUCAAUUCAAAUUUCAUUUGAAUUAAAACAUGAUGCUCACAUGAGGUCUAGCCUAGUGCAUAACAGGACCAGGGAUGUGACAACUCACCCCCACUAAACAAAAAUCUCGUCCCGAGAUUCAAGCGUAGGGUAAGGUGAAGGGGAAACGCAACUAGUAUAAUCUUCACGAUCCAGGGUGCACUUCAUAAGAGCGUUGAUUCGAUUACCAUCAUUGUCUCGAAGUCUUUCUCUGAGAACUCCAACUAACAUGACAAGAAGAGGGAAGGAAAACUCUAGAAGAAUUAAUCUUCUCAAAGAACGAACAACUCAGGAUUAACUCACGGAAUGGGACAUAGCAACAUCUCUCGAGCUGAGAGACGAAGCACACCUCUAGAGGAAUGGAGUGGAACAGAUGACGAAGGUUCACUAGGUAGACAACGAUUCCACACCUAAGAAGGUGGUGAACGGUUGUCAACGUAGCGAGGAGUUGAGUUGCCAUGAUACCUCAACGAGACAUCCUGGAGGGGGGGGGGUGAUUCGUAGAUAUAUCCCCUUAAGUGGCAAAAGAAUUACCUUUGAUUCAGAGAUCAUUGAAACUCUUUAAACCAGCCUAGGACAAUUCUCGAGCGAUCGUUUGGAGGGGGUCGGUAGAAUGGCAUACUCGGACUUGGAUGAUGUGGAUUACCUUGUUGAAGACAACGUAAUGGAUGAAUUUGCUUAUCACCGGAAAUGGAAGAGACCCAUGGUAGAAUGGCACAUUGGCGGUGCAAGCUGGGAACAAAAUGCAAAUGCUGGGAAUGAUUCUGGUAACUAGGGAAGAACCCAACAAUAGAGAGUGAAUUCACUGUUUGAGAAGGUCAUAGCAUUGCCGAGGGAACUGAGAGCAUCCCAAUUAGAGCCGAUGAUAACACGUAGCGCUUGUGCGUGCUCUCAAGAACUUGAGCAUUUCCACAAUCAUCAAGGUUUUAUCAACAACUGCGUCAAGGGUGCUGACAACACAACAUACUACCAUGAUGAAUAGCGAUGGACGAUGCAGAUGCGAAGGAGGAUAACACUUUCUCAGAUUUCACCUUAGCGAGGCCAAGCAAAUAAAAUCUGGAUGAUCGACCGAGAGACAUUUAGCACUCUGCUUCUAAUGUUCUCCUUGAUGUGCUAGCGUAAUCCACCCAUAGAUAUGGUUUGAUAUCUAGAACAUCAAGUAAAAAGGUCGGACUUCGGAACACAGAAAUCCAUAGGGGCAACUAGGGAGUAAUCCUACAAAAUCCCUAUGGGGAGGUGGCCAACUUCCUCAAACAAGAUACUAUAAUAAUAGGUCUACCGGAUGGGUGUGUUGGCCACGACAUCCACCUUGCCGGUUAUUGAGAGACCAAUAUUAUAAUUCUUGGGAAAUGUUUCAACCAUCACAUCUGCCUGAGAUUCAGAUCUGGUUGGUGUCAGGAUAUCCCAGACUCAUCAAGUCUAGAAAGAAAAAUGAAAGUUUGCAACACAAAUCGACGAGAUAAUGUUGCGGGAUUCUCGGGGAGUGAGCUAUGAUAGUAAGCUCCAAAACAUGAGCUGGUUCUGCUACAAACAUGCGAACACGUUGUCCCAGACAAGCAUGGCCACGUAGCAGUCUUAUAAUUAAACACUACCGAGUUCAGGUGGAGAACCAUCAUCGAGGAUAUCGAAGUCUUUACGCAAGUCCAUGGAUUAGAUCCCAAGCAUAGAAUUCUUUUCCUUGAACAAGUCAAUCAGUGGCUUAGUGUGCUAGGGACACAUAUAGAAUGAAGGUUGCAAGUCUCCAGACUACAGAAUACUUCGCACGUGUGCAUGACUGAUUUGGGAUGAUUCCAAAGGAAACAAAACAAUCUUUCUCAAAUUCACGGCGGCAACUUUCACCAAAUGCACGUGUAUAAGAGGAAGUCACUCCUUUCAUCAAACAAAUACUUCAUGAGCUAGCAUGAAGAAAAUGCUUUCAAAAGUUUCCAACACUAGCUUAAUGUUCAACAACAUCAUGGAGGAGAUAAGGAUGUUGCCAAUGGGCUCAACAACAAUUCAUCUAGGUUUCCUUUUAAAAGGAAUUCCAUAGUUAAGUGAACACGGUGAUAGCAUUGGUCAGACCAAAGAUGUAAUGGUGUAUGCUCGAGGGAUCAACCACGAAUAAGACAACAUUACGAGCAUCAUUGGUACUGAUUUGAUUUGACGAUAGCCCACACUCAAAUCAAAGGAUUGAUAAGACAAUAGGUCCAGCAACUGAUCACAAGGACCAAUCGAUGAAGAUAUCAUCUUUCUUCAGCACACCCUACACAAGAAUAUCCCUUUGGAACGAACUAAGUCAGGCAAGCUUUUAUCUUCCAACUCUCCAAGUUGUUGUCUAGCUUAACCAACUAGCUCAGGGAUAUCUAACACCGAUUUUUGGAGAGAAGGUGGUUCACAAGAACCCAACUUGAUCACGAGAUCAACAUAGCGGUCAGGCGACAACCUGGUGAUACUUCCGAGAAGAAAUUUGGAAUAUCAUGAACCACCGGUAUGUUACUAAGCUCGAGAACAAUCUUACUUUUCAGGGCAAGACGAUAUGAUCAAAUAAGCAAGGAUUGGCACUAUCCUAACUCACUGAUCGGAGAGUGCACCAGAAAUAAGGACUAGGUAGCACAAUCAACCUUAGGGUGACGAUUCAAUAAUCAACACGCUAAGAAUGAGGUUAUCGUCCAUUUAACUACCAAGCAAUGGAGUUGCUAGCAGUAUUGAUUUCACACGCCAUGAUUCAUUUGUCGGCAUUCCGGUUACAAUAACACGGAAACCGAGAAAUUAUCAAUGAUGAUCAGAAGUAUUACUGCGUCAAGAAUUCAUAAGAUGGUGUGCAAUUCCCAUGACAUUCCUGAUAUAAAGAUGGUAAUACUUCAAGGUAGAACAGACCAGAAGCUGGAUUGGCAUUUUGAUCUGCGGAAUACAAUUGCUUUGACCCAAUCCUAGAUAUGGAUGAGAUUCUAGAGUUUGUUUCUCCUAUUCAUUCUGAAAUAGAAUGGCUUGGCGGACCACAAGGGUAAUAGGCAUCGACGAACGAAUGCACGCAUACUCUUGACUAUCAAUUGAUAGGCGAGGGUCGGAAACAAUUAAGAUGGGACAACUCAAAAGAACAUAUGAUUUUCUGAGUUGUGGAUGCAUGGAUUAGCAUGUGGAACGAAGUUCAACAUAUUUCUUCCGGAUAACCCAUGCAGAAAGGUAGAACUGGCAGAGCCACAAUAUAUAAUGGAGAACUCAUCAAGAAUAAUCCUGUUGUGAUAUUUCAGUUCAACGAGGAACUUCUGCCAUAAGUAGUUCAUGGUAUUUGGAAGAAGAAGAUACCACGGACUUCAAGGACUAUCGCAAAGGUUACUAAUAUCCUAAAGGCACUAGCAAUUACUAUCAACAUGAAGUAGGUAGAGUGAAUCUCGGGUUCAAGAACCCAGGAACAGAAUACCUAUUACUAAGUAGCAUCACGGGAUGCUUUCGAGAAUGAUGGCCAGAAUCAUCACACUGGGAACACAAAUCAUGGCUAAAUUACUAGAUGACCCCCUAAGACACCUAGGGUCAUAAUAAUAUCUCCAACAUAUAUGUCAAGGUAACGGAGUACCUCAACUCACUAAUUAGUGUGGUUAAUCUGGCCCAUGGGAACAUUGAAACGGGAAGAAAGGAUUUGCAAAUGCAUCAGACUACUUAGAAACCUGGGAUGACUCGGACAGCAUAACGGCUGUAAAUGCUCAGAAAAGAUUUGAGACAUUCACAAAAAUGGUGGCAUAACCACUCAGAAGCACAAUAUCAAGGUUUCGAGAUCAACAAUUAACAUACGGAAGUAGUAGGAACUGAACUGAGACUUAAAUCCAACAAUCUUAUAAGUCCACUGAUUAGUAACACGUGAUCCUAAUAGAAAGAAGAGAUAGCCUAGUUCUUAAUCCCCGUAGAAGAGAAGAUGAUGACUCAGAUCAGAAGGCCAUGAGGUAUAAGGAGUAAAAAGAGCCUUACGUUCCAUCCCACAAUCAAUUCCCCUACAUAUAACUAAAGAAUUUCUAGACUCAACAUCGACCAGUUUGGCUUGGCAAUCCUACAGGCAGUCAAGCUCUGAUACCAACGCUGUCAGGACCCCGACUCAAUGCCACAUCGAUCUAGCAUGUAACACCUCAUAUCACUUUGCGGCCUCACGCACGGUAUUCCCACGGGUGUCGCCCUACCUUUACCCGGGACCGUUUGCGCCUUUUGGCACACGUAUAUGACAGUGUCGCUAGCAUCUAUAUGAUAAGGAGCCCGGGCUGACAUGGCUAGUCGUAAACCCAAAGUGGCACAAACUUACAGGGACAGGCAUCCAUGACCCAGCAUCGAACGUGUCGGUCAUCAGCGAGUGAAUCCAGGCUGUAGCACUGGGCUAGCAGGACUCCGGUGAACCGGGCUGUAGCGGGCUAACAGGACUCCGGUAUUCAUCGCGUGACAUUUCCCCGAAGGGACAGACACAGGAACGAAGAAGGACACAUGCCGGCCAGCCUAAGUGUUCCGGAGCAGUAGCAAGCUACCAUUGGAAACACUAGGAGACAUUUCCCGGUAAGAGAGGCUACUAAGGAUAAACAACUAGAUAGUCAGAUCCCACACAUACCAAGCAUUUCAAUAACAUACACACAAUAUGCUCGAUAUGUGCAAACACAACAUGGCAUCACAACAUGACUCUAUGACUCAAGUAUUUAUUCAUUAGGCUCCGAGGAGCGAGAUAUUACAAACAUAGGUCUCAUGACCCAACAUUCAAAGUAUACAAGUCAAAGCACAAGCGGAAGCUAUCAUGUCUGAGUACAGACAACUAUAAAUGAAAAAGGCUGAGAAGCCUGACUAUCUACCAGAUACUGCCGAGGGCACAAGAUCGUAGCUGAGGUAACAAGCUAAACGUCGAAGUCCAAGCGGAACUACUAGUGAGACUGAAGUCUCUCUGCAAAAACAUAAAAUAGGCAAACGUGAGUACAAAUGUACCCAGCAAGACUUACAUCAGAACUAACUACAUAUGCAUCAUUAUCAACAAAGGGGUGGUGGGGUUUAACUGCAGCAAGCCAACUUUGACUCGGUGGCUAUCCUAAACUACGACUGCAAGCGACUCUUUUGAGGUGGCGCACACGAGUCCACAUAUUCACCAUAUCAAUACACCACUAUGGAUCCGCUCCCGUCUCCCUACGAGAACGCCAUCCAUAGCACUCACGCUUAUCUUGCGUAUUUUAGAGUAUCCACUUUCACUUGUCUAUGAACUGAUAUAAGCAAUCCAGAAGUCCUUUUCCGCGGACACGGCUAUUCGAAUAGAUUAGGUUAACCCUGCAGGGGUGUACUUCUUCAUACACUCUCUCACCACUUACCGUCGUUUACACGACAUGUACUCGGCAACCUUCAAGCGGAAGCCCAACGUGGGUGUCGGCCACGACCUACCUAAUCACCUAAGUCUCUAGUCCAGGUUUAUCGCCUAUUCGGGUUCCAUCCAUGAGGAGAUCCGGCCGGAGUUUCACUCACAGCCCCAAACGAUGUGAACAGGGUUCCCGAGACACCAAACGGGCGCCCGGUACACCGUGCCACGUGCCUACCGCAUCACAGCCCACCCCUACGGUCAGCGCUGCCCAUGGCCUCCAGCAUACUACAAACACCAGAAACUACUUGCAACUCCUGGACAGAGGACAAGGGUGAUCAAGAAGCCGAGAGGGUCCAUUGGUUUCGGGCCCAAUGCGUGGUAGUAGCUGAAUCAUGGAUCACAAACACAGAACUCAGUUCCUGAGGACGGCUGCAAUGACACAAGCCACCAUGUACUCCUACAUGGCCUCUCACCGCUACCUUUACCAAAACGUGUUCACACACUUAGCUCACACACAGUAGGACAUGUUCACACGCCUCUGAUUCAUCCCCGAUGAAUCAGACCUGACUCAACUCUAAGCAGUAGCAGGCAUGACAAACAAGCAAGAAUGAGUAGGCACAACAGGGCUCAAACAACUCCUACCCAUGCUAGUGGGUUUCAUCUAUUUACUGUGGAAUGACAGGUCAUGCAAAGGAUAAAGGGGUUCAGCUACCGCAGCAAGUAACAGAUGAAUCGUUGUUGUCCUAAUGCAGUAAAAGAGAGCUGGAGCGAGAGAGUGGGAUUGUAUUGGAAUGAACAAGGGGGUUUUGCUUGCCUGGCACUUCUGAAGAUAACAUUGAGUCUUCAUCAGUGUCAACGAUCACAACAUCGGAACAUCGUCUACCGGGAGGGAACAGAUACACAAAAUGAUGCAUGCUAUGACAUGGCAAUAUGAAUGUGUUUUGAGCUAAUGCAACUAGCAACAGAUUAAAUGAAGUUGGUUUGAAUACAAGAUUCAAAUUCAAACUCCAUAUGUGAUUAUUCAAAUGCCAUUUAAUUGAUGUGUGCUAUACAGCAGCUAUAAGUUGUUCUAACAUGCAUAAAAAUGGUACAGAUGGAUUCCUUGAAUUUUUCUGAUAAUUUUUCAUAUAUAAAUUAUUUAAUUUGGAGUUACGGUUGAAUUACUAUGAAUUUUUGAAGUUUUGAACAUUUUCUGGAAUUUCCUGAAUAUUUAGAAUUAAAAUAAUUCCAGAAAAUGAUUUAACUGCGUCAGCCUGACGCCAGCAUGACGUCAGCGAGUCAACGGUCAGGUCCAGGUCAAACCUGACGUGCGGGGUCCACACGUCAGUGACACAGGAACUAAUCCCGGUCAAACCCAGCGCUGACUAGGGUUUGACCAGGGGUGGGGCCUACUGUCAGUGGCUGUAGGUGGUUUAGUUAGUUGGAUUAGCUCCUAAUGACGGAGCCACGUCAGCUCCCGCCGAAGUUUCGCCGGCGACGACCAUGGCUGACGACGGAGAUGCAACGUGUGCUCGCUACGGAGCACCAUUCGACGCGUGGUUAGCUCCUACGGGUAGCUGAAGAUGCGCUGCAUCCAACUGGGCGAGCGACAGCGGCUGUGGUGGCCGGAGCUCACCGGAAACGAGCUCGCGGCGGCGCCGGAGUUCGGGCGCCAAUCGAUUCGACGCUAUGGUGCGCUACGGGAGAAACUGGUGGGUGCUGCGGGCUCCUGAGGUUGCGGUGAGCACGACGGUGGGCUCGGGAGCGAGCUGCGGUGGCUGUGGCCACGGCCACGCCAUGGCCGGCGGCGAGAAGCUCUCGGCCGCGGUGGUAACGGCGGCUACGGAGGGAAAUAGAGCACGGGGAGAGAGGGGUUCGGCAGAGGAGCUCACGGCGAGGUCGACGAGCAGCUCGGUGGGCUCGGGGAGGUGGUGGAGACGGCGAAUCGACGAGCGGCAUCCGGCGGCCGUGUGUGAAGAAGACGGCUCGAUGACGGCGAUGCAGGGCGUCCGAGGUCGCUUGACUCGUCGGAGAGGAUGAGGGCGAGGUAGCCGAGCUACUGGGCACACCGAGGGUCGAGGGGGAGGCUCUGGGUGCGGCAACGGCGAGCGGCGGCGAUGAGCUCCGCUCGGGCUGCGCGAGAGAGNNNNNNNNNNNNNNNNNNNNNNNNNNNNNNNNNNNNNNNNNNNNNNNNNNNNNNNNNNNNNNNNNNNNNNNNNNNNNNNNNNNNNNNNNNNNNNNNNNNNNNNNNNNNNNNNNNNNNNNNNNNNNNNNNNNNNNNNNNNNNNNNNNNNNNNNNNNNNNNNNNNNNNNNNNNNNNNNNNNNNNNNNNNNNNNNNNNNNNNNNNNNNNNNNNNNNNNNNNNNNNNNNNNNNNNNNNNNNNNNNNNNNNNNNNNNNNNNNNNNNNNNNNNNNNNNNNNNNNNNNNNNNNNNNNNNNNNNNNNNNNNNNNNNNNNNNNNNNNNNNNNNNNNNNNNNNNNNNNNNNNNNNNNNNNNNNNNNNNNNNNNNNNNNNNNNNNNNNNNNNNNNNNNNNNNNNNNNNNNNNNNNNNNNNNNNNNNNNNNNNNNNNNNNNNNNNNNNNNNNNNNNNNNNNNNNGGCUGAGGUGAGCGCCAGGUAGUCCUCUGCUCUUUCUAUUUUUGUUUUUAUUUAUCUAUUUUGUUCUGUGUUGUUUUAGUUUAGUAAUAUACUAAACCAUUUUAUAAAAUCCUGAAAAUAGUUAUGUGGCUAGAACUAAAAUAUACCAAACCACAUAAAAUGUUCCAGUAAUUAUUGGACAUAUAUUAUUUAUAUAUCAAAUAUAUAUCCAAUGCAAAUAGCUAUUUAUUUAAUUCAAAGGCCCAAAAUAAUUAACUCUGAGAUACCAAAAAUAUUGUUUUGAGUUUUACCUCUUUGCAAUAUUUUCAGAGACUAAGAGGAACAUUUUCUUGGACUUCUUUGAGGAGAUUUUAAUGUUGAUCAUUUUUAGAAGGUUUCUGAGGCUUUGAAAAUUCCUCAAUUCAAAUUUCAUUUGAAUUAAAACAUGAUGCUCACAUGAGGUCUAGCCUAGUGCAUAACAGGACCAGGGAUGUGACAGCCUAUUUCAAUGUUUCGAAGAAAAGGAAUAUCAAACGGAGUCCAAACGGAAUGAAACCUUCAGGAGCGAUCUUUUUGGAACAAACGUGAUCCUGGGGACUUGGAGUGGACGUCAAGCAACAGAGGAGGUGGCCACGAGGGUGCCCGGUGCGCCCCCUACAGGUGGGCGCGCCCCCAACCCUCGUGGGCCCCUCGAGCGUCCACCGAGCUACUUCUUCCUCCUAGAUAUACCCACGUACCCAGAAAACAUCAGAAGCGACCAUGAAAACUAUUUCCACCGCCAUAACCUUCUGUGUCCGCGAGAUCCCAUCUUGGAGCCUUCGUCGGUGCUCCGCCGGAGGGGGAAUCGACCACGGAGGGCCUCUAAAUCAUCUCCAAGGCCCUUCCGAUGAGUUGUGAGUAGUUUACCAUAGACCUUCGGGUCCAUAGUUAUUAUCUAGAUGGAUUCUUCUCUCUCUUUGAAUCUCAAUACAAAGUUCUCCUCGAUCUUCUUGGAGCUCUAUUCGAUGUAACUCUUUUUGCGAUGUGUUUGUCGAGAUCCGAUGAAUUGUGGGUUUAUGAUCAAGUUUAUCUAUGAGAAAUAUUUGAAUCUCCUUAGAAUUCUUUUAUGUGUUAUUAAGUUAUCUUUGCAAGUCUCUUCGAAUAUCAGUUUGGUUUGGCCUACUAGAUUAAUCUUUCUUGCAAUGGGAGAAGUGCUUAGCUUUGGGUUCAAUCUUACGGUGUCCUUUCCUAGUGACAGCAGGGGCAGCAAGGCACAUAUUGUAUUGUUGCCAUCGUGGAUAAAAAGAUGGGGUUUAUAUCAUAUUUCAUGAGUUUAUCCCUCUACAUCAUGGCAACUUUCUUAAUGCAUUACUCUGUUCUUUAUGAACUUAAUACUCUAGAUGCAUGCUGGAUAGCAGUCGAUGUGUGGAGUAAUAGUAGUAGAUGCAGGCAGGAGUCGGUCUACUUGUCACGGACGUGAUGCCUAUAUACAUGAUCAUGCCUAGAUAAUCUCAUAAUUAUUCACUUUUCUAUCAAUUGCUCGACAGUAAUUUGUUCACCCACCGUAAUACUUAUGCUAUCUUGAGAGAAGCCACUAGUGAAACCUAUGGCCCCCGGGUCUAUCUUUUAUCAUAUAAGUUUUCAAUCUACUUUUAUUUGCAUCUUUUACCUUUCCAAUCUAUAUCAUAUAAAUACCAAAAAUAUUUAUCUUAUCAUAUUAUCUCUAUCAGAUCUCACUUUUGCAAGUGGCCGUGAAGGGAUUGACAACCCCUUUAUUGCGUUGGUUGCGAGUUCUUGUUUGUUUGUGUAGGUGCGUGGGACUUUUGAGGAGCCUCCUAUUGGAUUGAUACCUUGGUUCUCAAAUACUGAGGGAAAUACUUACGCUACUUUGCUGCAUCACCCUUUCCUCUUCAAGGAAAACCAACGCAAGCUCAAGACGUAGCAAGAAGGAUUUCUGGUGCCGUUGCCGGGGAGGUCUUUGCUCAAGUCAAGACAUACCAAGUACCCAUCACAAACUCAUCUCACUCGCAUUACAUUAUUUUCCAUUUGCCUCUCGUUUUCCUCUCCCCCACUUCAACCUUGCCGUGUUAUUUGCCCUUUCUUUCCCAAUCUCCUCUCUUUUUCACUUGUAUUUUGUUUGCUCGUCGUCAUGGCUAGUCCUCCUAUCCUCGUUAUUACUCCCGAACAUGAAAUUCUCAAUUUUAAGCAAAUGGAGGGAGAAAAAUUUAAAAGAUGCUUGGCAUAGAAUUUGCAAUGCUCAAAAUAGAUCUACUAGGAAGCUUUCUACUUCUGUUCUUCUUCACAAUUUUUAUGUAGGCAUUACUCCAUGGAAUAGAUGCAUUCUUGAUACCAUUACCGGAGGGAAUUUUUUGGAUAGCCAUACCUUUGAUGCUUAUAAUGCUAUGUUAGAUUUGUUUGGUCCUCCUCCUCUCUUGGUAAAUGGGACUAUUUUUACUCUAGAACAUGUGAUACAAAGGCUUGAAAUUAUUGAAAAUAAAAUCGGCACUGUUGAGUUAAUUGAAAAUCUAGAAAAAAAGAUUCAUAACCAAAUUACCCAAUAUGGAUCUAGGGUUGGAGUUACUUUGAAAUUUUUUAAAGAGAAAGAACCUAUAGUUAAUGAAAGAAUAGAUCUAGAUUCUACGAGAAUUGGUAAACUUGAGGAUAUCAUUACCAACUUAGGAUCGGCCUUUUCAUCCGUGAAAAACACUCCAAAUCCUGCUACCAAAACUACCAAAUUUAUUUAUGUUCCUAAAAAUAAGGGUGAAUCUUCUAAUAAGGGAAAUGCGGAUCUCAAAUCAAUAUGUGUUCAUCCCAAUUGUCUCUCUAUCAUUAAGGAACCUUUUGCUACAAAUGAAUUUCUUGAAUUCUUGCCUAAGGGCUUAAUCAUUGCUAAAAAGGGAGAAACCCCUAAAGAUUAUAAGUGCUCUAUUGAGGAAUUGAGUGCCAAAGAUGGCACUACUUAGAUCUAUCCUCGCUUUUAUGCCUAGCUAGGGGCAUUAAACGAUAGCGCUAGUUGGGAGGCAACCCAAUUUUAUUUUUGUUUUUUGUUUUUGCUUCUGUUUAGUAAUAAAUAUUUCAUCUAGCUUCUGUUUAGAUGUGUUUUCAUGUUUUAAUUAGUGUUUGUGCCAAGUAGAACCUAUAGGAUAACCUAUCAUGAUAGUUAAUUUGAUUCUGCUGAAAAACAGAAACUUUGCGCGCACGAAAAUAAUUUUAGUAAUUCACAUAAACGUGCUUUUGCGUUGAUUAUUUUUGAUGUAGAUCAAUGGAAAAAUUUCCAGGGACUUCCUAUUUUGGUAGGAUUUUUAGAGUUCCAGAAGUAUUUGAGAGUUACAGAUUGCUACAGACUGUUCUAUUUUUGACAGAUUCUGUUUUUCGUGUGUUGUUUGCUUAUUUUGAUGCAUCUAUGGCUAGUAUUAAGUGGUAUGAACCAUAGAGAAGUUGGAAUACAAUAGGUUUAACACCAAUAUAAAUAAAUAAUGAGUUCGUUACAGUACCUUAUGUGGUGGUUUUUCUUUCUUGCACUAACGGAGCUUAUGAGAUUUCCUGUUGAGUUUUGUGUUGUGAAGUUUUCAAGUUUUGGGUAAAGAUUUGAUGGACUAUGGAAUAAGGAGUGGCAAGAGCCGAUGCUUGGGGAUGCCCAUGGCACCCCAAGAUAUUCAAGGAUAACCAAAAGCCUAAGCUUGGGGAUGCCCCGGAAGGCAUCCCCUCUUUCGUCUCCGUUCAUCGGUAACUUUACUUGGAGCUAUAUUUUUGUUCGACACAUGAUAUAUGUUUUGCUUGGAGCGUCUUGUAUGAUAUUAGUCUUUGAUUUUUAGAUCACCACAAUAAUCCUUGCUGUACACACCUUUUGGGAGAAACCCACUUGAUUGGAAUUUAUUAGAAUACUCUAUGUGCUUCACUUAUAUCUUUUGAGCUAGAUAGUUUUGCUCUAGUACUUCACUUAUAUCUUUUAGAGCAUGGCGGUAGCUUAAUUUUGUAAAAAUUAUUAAUAUCUCAUGCUUCAAUUAUAUUAUUUUGAGAGUCUCUUAGACAGCAUGGUAUUUGCUAUGGUUAUAAAAUUGGUCCAGGAAUGAUGGGCAUCCAAGUUGGGUAUAAUAAAAACUAUCAUAGGAAGUGAAUUGGAUGCUAUGAUCAAUUUGAUACUUGAUAAUUGUUUUGAGAUAUGGAGGUGGUGAUAUUAGAGUCAUGCUAGUUGGGUGAUUAUGAAUUUAAAGAAUGCUUGUGUUGAAGUUGGCAAGUCCCGUAGCAUGCACGUAUGGUAAAAGUUGUGUAACAAAUUUAUUGCAUAGGGUGCUCUUUUGAUUGCCUUCCCUUGAGUGGAGGUCGGGGGCGCGUGAUGGUUAACUCCUACCAACCUCCCCCCUAGGAGCAUGCGUAGUAGUACUUUGCUUCGAGGGCUAAUAAAACUUUUGCAAUAAGUAUAUGAGUUCUUUAUGACUAAUGUUGAGUCCAUGGAUUAUACGCACUUUUACCUUUCCAUCAUUGCUAGCCUCUUCGGUACCGUGCAUUGCCCUUUCUCACCUUAAGAGUUGGUGCAAACUUUGCUGGUGCAUCCAAACCCCGUGAUACGAUACACUCUAUCGCACAUAAACCUCCUUAUAUCUUCCUCAAAACAGCCACCAUACCUACCUACUAUGGCAUUUCCAUAGCCAUUCCGAGAUAUAUUGCCAUGCAACUUUCCACCGUUCCGUUUCAUUUUUCAUGACAUGCAUCAUCAUUGUCAUAUUGCCUUGCAUGAUCAUUUAGUUGACAUCGUAUUUGUGGCAAAGCCGCCCUGCAUAAUUUUUCAUACAUGUCACUCUUGAUUUAUUGCCCAUCCCGGUACACCGCCGGAGGCAUUCAUAUAGUCAUAUCCUGUUCUAGUUUUGAGUUGUAAUUCAUGAGUUGUAAAUAAAUAGAAGUGUGAUGAUCAUCAUUAUUAGAGCAUUGUAAAAAAAAGGGAAAGGCCAAAAAGAAAAAAAUAAAGGCCAAAGAAAAAAAAAGAAAGGCCAAAAAAAAGAAAGGCCCAAAAAGAAAAUAAAAAAAUAAAAGAAAAAAGGGGGCAAUGUUACUAUCCUUUUCCACACUUGUGCUUCAAAGUAGCACCAUGUUCUUCAUAUAGAGAGUCUCAUAUGUUGUCACUUCCAUAUACUAGUGGGAAUUUUUCAUUAAAGAACUUGGCUUGUAUAUUCUUGCGAUGGGCUUCCUCAAAAUGCCCAAGGUCUUCAUGAGCAAGCAAGUUGGAUGCACACCCACUUAGUUUCUUUUGUUGAGCUUUCAUACAUUUAUAGCUCUAGUGCAUCUGUUGCAUGGCAAUCCCUACUCCUCAUGUUGACAUCAAUUGAUGGGCAUCUCCAUAGCCCGUUGAUUAGCCUCGUCAAUGUGAGACUUUCUCCUUUUUUGUCUUCUCCACACAACCUCCAUCAUCAUAUUCUAUUCCACCCAUAGUGCUAUAUCCAUGGCUCACGCUCAUGUAUUGCGUGAGAGUUGAAAAAGGCUGAAGCGCGUUAAAAAGUAUGAACCAAUUGCUUGGCUGAAACCGAGGUUGUUCUAGAUGGGAGUAUUUUGUGUGAUGAAAAUGAAACAUAGCUUAACUAUAUGAUUUUGUAGGGAUGAACUUUCUUUAGCCAUGUUAUUUUGAGAAGACAUGAUUGCUUUGAUUAGUAUGCUUGAAGUAUUACUAUUUCUUAUGUCAAUAUGAACUUUUAUUUUGAAUCAUUUGGAUCUGAACAUUCAUGCCACAAUAAAGAAAAUUACAUUGAGAAUUAUGCUAGGUAGCAUUCUACAUCAAAAAAUUUGUUUUUAUCAUGUACCUACUCGAGGACGAGCAGGAAUUAAGCUUGGGGAUGCUCGAUACGUCUCCAACUUAUCUAUAAUUUUUGAUUGUUCCAUGCUAUUAUAUUACCCGUUUUGGAUGUUUAUGGGCUUUACUUUACACUUUUAUAUCAUUUUUGGGACUAACCUACUAACCGGAGGCCCAGCCCGAAUUGCUGUUUUUUUUGCCUAUUUCAGUGUUUCGAAGAAAAAGAAUAUCAAACGGAGUCCAAACGGAAUGAAACCUUCGGGAGCGAUCUUUUUGGAACAAACGUGAUCCAGGGGACUUGGAGUGGACGUCAAGCAACAGAGGAGGCGGCCACGAGGGUGCCCGGCGCGCGCCCUACACGUGGGCGCGCCCCCACCCUCAUGGGCCCCUCGAGCAUCCAUCGACCUACUUCUUCCUCCUAUAUAUACCCACGUACCCUGAAAACAUCAGAAGCGACCACGAAAAACUAUUUCCGCCGCCAUAACCUUCUGUAUCCGCGAGAUCCCAUCUUGGAGCCUUCGCCGGCGCUCUGCCGGAGGGGGAAUCGAUGAUGGAGGGCCUCUACAUCAUCUCCAAGGCCCUUCUGAUGAGUUGUGAGUAGUUUACCACAGACCUUCGGGUCCAUAGUUAUUAUCUGGAUGGAUUCUUCUCUCUCUUUGAAUCUCAAUACAAAGUUCUCCUUGAUCUUCUUGGAGAUCUAUUCGAUGUAACUCUUUUUGCGGUGUGUUUGUCGAGAUCCGAUGAAUUGUGGGUUUAUGAUCAAGUUUAUCUAUGAGAAAUAUUUGAAUCUCCUCUGAAUUCUUUUAUGUGUGAUUAAGUUAUCUUUGCAAGUCUCUUCAAAUAUCAGUUUGGUUUGGCCUACUAGAUUGAUCUUUCUUGCAAUGGGAGAAGUGCUUAGCUUUGGGUUCAAUCUUGUGGUGUCCUUUCCCAGUGACAGCAGGGGCAGCAAGGCACGUAUUGUAUUGUUGUCGUCGAGGAUAAAAAGAUGGGGUUUAUAUCAUAUUGCAUGAGUUUAUCCCUCUACAUUAUGUCAUCUUUCUUAAUGCGUUACUCUGUUCUUUAUGAACUUAAUACUCUAGAUGCAUGCUGGAUAGCGGUUGAUGUGUGGAGUAAUAGUAGUAGAUGCAGGUAGGAGUCGGUCUACUUGUCACGGAUAUGAUGCCUAUAUACAUGAUCAUGCCUAGAUAAUCUCAUAAUUAUUCGCUUUUCUAUCAAUUGCUCAACAGUAAUUUGUUCACCCACCGUAAUACUUAUGCUAUCUUGAGAGAAGCCACUAGUGAAACCUAUGGCCCCCGGGUCUAUCUUUUAUCAUAUAAGUUUUCAAUCUACUAUUAUUUGUCAAUCUAUGAAGGGAUUGACAACCCCUUUAUUGCAUUGGUUGUGAGUUCUUGUUUGUUUGUGUAGGUGCGUGGGACUUUUGAGGAGCCUCCUACUGGAUUGAUACCUUGGUUCUCAAAAACUGAGGGAAAUACUUAUGCUACUUUGCUGCAUCACCCUUUCCUCUUCAAGGAAAACCAACGCAAGCUCAAGAGAUAGCACUUGCCCGAGAUUCGAUCGUCGGUAUCAUCAUACCUAGUUCAAUCUCGUUACCGGCAAGUCUCUUUACUCGUUCCAUAAUACUUCAUCCCGCAACUAACUCAUUAGUCACAAUGCUUGCAAGGCUUAUAGUGAUGAGUAUUACCGAGAGGGCCCAAAGAUACCUCUCCGAAAAACGGAGUGAAAAAUCCUAAUCUCGAUCUAUGCCAACCCAACAAACACCUUCGGAGACACCUGUAGAGCACCUUUAUAAUCACCCUUUUACGUUGUGAUGUUUGGUAGCACACAAGGUGUUCCUCCGGUAUUCGCGAGUUGCAUAAUCUCAUAGUCUGAGGAACAUGUAUAAGUCAUAAAGAGAGCAGUAGCAAUGAAACUGUAAUGAUCAUAAUGCUAAGCUAACGGAUGGGUCAUGUCCAUCACAUCAUUCUCCUAAUGAUGUGACCCCGUUCAUCAAAUGACAACACACGUCUAUGGUUAGGAAACAUAACCAUCUUUGAUCAACGAGCUAGUCAAGUAGAGGCAUACUAGGGACACUAUGUUUUCUCUAUGUAUUCACACAUGUACUAAGUUUCCGGUUAAUAAAAUUCUAGCAUGAAUAAUAAACAUUUAUCAUGAAAUAAGGAAAUAAAUAAUAAAUUUAUUAUUGCCUCUGGGGCAUAUUUCCUUCAGUCUCCCACUUGCACUAGAGUCAAUAAGCUAGUUCACAUCGCCAUGUGAUUUAACAUCAAUAGUUCACAUAUGUAUGUGAUUAACACCCAUAGUUCACAUUGCCAUGUGACUAACAACCAAAGGGUUCACUAGAAUCAAUAAUCUAUUUCACAUUGCAAUGUGAUUAACACCCAAAUUUUGCUAAGGUGUGAUCAUGUUUUGAUUAUGAGAGAAGUUUAGUCAACAGGUCUGUCACAUUCAGAGUCAUAUGUAUUUUGCAAAUAUUCUAUGUCUACAAUGCUCUGCAUAGAGCUACUCUAACUAGUUGCUCCCACUUUCAAUAUGUAUCCAGACUGAGACUUAGAGUCAUCUAGAUCGGUGUAAAAUCUUGCAUCGACAUAACUCUUUACGACGAACUCUUUAUCACCCCCAUCACCGAGAAACAUUUCCUUAGUCCUCACAAAGGAUAAUUUUGACCGCUUACCCCUUUGCCAAACUCAUGGCAAGGUAUACAAUAGGUCUGGUACACAGCACAACAUACUUUAUAGAACCUAUGACUGUGGCAUAGGGAAUGACUUUCAUUCUGUUUCUAUCUUCUGCCGUGGCCGGGCUUUGAGUCUUACUCAACUUUACACCUUGUAAUAUAGGCAAGAACUUCUUCUUUGACUGAUCCAUUCUGAACUUCUUCAAAACUUUACCAAGGUAUGUGCUUUGUGAAAGUCCAAUUAAGCAUCUUGAUCUAUCUCCAUAGAUCUUGCUGCCCAAUAUGUAAGCAGCUUCACCGAGGUCUUUCAUUGAAAACUCUUAUUCUGGUAUCCCUUUAUGCUAUCCAGAAAUUCUAUAUUAUUUCCAAUCAACAGUAUGUCAUCCACAUAUAAUAUUAGAAAUGCUACAGAGCUCCCACUCACUUUCUUGUAAAUACAUGCUUCACUACAAGUCUGUAUAAAACUAUAUGCUUUGAUCAACUCAUCAAGGCGUAUAUUCCAACUCCGAGAUGAUUGCACCAGUCCAUAUAUGGAUUGCUGGAGCUUGCACACAUUGUUAGUACCUUUAGGAUUGACAAAACCUUCUGGUUGCAUCAUAUACAACUCUUCUUUAAGAAAUAUCCAUUUAAGGAAUGUAGUUUUGACAUCCAUUUGCCAGAUUUCAUAAAAUAUGGCAACUGCUAACAUGAUUCGGACGGAUUUAAGCAUCGCUACAGUUGAGAAAAUCUCAUUGUAGUCAACACCUUGAACUUGUCGAAAACCUUUUUGCGACAAGUCGAGCUUUGUAGAUAAUAACACUACUAUCAGUAUCUGUCUUCCUCUUGAAGGUCCAUUUAUUUAAUAUGGCUUGCCGAUCAUCGGGCAAGUCCACCAAAGUCCACACUUUGUUCUCAUACAUGGAUCCCAUCUUAGAUUUCAUGGCCUCGAGCCAUUUCACGGAAUCUGGGAUCAUCAUCGCUUCCUCAUAAUUUGUAGGUUCAUCAUGGUCUAGUAACAUGACUUCCAGAAUAGGAUUACCAUACCACUUUGGUGCGGACCGUACUCUAGAAGACCUACGAGGUUCUGUAGUAACUUGAUCUGAAGUUUCAUGAUCAUCAUCAUUAGCCUCCUCACUAAUUGGUGUAGGAAUCACUGGAACUGAUUUUUGUGAUGAACCUCUUUCUAAUUCGGGAGAAGGUACAAUUACCUCAUGAAGCUCUACUUUCCUCCCACUCACUUCUUUCGAGAGAAACUCCUUCUCUAGAAAGGAUCCAUUCUUAGUAAUGAAUACCUUGCCUUCGGAUCUGUGAUAGAAGGCGUACCCAAUAGUUUCCUUUGGGUAUCCUAUGAAGACACAGUUCUCCGAUUUUGGUUCGAGCUUAUCAAGUUGAAGCUUUUCACAUAAGCAUCGCAGCCCCAAACUUUAAGAAAUGACAACUUUGGUUUCUUGCCAAACCAUAGUUCCAUAAGGUGUCGUCUCAAUGGAUUUCGAUGGUGCCCUGUUUAACAUGAAUGUAGCUGUCUCUAAUGCAUAACCCCAAAACGAUAGUGGUAAAUCGGCAAGAGACAUCAUAGAUCGCACCAUAUCUAAUAAAGUGCGGGUAUGACGUUCGGACACACCAUUAUUCUUUGGUGUUCCAGGCGGCGUGAGGUGUGAAACUAUUCCGCAUUGUUUUAAAUGAAGGACAAACUCGUAACUCAAAUAUUCUCCUCCACGAUCAGGUCGUAGAAACUUUAUUUUCUUGUUUCGAUGAUUCUUCACUUUACUUUGAAAUUCUUUGAACUUUUCAAAUGUUUCAGACUUGUGUUUCAUUAAGUAGAUAUACCCAUAUCUGCUCAAAUCAUUUGUGAAGGUCAGAAAAUAACGAUACCCUCCAUGAGAAUCAACACUCAUUGGACCGCAUACAUCGGCAUGUAUUAUUUCCAAUAAAUUCCUAGCUCGUUCCAUUGUUCCGGAGAACGGAGUUUUAGUCAUCUUGCCCAUAAGGCACAGUUCACAAGCAUCAAAUGAUUCAUAAUCAAGUGAUUCCAAAAAUCCAUCUUUAUGGAGUUUCUUCAUGCGCUUUACAUCGAUAUGACCCAAACGGCAGUGCCACAAAUAUGUUGCACUAUCAUUAUCAACUUUGCAUCUUUUGGCAUCAAUAUUAUGAAUAUGUGUAUCACUACGAUCAAGAUUCAAUAAACCACCAGCAUUAGGUGUAUGACCAUAGAAGGUUUUAUUCCUGUAAACAGAAUAACAAUUUAUUCUCUGUCUUAGAUGAAUAAUCGUAUCGCAAUAAACAUGAUCUAAUCAUAUUUAUGCUCAACGCAAACACAAAAUAACCUUUAUUUAGGUUCAACACUAAUCUUGAAAAAAUAGGGAGUGUGCGAUGAUGAUCAUAUCAAUCUUCGAACCACUUCCAACACACAUCGUCACUUCACCGUCAACUAGUCUCUGUUUAUUCUGUAACUCUAGUUUCGAGUUACUAAUCUUAGCAACCGAACAAGUAUCAAAUACCCAGGGGCUACUAUAAACAGUAGUAAGGUACACAUCAAUAACCUGUAUAUCAAAUAUACCUUUGUUCACUUUGCCAUCCCUCCUUUCCACCAAAUAUUUGGGGUAGUUCCGCUUCCAGUGACCAUUUCCUUUGUAGUAGAAGCACUCAGUUUCAGGCUUAGGUCUAGCUUUGGGCUUCUUCACGGGAGUGACAACUUGCUUGACAUUCUAUUUGAAGUACCCUUUCUUUCCCUUUGCCCUUUUCUUUAAACUAGUGGUCUUGUCAAUCAUCAACACUUGAUGCUCUUUCUUGAUUUCUACCUUUGUCAAUUUUCAGCAUCACGAACAACUUGGGAAUUUCUUUCAUCAUCCCUUGCAUAUUAUAGUUCAUCACAAAGUUCCAGUAACUUGGUGAUGGUGACUAGAGAACUCUUUCAAUCACUGUCUUAUCUGGAAGAUUAACUCCCACUUGAUUCAAGCGAUUGUAGUACCCAGACAAUCUGAGCACAUGCUCACUGCUUGAGCUAUUCUCCUCCAUCUUUUAGCUAUAGAACUAUUAGAGACUUCAUAUCUCUCAACUCGGGCAUUUUCUUGAAAUAUUAACUUCAACUCCUGGAACAUCUCAUAUAUUCCAUGACGUUCAAAACGUCUUUGAAGUCCCGAUUCUAAACUGUAAAGCAUGAUGCACUAAACUAUCAAGUAGUCAUUAUAUUGAGCUAGCCAAACGUUCAUAACGUCUGCAUCUGCUCCUGCAAUAGGUCUGUCACUUAGCGGUGCAUCAAGGACAUAAUUCUUCUGUGCAGCAAUGAGGAUAAACCUCAGAUUACAGACCCAGUCCACAUCAUUGCUAUUAUAAUCUUUCAACAUAGUUUUCUCUAGGAACAUAUAAAAAACAUAGAGAAGCUAUAACAUGAGCUAUUGAUCUACAACAUAAUUUGCAAAAUACUAUCAGGACUAAGUUCAUGAUAAAUUAAAGUUCAAUUAAUCAUAUUACUUAAGAACUCCCACUUAGAUAGACAUCCCUCUAGUCAUCUAAAUGAUCACGUGAUCCAAAUCUACUAAACCAUGCCCGAUCAUCACGUGGGAGUAGUUUUCAAUGGUGAACAUCACUAUGUUGAUCAUAUCUACUAUAUGAUUGACGGUCGACCUUUCGGUCUCUAGUGUUCCGAGGCCAUAUCUGCAUAUGCUAGGGUCGUCAAGUUUAAUCCGAGUAUUCUGCAUGUGCAAAACUGGCUUGCACCCGUUGUAUGUGAACGUAGAGCCUAUCACACCCGAUCAUCACGUGGUUUCUCAGCAUGAAGAACUGUCGCAACGGUUCAUACUCAGGGAGAACACUUAUACCGCCGAGUGCCAAACCCUUUGGCUUCCAUGACCUCAAAUAGGAAAGGCCAUGACAACGAGUCAAAAGCUCUCGAAAUAUCUAACUUGAGGAACACAGUCGAGGCUCUCAUAGCAUGUAGCUUCCUUGCCACUUGCCUCACGAGGAGGAAAUUGUCAUGUAAAUGUCUACCUUUGAUGAAAGCCGAUUGGUUAGUCUCCACAAUGUCAUGCAUCUGCCUCCUCAAUCUAUUGGCAAGAGCCUUAGCAAAUAGCUUAGGGAUGCUAUGGGUAAGACUAAUGGGUCGAUAGUCUCCUAUUUCCUCCGCAUACGGCUUCUUGGGGAUGAGCACAAUGUGCGCCUCAUUUAGCUUCACAAAACCCCUACCAUCGCCCACGUAGAGCUUGAGCAUAGCCGCCAUGACAUCAUUCUUAAUAAUGGGCCACGCUUUUUUGUAGAAUGCAGCGAUGCACCCAUCUGGACCUGGUGCUCGGUCCGUGGGUAGCUCCUUAAUGACGCUCCAAACCUCUUCUUCCGUAAUCAUGAUUUCCAGCUCGCUAAGGUCCCAUGGCUGUAUGCCCAGGUAUUGCAAGUCUAGCGAAUGCUCUCUAGCUUGAUCAGUUCCAAUCAAACUCUCAUAUGCCUCAUAGAAAGCUUUCUCCUUGAGCUCUUGAUCUAUGAUCAACACCACAUCCUUCUUGACAUGAGAAAUAAAAUUUUUGGAUCGACGUCCAUUCGCCACCGCUUGAAACAAUUUGGUGUUGGCAUCUCCCUCCUUGAGCCAUUUCAUCCGGGAUCUUGCCGAUCAAUGGUGCGCUCUAAUGCCGCUAGACCCAGCAACGCAUGCUUCAAAGUUUUCCGAAGCCAAAUCUCAAGAUGCACCACUGCUCUAUUUUCCUGUGCACAAUCAAGUCUAUGUAUCACCCAUCGCGCCACACGCAUCAACAACUUUACGUUGCCCAUUUUGCGCUGACCCCAUGCUUGCAAGUGUCUUGCGGUAUUACGCAAAAGUGUGUCGAGCCUCUUGUAGGGAUCCUCAAUGUCUGGGUCACAAACCCAAGCUUCACUAACUGCUUCCUCGAAGCCCUCCAUCUUGGUCCAAAAUAUCUCAGACUUGAAUAUGCGCUUCGGGCUGAAACCAACACUCGUAGUGAGCAGAAGAGGUGCAUGAUCUGAAACCCCUGUGGACAUCGCCUGGAGCAGGUAUUCUGCAUUGUCUAACUCCCAGUCAACUGUGGUGAGAACUCUGUCUAUCUUCGUCAGGGUCGGGGCAUCUCUCUCAUUGGACCAAGUGUACCUCUGACCAUGCAUGUACAUCUCCUUGAGCUUGUGAUCAUCCACAAAAUCUCUAAACUUGCUCAUCAUCCUCCGAUUGAUGUUAGUAUUAUUUUUAUCUGUCGCUCUAAUGAUCAUAUUAAAGUCACCCAGGACCAUCCACGGUCCAAGACAUCCAACCCUCCGGCUCUUGAGGUCCUCCAAAAACUGUGUUUUAAGAUCAUCUCCUUGUGACCCAUACACCACCAUGACCCACCAAGGUUGCCCAACUUUUGUGUGCACUAGCCCAGUGAGAAAGUUAUCGUUGAGCAGAACAUUGUCCACCCUGAGAGCCGUGCUAUCCCAAGCCAGCAAAAUCCCACCCCGCGUGUCAACCGCCGGCACAUAAGCAUGACCAUCAAACGAUGGCCCCAAACAUUGCACUACGACAUAUUGAUCAAUUACAUCAAGUUUCGUCUCCUGAAGACACGCCAAGUUCACCUUCACCAUGCUCACAAAGUCACAAACGGCCUUUCGCUUUGCUUGAUUGUUAAGGCCCCUAACAUUCCAGCAGAUUACUUGUGGGUGCAUAUCCAUGGAUGAUAUAGAACACCAACACCGGGGGAAAAACACCUAGUUGGAGCAGACCACCACCGGCUGGCUCACAUGCAGCUCCUCAGCCACCGAGAUGGACUUGCCAAAAAGGCCAGCGAUAAUCCGGACAUGUUGCUCUUUUAGCGGUGGGUCGAACAGUGCCUUGAACUCUUGAAAUACUCCAUCCUCCACGGUUAGGUCAUCCGGGACCAACCCAAGCGCAUGUAACAACACAUUCUCCGCAGGGUUCUCCUUAGCAUGACUAGACGUGGAGCUCUUCUUGGCGGCCCUGGUGGUGCGCUUUGGUGUGAAAGGCGUAGCUUCCGGCCUUAGCUUUGAGGCUUCCACCUCUUUCAGGAGCGGGGGCGCCAACUUUUUAAUGAUAUUGGAGCAGAAAGACUUCAGUUUAGCAUAUGCGUCCGCCUCCUGGGCAGUCAUGCCCUCCAUUUCAUCCUCAUCAUGGCAAUUUGAAGCCACUGGCCCCAACUCCAGGGUCGCAGCCGAGCCCAAGUGCUCAGCGUGCUCCUCCUCCAUGCCGCAGGCGCCAUUAAUCUCCAGCGCGGCAUCCAAUCGGCAGUACCAGGCCGUGCCAUGCGUACCGUGCCUUCUCGCUCAGCAACAUCGCUACGAAAGAAUGCCUGGCUCGUGGGCAAGAGAGUGCUCACGUCGUUGCAUGGUGCAUGGGCAUGAUUCCCAUUAGGGGCCCCAGCAGGGUCCACCACCUCCAUCACUUUAUUGACUGGUAGAAUUUCAGUCUGGGGUGGGGUCGUCUCUCCAUUGUCCUGUUUCAAGGCAAGCAUUUCACCCGAGGACACGCACUGGCCCACCAGAUCACUUGGGUUGCGUGCGGUGGUGGGGGCAGUCUGAUCCUCCAGAAUGAGUGGCAGUGGGGCCGGCCUUCUUGUGCCUGUGUGCAGUGGGAUCCUAGGAAGGGGUAUCAUAGCCAUCCCAUCCCCCGAUGGGCACGUGGUGGGCCUCAGCACCAUCCCAUCCACCUUGUCUCCGUUGGUGGGACGACUGUUGCCCACUCCCAACUGGCCAUCUAUCGCCGCGCUGCUGGUGAGAGCCAAAGCCCCACUCAGCUCCUCCUCGCCGUUGGUGGUAUGCAGAUUAUCCGGUCCCCUCUGGCCAGCUGUCUCAGCAGAGUUGGUGAGAACUAGAUCCCCAUGCUCAUCUGAAUUCUCGGCCCUCGCACGUGUUGUGCUAUCCCCACGUUGUGCUCCGUUGUUGCCGCCUUGCGAAUUCGAAUUCCUGUCAAUCCUCCUCCCAAAAUCUUCCACCGGACCCACAUCUCUUGUCAGCCGGUCAAAAGCAGAGUUUCUGAUGGAUAGCCUGUGUCGAACUGUCAUUGGUGACCCCACCAGUCGCUCCACCUAUUGGGAACUCAUCGGCGGCAACUACCACGCCUGGCCAGCCCCGCCCUCAGCGCCCUGCGAACCGAUGCCAGCGGAGGCCACGCCCAGCUCCGGCGAGCCACUCCUAUCUCGAACACCGAACUGCCAUUGCGGGUGACGAGUAGACGCAACACCACCAGCGCCACCACCAGAGCCACCGAACGGACCUCCAUCCGAGCCAGGGAUGCCGCUCUGCCUGCUAUCCGACAAAGCACCCAAGAACAGCGGCUCCUCUAACUCAGACACCAAAUCAAGAUGGAUCAAGACCUUGUACCACAGCAGCGCAGGCUCCACCAGGGGAUCAACGAGACCCGGCUCGGGGAUGGCUAGCCAGCGGAGUGUGGGAAUGGACUCCGGGUGCGCCGUCCACACCGACAGGUUGAAUGAAGACAGGUCACGGCGGGAGUGCGUCUCCGGCGCCACCGGAUCCACCAAGCAGGCCGACCCAAGGAAAUCCUCAGCCACCUCCCGGUCCCAAGCAUGCGGCCGGAUGCUCUCGAGGACCAAAUCAACCUUGUACCGGAGCACAACAUGCACCGCUUGAGCUUGUCGAGUCCAUUGCCUAAAGUAUAGGCGCACGCCUUGAUGCUGGAGGAACGGGCGCGCGCCCAUGCUAUUGUGGUGCUUAGGGCGCGCGAAGAUGACAAGGAAAUCCUCCGGCCUGAAGUCGUGCACCGAGACCUAGUUCGAGUCGAUGCCGGCCUCCGCUGCUAGAGCAUCCACGACGAACUGAGGGGAAAUGACGCGCCUUGCACCACCCACAUAAGCAACCAUGGCGUACUUCAGCCGAUUCUCCAAUUCACCCAUGGAGCGGGAGCGAUGUACCACACAGAGAUCUGAGGGGAGCAUAUCUUCGUAGGGGGGGGGGGCUGUAGCCGGGGUGCCAUCAGCCGCGGCCACGCCGGGACCGAUACCUCAUUUGGGAACAACGGCGGGGGAGGCGUCGGAGGGGAACUUGGGCCGGCCAUCUGCACGACGGGUUACGGAUCUCUGUGCACCACCUUCGCCGCCGUCGCACGCCGCGGCUCCUCGACCGGGGAGGGACUCCACGGACGCUUGCAGUCCUUGGCCCCAUGGCCCGGCAAACCAUAGCGGAAGCAGAANNNNNNNNNNNNNNNNNNNNNNNNNNNNNNNNNNNNNNNNNNNNNNNNNNNNNNNNNNNNNNNNNNNNNNNNNNNNNNNNNNNNNNNNNNNNNNNNNNNNNNNNNNNNNNNNNNNNNNNNNNNNNNNNNNNNNNNNNNNNNNNNNNNNNNNNNNNNNNNNNNNNNNNNNNNNNNNNNNNNNNNNNNNNNNNNNNNNNNNNNNNNNNNNNNNNNNNNNNNNNNNNNNGAAGGCACUUGAAGCAGAGCGUCUCCGUGCCCGGCGAGAUCUCCCGGCGAGCCUGCGGCCGCGAGGUGUGGUGGGAGCCAGGCGCAUCCGGGGAGGGCCGCCACCUCCAGAGACUAUCAAUCACCCCCGAUCGAUCGGUCUUUCAGGAGACGGUAGUUGGUGAUAUAACAUUUUUGAUAAAGGAAAUAUAUUAAUAUCGCCAAGAUGCCAAUUGCACCUGGCCUCUGCAACAAUGCAAUACCCUAAUGGCAUUACGAAUGCACAUAGCCAAAAAACAAGAAAAAGAAGCUAAAAAAGAAAAGCCCCGCUAUGGAAUUCGAGUCCAUGCAGCAACAGUACAACCACCACCAAAACAACACCUGAAGUCCAAGUUCUCCAAAAGUGACGCCUCAAAGAAGGAAACAGUGCACAAGCGCCGUCGUCACCCGAUCGUAGAUCUUGGGUUUUCACCCCGAAGAUAGUCCCCCCUCUCAAAACAAUGCCUUCAACAAGACCAUUGCCAGGCACAACCAAUUAAGGCCAGACCUUGGAUUUUCACCCAGAGAGGUAAGACUUUGAACUGCACCUGUGCUGCCACCUCCACUUACAAAAUCCGAAACUCCAAGCAAGUUGCUCAUUGCCACAACUGCUCCAAUCACCAUUACCAGUCCUCCGAUCACGGCUUCCAUGACAUUCUCCACCUCUAACUUCACCAUGGAACUAACAUAUCCCAUGAUGGCAACAGAUAGCAGAGCUUCGCACCGCUCCCUCCUUAACGGAGAACCCGUGUGCACGACCGAAUCCCACCCGAUCCAGCAAUCUCCAGGCAUAACGCGCCCAUGGGAGUUCACCGGCGAAACCUUCCGGAACCCAACACUCCGACCAGAUCAAGAAGGACAGACGUCAGGCAGAUCUUCGUCUUGUCACUUGAGGAACCCUAGGACCGUCCCCUUAAAUCGGGCCGAGCCUGCUGCCCCCACGCCGCCGCGGCACCCCAGAUUAGAUUGAGGCGGUGCGCAGAUCUGGCUCGUAUCGGGAGCAGCACGGAUGCCGGGAAAGGGCACCUUGCCUGUAGCCAACAGCGCGCUGCCGCGCAUGGAGGAGCAGGCCACGCAAACACCAUGGCCGGCCGCCGCCUCAGCCUUGAAUCUGAGGGGAAAACGUCAUGCCACGAGAGAGAGCUCGCCCCGCCGCCGCCGUCCGCGGCACGGGCUUAGCCCGGUCGCCUCCUCCGGCGGCGGCGAGGGGAGGGGGGUGGAGGGGAGGGGCUUGAGAUGUCCGGCGGCUGGGUCUACCCCCGUGUCGCCAGUGAGAGCGACGCGGGGGUCGGGCUGGGCAGAGUAGGGGAUUUACCUAACCGCAUGGCACCAUUAUGAGCAUGGCACCAUGCCCGAGGCCCGAGGAAGGAGAAGGCAUUCACCAUCACUCGCACCUAAGGAUGACAAAUUUAUCCAUGGACAUGGAUAUCCAUGAAUAUCCGACCCGAAUGGAUAGGGUUUGGAUAUGUUUUUGUGUCCAUGGGCGGCGCCCAAACCCGACCCAAUUGUCCGUGGGUAGGGCAUGGAUAUAAUCUUGUACCCAUGGAUAUACCCAAACUCGACCCGAUAGGAUGACUUAAUGGGAAAAAAAAUCUGCUACCCCUGCCUCACGUUCACAUCUCCCACGGCAAUUUUACACUUUUUUUAUCUAAAACAUGCAUAAGAAAUUACAUCAUAACUUUUAUAAGUUGACAUUCAAUCCCCUCCAAAACAUACUCCAACACCACUUCCCUUAUUUUUGUCUCCUUCUUACACGAUUCGUCAUUCUCAUCUGUUAGAAAAAUACUAAAUGAUCUUAGGUUGUUACUGGAUGUUGAUUUACUAUAAGUGAAGUCUAGCCUGCCACGAGGUGAAGAAUGGAAGAGUUUAUGUUACUAUUGUGUUAAGUCUUAUUUAUAUGUUUCGAGAGGACCCAAUGGAUAUCCAGUGGACGUGAAUAUCCGUCGGAUUUGAACAUGGACAUAAUUUUUCACACAUAGAUUUUUUCAUGGGCGGGCAAAGACUGUCUUCAUGAAUAUGGAUAUGAAUUUGAUAUUGUUCAACCCGAUCCAAACCCGACCCAUUGCCAUCCUUACUCGCACCUUGUACCAAAACCUCCCAUGUUUGGGCCUUGCAGAGCUGCCGAGUCAUUGCCUCCUGUUGCCCAUCCCAGCUCCCCAUUUCCCUUGGAGCAACGGCACGAACUGUUCACCGCGCGCAGUGUAGAUUCCUUGUGGCGCAUCUUGUUGGCUUUGUCUUGAUUACAGCCAGCGCCCAUACUAGUCCCAAAUUUUCUCACCCCCGGUAUUUAACCCCAACAGGCCAAAGCCAUAGAAAAAUAGGCUCGUCUGCUCAAACCAAAAAACGUAGCUCCUGCUUCUGAUCACAGUACUUUUGUGGAUCUUUGUGAUAAGAUCUUGUACUUUGUCGCUUGAUUCCGGUGAAGUAGUACGAGAUGAAGACGACGACUUUAUGUCACACGAUGGACUCACGCGGGUGCUACCGGCUCUCUGUAAUAAACGGAGCAUUGAUACAGUACCGAGCGGAGAGGUGCAUUGGCGGCGCGCCGGCCCCGGCUGGAUCAGGAAAGGGAAGGUGGCGACUGGCGAGGAGGAGCGGUAGCCGCUCGUAGGCAGCAGUAGUAAGGCCUCUUUUGAUUCAAAGGAAUUCUAUAGGAUUUCUGAAGGAUUGAAAUCCUUAAGAAUUUUUCCUAUGUUGGUUCUUUGAUUCAUAGGAUUGGAUCCCACAGGAAUUUUUCCUAUGGAAUCUUUUGUACUACAUUUCAUAGGAAAUCUAACAUCCACUCCAACCUCUUUUUACAAUUUCUUUGCUUUUUUUGUGCCAUCAAACACUCCAUGCUAAUCCUGUAGGAUUCAUGUGUGCAUGUCACUCCAACCCUAUACUUUUCCUAUUCCUACGAUUUGAAAAUCCUGCGAAUCAAAGAGGGCCUAAAAGUGAUAGCAGGGCCGCAGAUGAACACCAGCCAGCGCACGGCGCCACCUUAAAUUCUCCUCACCGGCCAACCACUCCCUGCCCUCCCCGUCCCCGUACCUACUAGUUCCCUCGCAUCCAUGCUCGAUCAGGGUGAGCUUGGCCGUUCCCGUUGUUGUUUCUUUCUUUUCGGAAGUGAUGAUCUUUUUACGGUGUUAUCUUGAUCUUUCACGAGAUUUUGAAAAGGGCAGAUGGAGCGCAUGGGAGCUCUGUGCGAUGCGCGGGCCGAAAGCAUGGCCAAGUGCCCACUGGCGACUGUUGCGACGCAUCCUGGUCGAUCGCUGUCAUGCUGUACCCGCUCUCGCCCACGCUGCCUGCCAGCACUAAAUGGCGGCAGGUUGCUAGUGUAGUACUGCUCCCUCGGCUGAGCAUGUUAUGUUACUACUCCACUGACAAUGAUCACUUGCAUUUCUUUCCCACGUCCACAUGCAAUGUACCCUUGCUCACCUCUCAUUAUGCGUCCUGAUCAUCCUUAAUUUGGUAGGCCCGGAUAAUUAUUUAAUCUAGUGUACUUAGCAAAUGAUGGUGAUUAGCUAAUUAUUACCACGACUACCCACUUAGAGAGCGCAUUUCUGUCAUACUCUAUAUUGUAGAAAAACACAGGUAGUAACCAUGUCUUGGUCCACGCCUCCACGGCGUCGGAUCGUAACGAAGGAAUCGGAGAUCGAUGGACAAUGUUUGCCCAGCCGCUGGAGCAAGGCUGGUACCGCAUUUACUGCUCGGCUCACAGAGAAAUAAGAAAUUAACACAAGGGUUUUCUGUCUGUCCUCUGGUCCGGCGCGUCUCGCUGGAAGGCAGGCAGGCAGCUGGAAAUGUGACGCCCACGCACGCUACAUGACCGCCAUCCACGGUUGACGGUGCAAGUAUACUACGCAGUACGCAUACGGAGGAGAGGAGUACUGGAGUAACUACGGGCCUCUGUGGCCAGCCGCGACAGAUCUCACCGUACGUGUAUGAUUUCCAUCGGGCUGGUAUGGGACAGGGGCUAGCUGGCCGAGAGGACGGCAAAGAUGUCCAACGUUUGAAGCAGUGACCGGUGACACUGACGCUGCAUUUACCGGUUUACGUACGUACGGGUGCAACACCUACUAGAGUCUCCUGUCUUUCAAACUCUUUGCAAAUUUACGGUUUUACUAUUGUUUAUAAAUGUCAGAAAAGAACAUGUAUUUCGUAAAAACGUUAUUUUUGGCGUGGAACACGGGAGAUCUUUAUUCAACAGAUCGGACCUAGUACAAUCAGCAAUCAUACUGCUAACUAGUGCUAGAAAAGAAGGAACAUAAUCCAACCAGCUCUCAAUCACCAUUAAAGGGUGAUGCUCGCUUGUCAUAUAGGUGGGCUGGGAAGUUGGCUGGCUGAGAAUGUUGAAUAGAAAACAAACUAGAAUCUGAAGAUAAAUCCCUAUUUCCAAAACAAGCGGAGCACAGCCGAACGAGAGUUAUGGCGAGAAUUCCAGAGGUGCACAAACUCUAGACGGUCAAUCUCCAUGACGACGUCUUUAAUGCUAUGAGCGUUGUAAAGACUAUACCGCCACGGAGCGCCAAAGCUUCAACUAUCAUAUGAUUUGGAACCCCAUCAUGAGGUUUACACCAAGCUCCUAGAAAACCGGUAGCGGAUCUCGCUACCCCUCGAGCUCCGUCGUUCCUUUGUUUCGAUCUUAUGACGGGAUCAGUGUAUAUCUUGAUACAAAUGACAUCCAGGGGACGCUAGCCAUGACGUGGAAGGACAAUGGCCUGGUCAUGCGAUAGCUCGAGAAUAACAAGUGUUUCUCUAAUGAUAUGCAUACAGUUCUCUAUAUAUGACCUUUCAUUGUCGCGUGUCCGUCUAUUUCGUGAUUUCCAGAUGGACCACGUUACCAAAACAAUAGUGACUUUGUCUCAAACGGGGACACGGUCGAGGAUCACAUAGAAUAUCAUGUGCCCAUGAGUUGGGAUGAAGUGGAGGUGGCCGGAAAUCAAACCAUUGUUGAGCUUCAUCCCAAAACCUCCUUGCAUGUGAAUAAUGGAUCAAAGCAUGCAUCAUGUCCUCCUUUGCCAAGCAUAAUUUGCAUAAAUUGCUAUCAGCAAUAUGCCUUCUAUGUAUAGAGCUUUCAUCUAGUACUAUAGCCCUGAGGACCCGCUACCAGUUAACUGUAAUUUUUGGCACUACAUUGAGCUUCCAGAAUGCAUUCCAUAACUGUGAAUCAGUCUGUGUGGUGCUUGUUGCGCCCUUUCUUCUAGAGCCAAACGCUCGUUGUAAAUCACUACAGCACGGUAUGCAGAUUUAAUAGCAUAGGAACCAGACUUCACAAAACCCCAAGCCGGGAAAUCCUCCCCGUCACCAUUCCACAUCGGAAUGUUAAGAAUUGCAUCAACAUAUGUGGCAAAAAGGUAGAUCGGACCACAUCUCUCUUCCAAGUCCAGUUUCCAGAAUAGAUAAGCUCACUAACAUGAAGUAACCAUGUGUUGUCUGCGCUGAAGAUGGGUGUCAUUGUCAUGGUGUCGAGGACCCAUUUGUGCUCCUAAAUGGAAAUGGAAGCCCCAAUUUCAAUACUGAGGGAGUCCUGGACUAGGGGGUCUCCGGAUAGCCGAACUAUCAUCUUUGGCCGGACUCCUGGACUAUGAAGAUACAAGAUUGAAGACUCCGUCCCGUGUCCGGAUGGGACUUUCCUUGACGUGGAAGGCAAGCUUGGCUAUACAGAUAUGUAGAUCUCCUACCAUUGUAACCGACUCUGUGUAACCCUAACCCUCUCCGGUGUCUAUAUAAACCGGAGGGUUUUAGUCCGUAGGACGAACAACUAUCAUACCAUAGGCUAGCUUCUAGAGUUUAGCCUCUCUGAUCUCGUGGUAGAUCUACUCUUGUACUACCCAUAUCAUCAAUAUUAAUCAAGCAGGAGUAGGGUUUUACCUCCAUCGAGAGGGUCCGAACCUGGGUAAAAACAUCGUGUCCCUUGUCUCCUGUUACCAUCCGCCUAGACGCACAGUUCGGGACCCCCUACCCGAGAUCCGCCGGUUUUGACACCGACAUUGGUGCUUUCAUUGAGAGUUCCUCUGUGUCGUCACCUUUAGGCCCGAUGGCUCCUUCGAUCAUCAACAACGACGCGGUCCAGGGUGAGAUUUUUUCCCCGGACAGAUCUUCGUAUUCGGCGGCUUUGCACUGCGGACCAACUCGCUUGGCCAUCUGGAGCAGAUUGAAAGCUACGCCCCUGGCCAUCAGGUCAGAUUUGGAAGUUUGAACUAUACGACUGACGUCCGCGGAGACUUGAUCUUCGACGGGUUCGAGCCACAGCCAAGCGCGCCGCACUGUCACGAUGGGCAUGAUCUAGCUCUGCUGCCGGACAGUGCCCUGAAGGUCGCACAAGUGUCCGCUCCGACCCUCAGCUCGGAGCCGACCGCGCCGAUCGAGGAUGGGUGGCUGGACACCGCCUUGGGGGCUGCUACCUCUACGGCGAUAGAGCCGAAUAGCAACCCUGUCCUUUGUGAAGCUCGUGACUCCAAGGUGCCGGACUCCUCUCUGGACUCCGAACCUUCUGCGUCCCUACCAAUCGAAUCCGAUUGGGCGCUUAUUAUGGAGUUCACUGCCGCGGACAUCUUUCAGCACUCGCCCUUCGGCGACAUCCUGAACUCGCUAAAGUCUGUCUCUUUAUCAGGAGAACCCUGGCCGGACUAUGGUCAGGGAGGUUGGGACACGGACGAAGAAGAAAUUCAAUGCCCACCCACCACCCACUUUGUAGCCACUGUCGAUGAUUUAACCGACAUGCUCGACUUUGACUCCAAAGACAUCGACGGUAUGGACGACGAUGGCGGAGACGACCAAGAACCAGCGCCUACAGGGCACUGGAAGGCCACCUCAACUCACGAUGUAUAUAUGGUGGAUACACCCAAAGGAAGCGAUAACGAGGAACAACGGGAUGCUGCGAAGGAUAAUUCCCUCGAAAAGCAGUCAAAACGGCGACGUAAGCGCCGCUCAAAGUCCCGCCUCGACAAAGACAGCACCCAUACAGACCCAGCCACAGAGCAGGGCGAACCGGUGGACGACGAACAUGCCCUCGAGCAACCAUCCGAACAGAAUAACUUGGAUAAACAAUCCGUCCCCGGCGAAGAUAACAGUCCGGACGAUCUCACGCCGGACACAUCGUUGGAGCAGAAGAACCUCCACAAAAGGCUCGUCGCCACUGCACGUAGUCUGAAGAAGCAGAAGCGGAAGCUCAAAACAACGGAAGACGCACUCAGAAUGAGAUGGAGCAAAGUACUCAACACCGCAGACAAAUACGGCGAUAGUCGCCAAACAAAGAGCUACCCGAAGCGCAAACUACUGCCCGAAUUUGACGAGGAGGCCGUAGAGCCCCCACAAUCAAAGAACAAAGAGGCCGACCGGUCGGAUAGACGACCACAUGGCAAACAUAGAGCGGCAAGCGGCGCCGCACAUAAGCCGGCACGCGAUCCGCAUAAGGAUCCGCACCAAAAGGAUGGCCCGGUCAGGUCUAUCUAUGGACCAAGAAAGCAAGGUCUAGAAAGCAAUGCAACACGUCGAGUAUUCGAACAUCACGGCACACCCAAAUACAGGGGCGCCGCACACCCCCUAUGUUUCACCGUUGAGGUGUUGGAUCAUGAAUUUCCAGCGGGAUUCAAGCCCGUAAACAUAGAGGCAUACGACGGAACAACGGACCCUGGAGCCUGGAUUGAGGAUUAUAUCCUGCACAUACACAUGACUAGAGGAGAUGACCUCCACGCCAUAAAAUACUUACCCCUCAAGCUCAAAGGGCCAGCUCGGCAUUGGCUCAAAAGCCUCUCGGAAAAUACCAUUGGAAGUUGGGAAGAGCUCGAGGAUGCGUUUCGGGCAAAUUUUCAGGGGACUCAUGUCCGCCCUCCGGAUGCAGACGAUUUGUCACAUAACUCAACAGCCCGGAGAGUCAGCCCGCAAAUUCUGGAACAGGUUCCUCACCAAAAAGAACCAAAUAGUCGACUGUCCGGACGCUGAAGCCUUAGCAGCUUUCAAACACAACGUCCGAGACGAAUGGCUCGCCAGACACCUUGGCCAAGAAAAGCCGAGAACAAUGGCCGCACUAACAAGCCUCAUGACCCGCUUUUGCGCGGGAGAGGAUAGCUG